CAAGAGAUAGACAAAAUUAAGCGAUUCAGCACACUUUUCCUUUGUUCCAAGUCUUCGUGUAUCUCAUACAUAUUCUUGUGUCUCCUGUCUCUUCUACAAACAGCCGACGUACCAGGUGGUCCAGCCCAUCAACGGCGACCCAUUCAUCGGCAGCCUGGAGACGCCCGUCACCUCCAGCCCCCUCGUCGCCUGGUACCUCUCCAACCUCCCCGCCUACCGCACCGCCGUCAGCCCGCUCCUCCGCGGCAUCGAAGUCGGCCUCGCCCACGGCUACCUCCUCGUCGGCCCCUUCGCGCUCACCGGCCCGCUCCGCAACACGCCAAUUCACGGCCAGGCAGGCACUCUCGGCGCCAUCGGCCUCGUCUCCAUCCUUAGCGUCUGCCUCACCAUGUACGGUGUCGCGUCCUUCAACGAGGGCGCACCGUCAACCGCGCCCGCACUCACGCUCACAGGCCGCAAGAAGGAGGCCGACAAGCUGCAGACCGCUGAAGGGUGGUCGCAGUUCACCGGAGGCUUCUUCUUCGGUGGUGUCUCCGGUGCCACCUGGGCCUACUUCCUCCUCUACGUGCUCGACCUCCCAUACUUCUUCAAGUAGAUUAAUUAUCGGCAUGCAUGUACGAUGGGUGCAGAUCAUGUGAUCUCUUCUCGAUGGCGGUUGCUUCAAAGAGUCCAUGUAUAAAUGAAUUUACACAUUCCUCACAAUCUUUGCAUGGAUCGAUCAUACUACGAUACUAUAACAUGCGAAUUGCUAAUUUCUUAAAUAAUGCGUGCAUAAACAAAACCCAAUAAGAAAUUUAACUUAUAACCUAGAUGAUGUGAUCUCUUCUCAGUGGUUGCUUGAACGAGUCUAUGUAUAAAUAAAUUUACAUAUUCCUCAGAAUCUUUGCAUGGAUGAUACUACGUAGUACGUACCACUCCCUCCGUUUCAAAAUACUUGUCAUCAAAAUGGAUAAAAAGGGAUGUAUUUAGAACUCAAAUACAUCUAGAUACAUCUUCUUUUAUCCAUUUUGAUGAUAAGUAUUUUCGGACGGAGGGAGUACGUAUAACCAAAGAUUCAAAUAGUACACUACUGGAAAAAUCGUCCUUACGAAGUUCUUUGCUCUUUGUCAAGUAUUGGGACAUAGGAUCACGGUAAAAGACACGUAAGCUAUGUGGGGCUGUCGGUUGCCAAGGGGCUGCUACGGAGGGCUCGGCAAACAAGAAACACUCGGUUUAUAUAGUCUAUGCCGGGAUCCUCUGCUAUGGCACCCGGCAAACAAGUGUCAGGUGAUACGGCCGUUUGCGCUUGACGGCUCCAUCACGUACAGUCCAUCUAAACCGAGAUUCGCCAUCAUGUACUAGGAAAAAUAGUUAGAAAAUUCUUUUUCCCUCACAGUAAAUGUAUGGCGAGCUCCCGCGGCCAAGCACUUCGCAAAGUAUUUAAGUAAAUCCUUUUUCUCCCAUGGUAUAAAUGCUUGCUGAGCUCCCUGUCUACACAGCUCGGCAUUGUUCUCAGGAAAAAGCUGGCAGUUUCAGUGUAGUCAGGUCAUGCCACGUAUUCCGAGUAUUUGCAUUCUCAUGAAAAAGCUGGCAGUUUCAGUGUAGAUCAGGCAUCACCUUUGCCGAGCUCUGCACUUGAUCAAGGCUGACUUCACCGAGAGCAGAAGUUGGCAACAGGUAACAAGAUAGAGCAGUACUAUCUGUUCUAUCCUAAGUCCCUGCAAUUGAGAACACAACAGAUAUAUGUUGUUUGACACAAUUUCAUGUCACAUAUAUCACAGAACAUAUUAUCACAUCGUUAUAGCUCAAAGUGACAUCACAUAUGAAUUAAAUUCUUAUAUAUCAACAAGUUCACAACAUAGGUCACAACAAGUUCGAAACAUAGUUCACAAUUUACUACAUAAACCAUCAACGAACACAAAACAUAAGAAACAACCUGUUCGCAAGUUCACUACAUAGGAGGGGUAUGAGGGUCAACACAUCACGAUAAUCCUGGAGGAGGAGUAGGAGGAUGAGGAGGGCUGCCACGCAUCAUCAUCGUGCACAUUUCCCGUAACCUCUACAGAGGAUGAGGGUCGACAUGUCAGCAUUGUUCCAAGUUGGUCAACCGGUUAAUAUGCAUAGGCGUGGAAAUGGGAAAGUACUAACAGCUAAGUCGGAUGUGAGCUUCUCCCUUUUCGCCUUCAUAGCCCGCAUCGAUCCAUAGGCGGAAGAAGAGCAUGUGAGAGUACCGGGUGAUAUACCAGGUGGACGUACCAGGUGGUCCAGNNNNNNNNNNNNNNNNNNNNNNNNNNNNNNNNNNNNNNNNNNNNNNNNNNNNNNNNNNNNNNNNNNNNNNNNNNNNNNNNNNNNNNNNNNNNNNNNNNNNNNNNNNNNNNNNNNNNNNNNNNNNNNNNNNNNNNNNNNNNNNNNNNNNNNNNNNNNNNNNNNNNNNNNNNNNNNNNNNNNNNNNNNNNNNNNNNNNNNNNNNNNNNNNNNNNNNNNNNNNNNNNNNNNNNNNNNNNNNNNNNNNNNUCCCACUAGUCGCAUUGUACCUCUCCAACCUCCCCACGUACCACAAUGUCGUUAACCCGCUCGACCGUGGCAUCGAGGUCAGCCUCGCCCACGGCUACCUCCUCGUCGUCCCCUUCGCGCUCACCGGCCCGCUCCAUAAAAUGCCCGUGGCGCCAUCUAUCUCGGCUCCAUCCUCAGCGUCUACCUCACCAUGUACGGCGUCACAUCAUUCAAUCAGGGAGCGCUCACGCUCACUGGCCGCAAAAAGGAGGCUGACAAGCUGCGGACCACCGAAGGGUGAUCACAGUUCACACGAGGCUUCUUCUUCGGCUGUGUCUCCAGCACCGUGUGGGCUUACUUCCACCUCUAUGUGCAGAUGAUGUGAUCUCUUCUUGGUGGUUGCUUGAACGAGUCUAUGUAUACAUGAAUUUACAUUUUUUCCUCACAAUCUUUGCAUGGAUGGAUAAUAUUAUAACAUGUGAAUGGUUAAUUUCUUAAAUGUUGGGCGCAUAAACCAAAACCAAUCAGAAAUACGCGGCGUUGCAAACUGAGCAUAACUUAUAACUUAGAUGGCUAAAUUCCUUUCAUGGUAUCUGCCCACUCGUAUUCAAGUUCUUGACUUGACUCGCAUUUUUCAAAUUUAUUCCAUACUUUCUGGCGAUAUCCAUUUAGUGGUAUAGCAUGCCCGUCUACUACGAAAGUGUUUCCAGCAACUUCGUUAAUCUCAAGAUUUGCUCCCUCAGAGUUGUGCAUGUGUGCAUUCAUUUGGGUGACUAUGCGUGUGUCAACAUGAGUGUGUGUCGAUACUUUUUUUUAAAGAAGAAAUUAUUGGUCGUUCGGAAGUAGAUAUCCGAACAUCCCUUUGGACCAUGGAUCCGCGUCUUUUGUAUGAUGACCCGUUUCUAUUUUGAGCUGCUACUCUUCGUCACCUUGACAUCAAGCCGCCGGUUCCCCACUCACAUGCCCUACCUCCGACUUGAUUUGCCUCCCAGCGGAUUUAGGGCUAGUUUGGUUCGCUUCCACGUCGCGGGGUGCCUGGCAAGGAGCUUCCCUGUAGGCUGCCUGGUGCUUGUCUGGUUGGGAUACUGAGAAUUUACAUACGAGCCUGGCAUGGAGCAGCCAGGCAUGAGAUUAGCCUGCCAGGCAUCCCCGUCCAUCCGCCUGGACGGCUGGCAACACCAGCCUGGUGCCGAUCUUGCAGCUUAUAGAUGAGUUAUGGGCUGAUUUCCUCGCUCCAUGGACACGUGGUGGUGGUUGUAUAUUCAUACAUUUUUGUUUGAUCAAGUGGAAAAUUAAUAGUGGCUACACACAAGUAAUGACAUAACUGUACUGGAAAUAACUGGCACAUAAGUAAUGACAUACUCCGGCCGGUCUACAUAUUGAUGGUGGUAGUCACUUUAUAACAUGGGUGAGUUCAAUCACUUGGGGCAUGGCGGGAUCGAUCAACAUACGCAAGUGACUUUUAUCAUCUCUACUACAAUUAAAAUCCACCCUUUGUCUCGCUCCUUCUCCAUUCUUCACAAACCUCCCCAGUCGUCACACACACACUCACUAACACACUACCCACAACCCAAAAUUACUGUUGCGGUGAAAUCUGGAUCAGCUCUAAACCUUUGCUAGAGAAAUCAUUGUCAACAUUGCUGCGAGCAUAUAGAUGUCAUACUUUCUUCUCUUGGCCACACUAUGUUAGGAGUAGGAGGCAUCGGGAAGUUGGCAAGAUGUGAUUGCAGUGCUUGGAAUGUUAGGAGGGCCAGGGAGGACGUUUGGGUCAUCUGUCAUCCAGUGAAGUAUUUGAGAGCGGGGAUUUGGUGCUUGUUCCUCCUCUGCUAGCCUUCGGAUGCUUGUCUCGUUCUGGUGGUAAUGGUUUAAUGAAACGUGAUGAGUAAUGCCAAUGCGGUCAAAGAAAGAAUUCAACCGUUGAUAUUCACCUCCCCAGUCCGUUUGCAUGGCAAUGAUCUUGCAAUUAAAGAGACGUUCAACAUGAGCUUGAAAGAGAUGAAAUUUCUCAAACACAUCAGAUUUAUUUUUGAGCAAAUAGAUCCAACUGAUAUUGCUAAAAUCAUCAAUAAAACUGACAUAAUAUUUCUGUCUGCCUACAGAGACGGGUCCAGGACCCCAAACAUCCGAAAAAAUGAGCUCUAAAGGAGCUUUGGACUCACUAGUUGAACGAGAAUAAGGUAGUUGAUGGCUCUUGCCAUCUGACAUGCAUCACAAAGUUAAAGAUGAUCUUGUUUAUUUGAUACGGGAAGAUUGAAAUCUUGAAGAAUUUUCUGAACCACCGGAGAGAAGGAUGCCCUAAACGCUUGUGCCAUCGAGAUAUAGAUGGUUUCACUACUAGGGAAAAGCCUAUACACAGAAAGUUACUAGCAGCGAGGGUUAAAAACCCGCGCUACAGCUAUAAACUUAGUAGUAGCGAGGUUUAAAAACCUGCGCUAGCGCGGGUUUUUAACCCUCGCUACUACUAAGCGGUCUCUACCGUGCCCCCCGGGACAUGCCAUAGUAGUAGCGCGGGUUUUUAAAACCUCGUUACUACUAAGUUUGCUAGCAGUAGCGUUGAUUUUUAGCCCUCUCUACUACUAAGUGGUGCCAUAGUAGUAGCGAGGGGGUAAAAAACCGCGCUGCUAUUAAAGGUCCCAUUUUCAAACUCUACCCCCCCCCNNNNNNNNNNNNNNNNNNNNNNNNNNNNNNNNNNNNNNNNNNNNNNNNNNNNNNNNNNNNNNNNNNNNNNNNNNNNNNNNNNNNNNNNNNNNNNNNNNNNNNNNNNNNNNNNNNNNNNNNNNNNNNNNNNNNNNNNNNNNNNNNNNNNNNNNNNNNNNNNNNNNNNNNNNNNNNNNNNNNNNNNNNNNNNNNNNNNNNNNNNNNNNNNNNNNNNNNNNNNNNNNNNNNNNNNNNNNNNNNNNNNNNNNNNNNNNNNNNNNNNNNNNNNNNNNNNNNNNNNNNNNNNNNNNNNNNNNNNNNNNNNNNNNNNNNNNNNNNNNNNNNNNNNNNNNNNNNNNNNNNNNNNNNNNNNNNNNNNNNNNNNNNNNNNNNNNNNNNNNNNNNNNNNNNNNNNNNNNNNNNNNNNNNNNNNNNNNNNNNNNNNNNNNNNNNNNNNNNNNGUUGGGCAGCGAUGCGAGCCUCCGCUGCAAGGAGCAAGGAGAAGAGCUCGGUGAGCCUGAUCUGCUAGUCCAUGGCGGUGCGCGUGGAGAUGGCGGAGACGAAACCAUUGUAGUCGGAUUCAUGCACCAGACCUUGGAGGAUCUGAUCGACAGGGUCGUCUUCACCGAGGGCUUCCCGGCAGCUGCUAGCUCGCCAGCGAUGCCCUUCAUCCUGGUGACGUAGGCGGCUGCCGAGAGGUCCCCCUUGCAUGUGUUCCCGAGGGCAGGACGUAGCUGGAUGAUGCGUUCCCUGGAUUGCGAAGAAAAGCUCUGGAUCAGGGCUUGCCAGAUGCUAGUGGAGGUGGUGUGGUUCGAAACUUGCAUGAGAACAUCACGGAAAAGAGAGGCAAUCAAGAACGUGAGCACCUGUUGAUCCUGAGUCACCCAGAUGGCAUACUCAGGGUUGGGCGUGGGGACCGUCUCCCUCCCAUCAGCGAUUUAUUUCUCAGAAAAAGAACAGCGUUUGGCUCCUUGAUCGAUCCGUCAAGGUAGCCCAUCAUGCCCGCCGCCUUGACGUGCGGCAGGACCUGCGCCUUCCAGACCAGGAAGUUACUGGUCGUUCGGAAGUAGAUAUCCGAACAUCCCUUUGGAUCAUGGAUCCGCGUCUUUUGUAUGAUGACCCGUUUCUAUUUUGAGCUGCUUCUAUUCGUCACCUUGAGAUCAAGCCGCCGGUUCCCCACUCACAUGGCCUGCCUCCCACUCGAUUUGCCUCCAAGGGGAUUUAGGGCUAGUUUGGUUCGCUUCCACGUCGCAGGGUGCCUGGCGAGGAGCUUCCCUGUAGGCUGCCUGGUGCUUGUCUGGAUGGGAUCGUGAGAAUUUACAUACGAGCCUGGCAUGGAUCAGCGAGGCAUGAGAUUAGCCUGCCAGGCAUGCCAGUCCAUCCGCCUGGACGGCUGGCAACACCAGCCUGGUGCCGAUCUUGCAGCUUAUAGAUGAGUUAUGGGCUGAUUUCCUCGCUCCAUGGACACGUGGUGGUGGUUGUAUAUUCAUACAUUUUUGUUUGAUCAAGGGGAAAAUUAAUAGUGGCUACACACAAGUAAUGACAUAACUGUACUGGAAAUAACUGGCACAUAAGUAAUGACAUACUCCGGCCGGUCUACAUAUUGAUGGUGGUAGUCACUUUAUAACAUGGGUGAGUUCAAUCACUUGGGGCAUGGCGAGAUCGAUCAACAUACGCAAGUGACUUUUAUCAUCUCUACUACAAUUAAAAUCCACCCUUUGUCUCGCUCCUUCUCCAUUCUUCACAAACCUCCCCAGUCGUCACACACACACUCACUAACACACUACCCACAACCCAAAAUUACUGUUGCGGUGAAAUCUGGAUCAGCUCUAAACCUUUGCUAGAGAAAUCAUUGUCAACAUUGCUGCGAGCAUAUAGAUGUCAUACUUUCUUCUCUUGGCCACACUAUGUUAGGAGUAGGAGGCAUCGGGAAGUUGGCAAGAUGUGAUUGCAGUGCUUGGAAUGUUAGGAGGGCNNNNNNNNNNAAAAAAAAUAAAAGAAAAUGAUGAAAAUGUCCAAAAAUAAAAUAAAAUAAGUUUCCCAUGUGAUAUGUGGUCUAGUUAUUGGGAAAAUUUGCAAAUAUGAAUUUCGACUUUAUUUGCAAAAUCUCUUGAGAAUUUGUAAAAAUGGGCAUAACUUUUGCAUACUAACUCGGAUGAAAAAGUUUUUUAUAUGAAAAAUCAUCUACUCGAAAAGUUAGUUCCGAAUUUAAUAGGGGGAACCCCGUUAAACAUUUUCAAAAUCCUCAAAAACCAAACAAAAAAUAUCUAGAGUGGAAAAAAUCGAAAAAAAUUCAAAUUGUGUGGUCAAACUGUGGUCAAACAAUGGUCAAACUAAUUAUUCUAGAAUAUUAGUGUUACUAAAUAAUUAUUUUAGUUUUUUUUAAUUUUGGUCAAAUCUGGUCAAACUAUGGCCAAACUAUGGUCAAACUAAUUAUUCAAGAAAUAUUAGUGUUACUAAUUUUUUAGAACAAUAGUUUCAAACUCAAAUGGUGAAAUGUGUGACUUCAUGCUCAAGCUAAAUUCCUAAGGUUAAUAGGAUUGACAUCUUACUAUUGUCAGGAAAACAACAAGUGCAGACUUGGAAGCGAGGGAGAAUAGAACCCGAAAGUUAAGCGUGCUCGGGUUGGAGUAGUGAGAGGAUGGGUGACCGUCCGGGAAGUUAGAUGAUUUAGAUUGAUGAGGGGUGAUUAGAGAUUAAAUUGAGUAGCGGUGAGGGGUGAUUAGAGAUUUGAGGUUAAAAUAAUUCAAAAAUUUGAAAAAUAGGGGAAAAAUCGAAAUAUUUUUUUGAAAAAAUUCAAAAAAAAAACCUGCGCUGGUAGUAGUAGCGCAGGUUUUUACCCACGCUACUACUAAAGGACGUAGUAGUAGCGCGGGUGGCACCCGCGCUACUGCUAUAAAUUAGCUGUAGCGCCUUAUUAGUAGCGCCGGCCCCCGCGCUGCUGCUAGGCUUUUCCCUAGUAGUGUUUGAUUGCUCCAAGCACUUUCCUUUGAGGAGCACUCUGCCGCCCGGUCACAGGAAACAUGCGCCACCUACUCCUGUUUUGAAGAAUUGUUCUCCGGGUAUCCUGAUCCUUGACAAGAAAGGUUUCAGGGUGAAGUUCAAUAAACACAUGAUUAUAUUUCAUAAGUUGAUAUGCAGAAAGAAGACUUUGCUCGACACUAGGAACAUGGAGAAUAUUAUUCAGAUUCAACGACCCGGAGGGAGUAGAUAAGCCUGAGUGGCCAAUAUGUGCAAUGUCCAUACCUUGACCGCUAGCAGUGUGAAUUUGCUCGUUGAUGGUGUAGCGAUCCCGAAUGGCAAGCUUAUCCAACUCUCCGGUGAUAUGGUCUGUCGCACCGGUGUUGAGAUACCAGUUGGUAUCUACGUCAUACAAGUGUGCUGCGUUGGCGGGACGAUGUUGGCCACCACCACCGCCGCCGCCGCCACCAUUGCCGCAACCACCACCUCCUACGGGAUGACGAUAGUUGUUGUUGUAGCCCUUGUCGUAGCUUUUCCUGUAGCGCCAUGCACCAUGGCCUUCCUUCUUGCAUAUCUGGCAGCGCUCACGAUCACUGUGGUCACCACCCUGCUUGCGCGGUGCACCACCAGAAGAGCCGCCGCUGGAGUUGUCGGAGUAGCGAGGGGCGGUAGAAUUGUUGUUGUUGUAGUCGGCACGUCCGCCGCCGCUGCCGCCGCCGCGGCUGUAGUUGCCACCUCGGCCUCCAUGAGACGAGAGAUUGGCGGAGUGGUUGGAGGAGAAGGCCGCCNNNNNNNNNNNNNNNNNNNNNNNNNNNNNNNNNNNNNNNNNNNNNNNNNNNNNNNNNNNNNNNNNNNNNNNNNNNNNNNNNNNNNNNNNNNNNNNNNNNNNNNNNNNNNNNNNNNNNNNNNNNNNNNNNNNNNNNNNNNNNNNNNNNNNNNNNNNNNNNNNNNNNNNNNNNNNNNNNNNNNNNNNNNNNNNNNNNNNNNNNNNNNNNNNNNNNNNNNNNNNNNNNNNNNNNNNNNNNNNNNNNNNNNNNNNNNNNNNNNNNNNNNNNNNNNNNNNNNNNNNNNNNNNNNNNNNNNNNNNNNNNNNNNNNNNNNNNNNNNNNNNNNNNNNNNNNNNNNNNNNNNNNNNNNNNNNNNNNNNNNNNNNNNNNNNNNNNNNNNNNNNNNNNNNNNNNNNNNNNNNNNNNNNNNNNNNNNNNNNNNNNNNNNNNNNNNNNNNNNNNNNNNNNNNNNNNNNNNNNNNNNNNNNNNNNNNNNNNNNNNNNNNNNNNNNNNNNNNNNNNNNNNNNNNNNNNNNNNNNNNNNNNNNNNNNNNNNNNNNNNNNNNNNNNNNNNNNNNNNNNNNNNNNNNNNNNNNNNNNNNNNNNNNNNNNNNNNNNNNNNNNNNNNNNNNNNNNNNNNNNNNNNNNNNNNNNNNNNNNNNNNNNNNNNNNNNNNNNNNNNNNNNNNNNNNNNNNNNNNNNNNNNGAUCGAUCAACAUACGCAAGUGACUUUUAUCAUCUCUACUACAAUUAAAAUCCACCCUUUGUCUCGCUCCUUCUCCAUUCUUCACAAACCUCCCCAGUCGUCACACACACACUCACUAACACACUACCCACAACCCAAAAUUACUGUUGCGGUGAAAUCUGGAUCAGCUCUAAACCUUUGCUAGAGAAAUCAUUGUCAACAUUGCUGCGAGCAUAUAGAUGUCAUACUUUCUUCUCUUGGCCACACUAUGUUAGGAGUAGGAGGCAUCGGGAAGUUGGCAAGAUGUGAUUGCAGUGCUUGGAAUGUUAGGAGGGCCAGGGAGGACGUUUGGGUCAUCUGUCAUCCAGUGAAGUAUUUGAGAGCGGGGAUUUGGUGCUUGUUCCUCCUCUGCUAGCCUUCGGAUGCUUGUCUCGUUCUGGUGGUAAUGGUUUAAUGAAACGUGAUGAGUAAUGCCAAUGCGGUCAAAGAAAGAAUUCAACCGUUGAUAUUCACCUCCCCAGUCCGUUUGCAUGGCAAUGAUCUUGCAAUUAAAGAGACGUUCAACAUGAGCUUGAAAGAGAUGAAAUUUCUCAAACACAUCAGAUUUAUUUUUGAGCAAAUAGAUCCAACUGAUAUUGCUAAAAUCAUCAAUAAAACUGACAUAAUAUUUCUGUCUGCCUACAGAGACGGGUCCAGGACCCCAAACAUCCGAAAAAAUGAGCUCUAAAGGAGCUUUGGACUCACUAGUUGAACGAGAAUAAGGUAGUUGAUGGCUCUUGCCAUCUGACAUGCAUCACAAAGUUAAAGAUGAUCUUGUUUAUUUGAUACGGGAAGAUUGAAAUCUUGAAGAAUUUUCUGAACCACCGGAGAGAAGGAUGCCCUAAACGCUUGUGCCAUCGAGAUAUAGAUGGUUUCACUACUAGGGAAAAGCCUAUACACAGAAAGUUACUAGCAGCGAGGGUUAAAAACCCGCGCUACAGCUAUAAACUUAGUAGUAGCGAGGUUUAAAAACCUGCGCUAGCGCGGGUUUUUAACCCUCGCUACUACUAAGCGGUCUCUACCGUGCCCCCCGGGACAUGCCAUAGUAGUAGCGCGGGUUUUUAAAACCUCGUUACUACUAAGUUUGCUAGCAGUAGCGUUGAUUUUUAGCCCUCUCUACUACUAAGUGGUGCCAUAGUAGUAGCGAGGGGGUAAAAAACCGCGCUGCUAUUAAAGGUCCCAUUUUCAAACUCUACCCCCCCCCACCCCCUGUGGAUCGCCUUUUCAGUUUAAAAAAAAAUAAAAGAAAAUGAUGAAAAUGUCCAAAAAUAAAAUAAAAUAAGUUUCCCAUGUGAUAUGUGGUCUAGUUAUUGGGAAAAUUUGCAAAUAUGAAUUUCGACUUUAUUUGCAAAAUCUCUUGAGAAUUUGUAAAAAUGGGCAUAACUUUUGCAUACUAACUCGGAUGAAAAAGUUUUUUAUAUGAAAAAUCAUCUACUCGAAAAGUUAGUUCCGAAUUUAAUAGGGGGAACCCCGUUAAACAUUUUCAAAAUCCUCAAAAACCAAACAAAAAAUAUCUAGAGUGGAAAAAAUCGAAAAAAAUUCAAAUUGUGUGGUCAAACUGUGGUCAAACAAUGGUCAAACUAAUUAUUCUAGAAUAUUAGUGUUACUAAAUAAUUAUUUUAGUUUUUUUUAAUUUUGGUCAAAUCUGGUCAAACUAUGGCCAAACUAUGGUCAAACUAAUUAUUCAAGAAAUAUUAGUGUUACUAAUUUUUUAGAACAAUAGUUUCAAACUCAAAUGGUGAAAUGUGUGACUUCAUGCUCAAGCUAAAUUCCUAAGGUUAAUAGGAUUGACAUCUUACUAUUGUCAGGAAAACAACAAGUGCAGACUUGGAAGCGAGGGAGAAUAGAACCCGAAAGUUAAGCGUGCUCGGGUUGGAGUAGUGAGAGGAUGGGUGACCGUCCGGGAAGUUAGAUGAUUUAGAUUGAUGAGGGGUGAUUAGAGAUUAAAUUGAGUAGCGGUGAGGGGUGAUUAGAGAUUUGAGGUUAAAAUAAUUCAAAAAUUUGAAAAAUAGGGGAAAAAUCGAAAUAUUUUUUUGAAAAAAUUCAAAAAAAAAACCUGCGCUGGUAGUAGUAGCGCAGGUUUUUACCCACGCUACUACUAAAGGACGUAGUAGUAGCGCGGGUGGCACCCGCGCUACUGCUAUAAAUUAGCUGUAGCGCCUUAUUAGUAGCGCCGGCCCCCGCGCUGCUGCUAGGCUUUUCCCUAGUAGUGUUUGAUUGCUCCAAGCACUUUCCUUUGAGGAGCACUCUGCCGCCCGGUCACAGGAAACAUGCGCCACCUACUCCUGUUUUGAAGAAUUGUUCUCCGGGUAUCCUGAUCCUUGACAAGAAAGGUUUCAGGGUGAAGUUCAAUAAACACAUGAUUAUAUUUCAUAAGUUGAUAUGCAGAAAGAAGACUUUGCUCGACACUAGGAACAUGGAGAAUAUUAUUCAGAUUCAACGACCCGGAGGGAGUAGAUAAGCCUGAGUGGCCAAUAUGUGCAAUGUCCAUACCUUGACCGCUAGCAGUGUGAAUUUGCUCGUUGAUGGUGUAGCGAUCCCGAAUGGCAAGCUUAUCCAACUCUCCGGUGAUAUGGUCUGUCGCACCGGUGUUGAGAUACCAGUUGGUAUCUACGUCAUACAAGUGUGCUGCGUUGGCGGGACGAUGUUGGCCACCACCACCGCCGCCGCCGCCACCAUUGCCGCAACCACCACCUCCUACGGGAUGACGAUAGUUGUUGUUGUAGCCCUUGUCGUAGCUUUUCCUGUAGCGCCAUGCACCAUGGCCUUCCUUCUUGCAUAUCUGGCAGCGCUCACGAUCACUGUGGUCACCACCCUGCUUGCGCGGUGCACCACCAGAAGAGCCGCCGCUGGAGUUGUCGGAGUAGCGAGGGGCGGUAGAAUUGUUGUUGUUGUAGUCGGCACGUCCGCCGCCGCUGCCGCCGCCGCGGCUGUAGUUGCCACCUCGGCCUCCAUGAGACGAGAGAUUGGCGGAGUGGUUGGAGGAGAAGGCCGCCUGUUGGGCAGCGAUGCGAGCCUCCGCUGCAAGGAGCAAGGAGAAGAGCUCGGUGAGCCUGAUCUGCUAGUCCAUGGCGGUGCGCGUGGAGAUGGCGGAGACGAAACCAUUGUAGUCGGAUUCAUGCACCAGACCUUGGAGGAUCUGAUCGACAGGGUCGUCUUCACCGAGGGCUUCCCGGCAGCUGCUAGCUCGCCAGCGAUGCCCUUCAUCCUGGUGACGUAGGCGGCUGCCGAGAGGUCCCCCUUGCAUGUGUUCCCGAGGGCAGGACGUAGCUGGAUGAUGCGUUCCCUGGAUUGCGAAGAAAAGCUCUGGAUCAGGGCUUGCCAGAUGCUAGUGGAGGUGGUGUGGUUCGAAACUUGCAUGAGAACAUCACGGAAAAGAGAGGCAAUCAAGAACGUGAGCACCUGUUGAUCCUGAGUCACCCAGAUGGCAUACUCAGGGUUGGGCGUGGGGACCGUCUCCCUCCCAUCAGCGAUUUAUUUCUCAGAAAAAGAACAGCGUUUGGCUCCUUGAUCGAUCCGUCAAGGUAGCCCAUCAUGCCCGCCGCCUUGACGUGCGGCAGGACCUGCGCCUUCCAGACCAGGAAGUUACUGGUCGUUCGGAAGUAGAUAUCCGAACAUCCCUUUGGAUCAUGGAUCCGCGUCUUUUGUAUGAUGACCCGUUUCUAUUUUGAGCUGCUUCUAUUCGUCACCUUGAGAUCAAGCCGCCGGUUCCCCACUCACAUGGCCUGCCUCCCACUCGAUUUGCCUCCAAGGGGAUUUAGGGCUAGUUUGGUUCGCUUCCACGUCGCAGGGUGCCUGGCGAGGAGCUUCCCUGUAGGCUGCCUGGUGCUUGUCUGGAUGGGAUCGUGAGAAUUUACAUACGAGCCUGGCAUGGAUCAGCGAGGCAUGAGAUUAGCCUGCCAGGCAUGCCAGUCCAUCCGCCUGGACGGCUGGCAACACCAGCCUGGUGCCGAUCUUGCAGCUUAUAGAUGAGUUAUGGGCUGAUUUCCUCGCUCCAUGGACACGUGGUGGUGGUUGUAUAUUCAUACAUUUUUGUUUGAUCAAGGGGAAAAUUAAUAGUGGCUACACACAAGUAAUGACAUAACUGUACUGGAAAUAACUGGCACAUAAGUAAUGACAUACUCCGGCCGGUCUACAUAUUGAUGGUGGUAGUCACUUUAUAACAUGGGUGAGUUCAAUCACUUGGGGCAUGGCGAGAUCGAUCAACAUACGCAAGUGACUUUUAUCAUCUCUACUACAAUUAAAAUCCACCCUUUGUCUCGCUCCUUCUCCAUUCUUCACAAACCUCCCCAGUCGUCACACACACACUCACUAACACACUACCCACAACCCAAAAUUACUGUUGCGGUGAAAUCUGGAUCAGCUCUAAACCUUUGCUAGAGAAAUCAUUGUCAACAUUGCUGCGAGCAUAUAGAUGUCAUACUUUCUUCUCUUGGCCACACUAUGUUAGGAGUAGGAGGCAUCGGGAAGUUGGCAAGAUGUGAUUGCAGUGCUUGGAAUGUUAGGAGGGCUAGGGAGGACGUUUGGGUCAUCUGUCAUCCAGUGAAGUAUUUGAGGGCGGGGAUUUGGUGCUUGUUCCUCCUCUGCUAGCCUUCAGAUGCUUGUCUAGUUCUGGUGGUAACGGUCUGGGCCGAAGGAUGAUGAAGUGGUAGUGUUGUUUCUCUGGUCUGUCUACCUGCCUGUUGUCCCUAAGGUUCAAUCGAAGCAGGUGUAUGGGCUGAGAGCCAAAAUCAUCCUAUAAUAUCCAACAGGUGGGCCUAGACCUGAAAAUAAAGAAAAAAAAUGUGCAAUUUUAUAUAGCUGUCAACCAAGGUCUGGCAUUUCUAUAUGCUGUAUAAAAGUAAUUUACGGGCUAAUCAUAAAAGACUUAGCUAUAAAAUUCAAGAAUAAUAAAAAUCAUUCAGCCAUUGAGUAAACUUACUAAACGAUCACAACCAAUAGAUCUUCAAAAGAGUCCAUUAACAUUAGAGUUAAAAAGUAUUUCGCACCAAUGCCCUUUAUUAAGAAAGAUUAUGCAAACAUGCUCGUAUAUGAUAGAACAUAUAUCUUAAGAAAUACCAAGAAAAUCAUGGCUCAGUCAUCCCAAAUUUUGUCAGAGGUUUAUUAAGAAAAUACUAAAUUUGAAGCAUUGAGUCAUUGGCAUACAUAGAAGUAAGAAACUUCCUUAGCUAGGUCGGAAAACCCAUUCUUUUUCGUUUUGAAUGUACUUCGCAAAGGGUAUCGUGAUUGCAUUGUUGGGUACACUCACUUCAGGUUUGCAAUUAUACUUAAAUUUUCACUAAGCUGUCUUGUUUGUACCUGAAUAUAAAUUAUAUCUGGAAUAAUAGAUGUCUUGGAAUAGAUAGGAUACGAACCAAGAAUAUAACGACAGGAAUCAUUAAAAUACCUUUUUACAUGUAGAUAGCUACAAUAUAUGAAAGGGGUUGUGCCCUUUGAGUUACAAUCAGAUAUAGGAAGAAAUUCAUUGCAAGAUCAACGUAAUAACUGCUCCAUAUUUCGAGCAAUUGACAAGAACUACUACCAUUGGGGUUUACCUCCCAGAAAACAACACAUUUUUUACUCCGCAAAACGUACCCCUUGAUUGCCAAAAUUCCCUAAAAAACUACCAUAUUCAGUUAGUGAUUGUUUUAGGCAAUUUAAACCCGUUUAUGACAGGCAGGAUCUACCCGUCAGGGCUGACAUGGCAUGAAAGUCAACUCUGUUAAGUUUGACCAUUAAGUUGAUGGCUAUGACAGGUGAGGCCCACAUGUUAUCCCUGAUAACGAAUUCUCUCUAGGGCAAUUAGCUAGUCUUGCAACUUCAUGGUCGGGAACAGGAGGACCUCCUUGAAAUUCUGAGAGUCCAUCAGCAACAUGGCGAGGCGAUCAAUCCCAAGAGCCCAACCUCCAAUCGGCGGCAGGCCUUACUCAAGUGCAGUGCAGAACGUUCCGUCCAUGGCCAUCGCUUCAUUUUCAUCGUGUUGAUGGUCAUUGCGCUCAUCAAACCGCUGCAUGUGCACAACGGGGCCAUUCAACUUAUGCGUUUUGAUAAACAACUCAAACCCUUCGGCCAGUCUAGGUUGGGCCUCGUUCGUGUGGGACAUGGCCAGUGGGCUCAUGAUCUCUAGAUGGUUGGUGAUGAACGUUGAUAAAGAAGGUUGUAUGCUUUAAUUGAAUCAGAGGAUAAAGGUUCCAAUAUGCCUUACUUGAUAUUUGAUACAAAGGCUAUAGGUUCGAACAUCCCUUUUGAAAAAAAACUAAGGGAUGACUGUAGGUGAGAUUUUACAUCUACCACCUCUCCCAUUGGCGCAGAGACCGCCCUUAUAACUGGAGUGGCACAUCGGUCCCACGCUACAGGUAGUGCCAGGUCAUUGAGACCGCAAGCUGCUCAAGAACCCGUACAUGUAAAUAGAUUGCUUCUAGCACUUCAUCGUAGCGUCUAUAAAAGCAAGGCCCCCGCUCUCCAAAAAUCAGAAUCCACUUCUCCGGUGCCUACUCAUCUCACGAACAUGCACUGCCUCAGGAAUACACAUCUCAUAAGGCAAGGCAAUGCUCUUGAAAUCCAGAUCAGAUCUCUAACUUUUUGAUCCACCAAUUGCAAAAUAGUUGCUAGCUUGAUGUAUUUUCCCUAGCUAUCAUGUGUAAAAGUAGGAGGCAUCGGGAGAUCUAGAACCACAUUUGUGAACCGCCAUAGACUACAUUGAUUUCUGCUCUCCAACGUCGGGUCUUCGUUGUUCGCUGGAGACGCGCGUGUCUAUUGGCGCAGGUCAUGAAGUCGAGGAUGCAUCUUACCCGGUGCUUUUCCGCGAGAAAUGCACCUACACAAAAUCGAUCGAGGACUAUCGAUCACAUAUGUGGAAGCUAGCCUCAAUUACGCCAACCGGAGGUUGAAGCGAAACACAUGCCAACAUGCUGAUCCGAUCUCGACGAGAACACAUUCAUGCGAUGCAUGAUUGUUUGUAGCAGGUGCGAUACAAACUGACCUAGACUAUGACACAUACAAUGAGGUCGUGCCAAUUCGCCAUGAUUAUCCGAUAGUGUUCAUACUCAACAUGCUACAGCAUCAUCGAUGUCAUCAUCAUCCUUCUCCACGCUACACGUUAUGACCAGAAAAUUGACCAUUGAUUGAGUGUCUGUCACGAGUGAGGGAGUCCUGGAUUAGGGGGUAUCCGGACAGCCGGAGUAUAUACAUCGUCCGGACUAUUGGAGCGUGAAGAUACAAGACUCAAGACUCCGUCCCUUGUCCGGAAGGGACUCUCCUUUGUGUGGAAGACAAGAUUGGCGAUCCGGAUAUUGUGUUUCCUUCCUUGUAACCGACUCCAUGUAAACCCUAGCCCUCUCCGGUGUCUAUAUAAACCGGAGAGGUUGGUCCUUAGAAGGCCGGUCACAACUACAAUCAUAAUCAUCAUAGGCUAGCUUCUAGGGUUUAGCCUCUAAGAUCUCGUGGUAGAUCUACUCUUGUACUACUCAUAUCAUCAAUAUUAAUCAAGCAGGAAGUAGGGUUUUACCUCCAUCGAGAAGGUCCGAACCUGGGUAAACAUUGUGUCCCUUGCUUCCUGUUACCAUCAGCCUGAGACGCAUAGAUCGGGACCCCCUACCCGAGAUCCGUCGGUUUUGACACCGACAUUGGUGCUUUCAUUGAGAGUUCCUCCGUGUCGCCGCUGCGAGGCUUGAUGGCGCCUUCAAUCGUCAACAACACGGUCCAGGGCGAGACUUUUCUCACCAGACAGAUCUUCGUGUUCGGCGGCUUCACACUGCGGGCCAAUUCGCUUGGCCAUCUGGAGUAGAUCGACAGCUACGCCCCUGGCCACCAGGUCAGGUUCGGAAACCUGAACUACAUGGCCGAUAUCCACGGAGACAUGAUCUUCGACGGAAUCUGGCAUGUGCCAGGAGCGCCAGACAGUCACGAUGAGCACGGCCUAGACCUGUUGUCGAACAGUGCUCGGGAUAUCACCCCUGCAGUAGCCUCGGACCUAAAUCCGGAGCAGACUGCGUGGCCCAAGGACGGGGGGAUGGACCCCGCCCCGCAGGCCGCACACUCAUCGGCGGUAGAGCCAAACCCAAGCCUCACCUGUAGGGACGCUUGUGAUUCCGGACCCCCGGACUCGUAUCCGGUUGUAGGUUCCAGUCCGCGCGCUCCCGAGCCCGCCGAGCCUGGUUGGGCUCCGUUAAUGGAGUUUACCACUGCGGAUAUCUUCCAGCACACGCCCUUUGGCGACAUGCCGAAUUCAUUAAAGUCUCUCUCUUUGUCAGGAGGCUCUCGGUCGAACUAUGUCCGGCUCGAGGGGGAAGCUAGCGACGAAGGAAUUCGUUGCCCACCCACCACCCACUUCAUAGCCACGGUCGAUGAUUUGACCGACGUGUUGGACUUCGACUUUGAAGGCAUCAACGGUUUGAAGGACGAUGUAGGAGAAAAACAGGAACAACCACCCACGGGGCGGUGGACAGCCACCUCUUCAUAUGACAUAUAUAUGGUGGACACUCCAAAAGAAACCAAUGGCAAUGAGGCAAUGGAGGAUAACCCCUCCAAGAAGAAAGCAAAGCAUGGGCGUCGCCAGCGCCGCUCCAAGCCCCGCCACAGCAAUACCGGCACCGGAGACGAAAACAAUCCGGACGAUGCCGAAGAUCAAUACAACCCCGAUCAGCCCGCCUUCGAGCAGGCCGAGCAAGAAGAUGGGCAUGACAGCCCAGACGAAUAGGUGACGGACGGGUAUCCGGAGGAGGACAACUACGUGCCCCCCUCCGAAGACGAGAUUAGCCUCGGAGACGACGAGUUCGGCGUGCCUGAGGAUCCCAUGGAGCAGGAGCGCUUCAAGCGCCGGCUUAUUGCCACUGCGAGGAGCCUGAAGAAGAAGCAGCAGCAGCUUUAAGCUGAUCAAGACCUGCUCACAGACAGAUGGACAGAAGUCCUGGCAGCCGAGAAAUAUGGACUCGAGCGCCACACGGCUGACCGGCCACCUCGUGGCCAGGAUAAAACGGCAUAUCAGCCCGAAUACCAGCCCGCACCCCCGCACCAGUUUACUACGGCCCGGGGAAAUACUCAGGACCUGCGAGACAAAUUGGAAAACAACGCAGGACAACCAAGAUCGAUCUACGGAUCAUGGGGGCGCGCUGUAGCACAUGAAGAUAACCGUCAUACCGGAUACAUUAACAGUAAAUCCGGCUAGGCCGAACACAAUCAACCAGACUUAGUCGGAUUGCGUCGCGAUAUAGCCCGACACAGAGGCACCGCACACCCCCUCUGCUUCACCGAUGAAGCGAUGGAUCAUGAAUUCCCAGAAGGGUUCAAACCCGUAAACAUCGAAUCAUACGAUGGCACAACAGACCCUACAGUAUGGAUUGAAGACUUCUCCACAUUCACAUGGCCCGCGGAGACGAUCUACACGCCAUCAAGUACCUUCCCCUUAAGCUUAAAGGACCCGCCCGGCACUAGCUAAACAACCUGCCCGCAAAUUCCAUUGGCAGUUGGGAAAACCUGGAAGACGCAUUCCUCGACAACUUCCAAGGCACGUAUGUGAGACCACCGGACGCCGAUGACUUGAGCCACAUUACUCAACAGCCUGGAGAAUCAGCCAGGAAAUUCUGGACUCGGUUCCUAACUAAAAAGAACCAAAUAGUUGACUGUCUGGACGCCGAAGCCCUGGCGGCCUUUAAGUAUAAUAUCCACGACGAGUGGCUCGCCCGACACCUCGGCCAGGAGAAACACAAGUCCAUGGCAACUCUCAUGACACUAAUGACCCGCUUUUGCACGGGCGAGGACAGAUGGUUGGCUCGCAGCAGCACUACGCCACAUUCUGGCACUUCAGACGUCCGUGACAAUAAUGGCAAGCCAUGGCGCAAUAGACACAAGCGACGGAACAACAGCGACAACACCGAAGACACGACAGUCAACGCCGGAUUCAGCGGAUCCAAAUCCGAUCAGCGGAAGAAACUGUUCAAACGAAACAAUCAGGGGCCGUCCAGUCUGGACCGCAUACUGGACCGCCCGUGCCAAAUUCAUGGCACCCCCGACAAGCCAGCCAACCACACUAAUAGAGACUGCUGGGUGUUCAAACAGGCCGGUAAAAUAAACGCCGAAAACAAGGGCAAGGGGCUGCACAACGACGAUGACGAAGAGCCCCGGCGUCCGAACACGGGGGGACAGAAGAAAUUUCCCCCCAGGUGAAAACGGUCAACAUGAUCUACGCUGCCCACAUCCCCAAAAGGGAACGGAAGCGAGCACUACGGGACGUCUACGCGAUGGAGCCAGUCGCCCCAAAAUUCAACCCAUGGUCAGCCUGUCCGAUCACCUUUGAUUGUAGGGAUCACCCUACCAGCAUCCGUCAGGCGGUUCAGCCGCAUUGGUUCUAGACCCAAUCAUAGACGGAUUUCACCUUACACGAGUCCUUAUGGACGGAGCCAGCAGCCUGAACCUGCUUUAUCAGGACACAGUGCGCAAAAUGGGCAUUGACCCUUCAAGGAUCAAGCCCACCAAAACCACCUUUAAAGGUGUAAUUCCUGGAGUAGAGGCCCAUUGUACGGGCUCUAUAACAUUGGAAGUGGUCUUCGAAUCUCCGGAUAACUUCCGAAGCAAAGAGUUAAUCUUCGAUAUCGUCCCUUUCCGUAGUGGUUAUCACGCAUUGCUCGGAUGAACCGCAUCUGCUAGAUUCAAUGCGGUACCACACUAUGCAUACCUCAAGCUCAAGAUGUCAGGACCGCGCAAGGUCAUAACAGUCGACGGAAAUAUGGACCGCUCUCUCCGUACAGAAGAGCAUACUGCAGCCCUCGCAGCGGAAGUACAAUGCGGCCUCCUCCGACAAACCACCAAUCCGGCGACGACAACCUCGAGCACCGUCAAGCGAGUCUGGAGCACCCCGCAACAGGAUCACCAGGCACGCCAAGAGCGCGACUAGCAGUCCAGCCUCCGCUCAAGCCCAAUCAAAGCAGCAUUCAUGCCAUGCGUACACAAUUACGCACUGAAAAUACCAUGGGCACAGGCGGAGGAUCAGCAGUGACUCAGUCAACAGUGCAGUUGAAGGAAAUAUGCCCUAGAGGCAAUAAUAAAGUUAUUAUUUAUUUCCUCAUAUCAUGAUAAAUGUUUAUUAUUCAUGCUAGAAUUGUAUUAACCGGAAACAUGAUACAUGUGUGAAUACAUAGACAAACAUAUAGUCACUAGUAUGCCUCUACUUGACUAGCUCAUUAAUCAAAGAUGGUUAUGUUUCCUAACCAUAGACAUGUGUUGUCAUUUGAUUAAUGGGAUCACAUCAUUAGGAGAAUGAUGUGAUUGACAUGACCCAUUCCGUUAGCCUAGCACUUGAUCGUUUAGUUUGUUGCUAUUGCUUUCUUCAUGACUUAUACAUGUUCCUGUAACUAUGAGAUUAUGCAACUCCCGUUUACCGGAGGAACACUUUGGGUGCUACCAAACGUCACAACGUAACUGGGUGAUUAUAAAGGAGUACUAUAGGUGUCUCCAUAGGUACAUGUUGGGUUCGCGUAUUUCGAGAUUAGGAUUUGUCACUCCGAUUGUGGGAGAGGUAUCUCUGGGCCCUCUCGGUAAUGCACAUCACUAUAAGCCUUGCAAGCAAUCUGACAAAUGAGUUGGUUACGAGAUGAUGCAUUACGUAACGAGUAAAGAGACUUGCCGGUAACGAGAUUGAACUAGGUAUUGGAUACCAACGAUUAAAUCUCGGGCAAGUAACAUACCGAUGACAAAGGGAACAACGUAUGUUGUUAUGCGGUUUGACCGAUAAAGAUCUUCGUAGAAUAUGUAGGAACCAAUAUGGGCAUCUAGGUUCCGCUAUUGGUUAUUGACCGAGAAUAGUUCUAGGUCAUGUCUACAUAGUUCUCGAACCCGUAGGGUCCGCACGCUUAACGUUACGAUGACUGUUUUAUUAUGAGUUUACAAGUUUUGAUGUACCGAAGUUUGUUCGGAGUCCCGGAUGUGAUCACGGACAUGACGAGGAGUCUUGAAAUGGUCGAGACAUAAAGAUUGAUAUAUUGGACGACUAUAUUCGGACACCGGAAGUGUUCCGGACAUUUUCGGAGAAAACCGGAGUGCCGGAGGGUUACCGGAACCCCCCCGGGAGAGAUAAUGGGCCACAUGGGCCUUGGUGGAAAGAGAGAGGGGCGGCCAGGGUGGGCCGCGCGCCCCCUCUCCCUCUGGUCCGAAUUGGACAAGGAGGGGGGGCAGCGCCCCCCUCUUUCCUUCCCCCCUCUCCCCCUUCCUUCCCCCUCCUAGUAGGAGUAGGAAAGGGGGAGUCCUACUCCUACUAGGAGGAGGACUCCUCCUCCUUGGCGCGCCCACAAGGGCCGGCCGGCCUCCCCCUCCCUUCUUUAUAUACGGGGGCAGGGGGGCACCCCAUGACACACAAGUUGAUCUACGGAUUGUUCCUUAGCCGUGUGCGGUGCCCCCCUCCACCAUAUUCCACCUCGGUCAUAUCGUCGCGGAGUUUAGGCGAAGCCCUGCGCCGGUAGAACAUCAUCAUCGUCACCACACCGUCGUGCUGACGGAACUCAUCCCCGAAGCUUUGCUGGAUCGGAGCCCGGGGAUCGUCAUCGAGCUGAACGUGUGCUGAACUCGGAGGUGCCGUACGUUCAGUACUUGGAUCGGUCGGAUCGUGAAGACAUCCGACUAGAUCAACCGCAUUGUCAUAACGCUUCCGCUUACAGUCUACGAGGGUAUGUGGACAACACUCUCCCCUCUCGUUGCUAUGUCAUCACCAUGAUCUUGCGUGUGCGUAGGAAAUUUUUUGAAAUUACUACGUUCCCCAACAGUGGCAUCCGAGCCUGGUUUUAUGCUUAGAUGUCAUAUGCACGAGUAGAACACAAGUGAGUUGCGGGCGAUACAAGUCAUACUGCUUACCAGCAUGUCAUACUUUGGUUCGGUGGUAUUGUGAGAUGAAGCGGCCCGGACCGACAUUACGCGUACGCUUAUGCGAGACUGGUUUCACCGUUACGAGCACUCGUGCUUAAAGGUGGCUGGCGGGUGUCUGUCUCUCUCACUUUAGCUGAAUCGAGUGUGGCUACGCCCAGUCCUUGUGAAGGUUAAAACAACACUAAUUUGACAAACUAUCGUUGUGGUUUUGAUGCGUAGGUAAGAACGGUUCUUGCUAAGCCCGUAGCAGCCACGUAAAACUUGCAACAACAAAGUAGAGGACGUCUAACUUGUUUUUGCAGGGCAUGUUGUGAUGUGAUAUGGUCAAGACGUGAUGCUGUAUUUUAUUGUAUGAGAUGAUCAUGUUUUGUAACCGAAGUUAUCGGCAACUGGCAGGACCCAUAUGGUUGUCGUUUUAUUGUAUGAAAUGCAAAUGCCCUGUAAUUGCUUUACUUUAUCACUAAGCGGUAGUGAUAGUUGUAGAAGCAAUAGAUGGCGUAAACGACAACGAUGCUACGAUGAAGAUCAAGGUGUCGCGCCGGUGACGAUGGUGAUCACGACGGUGCUUCGGAGAUGGAGAUCACAAGCACAAGAUGAUGAUGGCCAUAUCAUAUCACUUAUAUUGAUUGCAUGCGAUGUUAAUCCUUUAUGCAUCUUAUCUUGCUUUGAUUGACGGUAGCAUUUUAAGAUGAUCUCUCACUAAAAUUAUCAAGAAGUGUUCUCCCUGAGUAUGCACCGUUGCCAAAGUUCGUCGUGCCCAAACACCACGUGAUGAUCGGGUGAGAUAAGCUCUACGUCCAUCUACAACGGGUGCAAGCCAGUUUUGCACACGCAGAAUACUCAGGUUAAACUUGACGAGCCUAGCAUAUGCAGAUAUGGCCUCGGAAUACGGAGACCGAAAGGUCGAGCGUGAAUCAUAUAGUAGAUAUGAUCAACAUAGUGAUGUUCACCAUUGAAAACUACUCCAUCUCACGUGAUGAUCAGUUAUGGUUUAGUUGAUUUGGAUCACGUGAUCACUUAGAUGACAAGAGAGAUGUCUGUCUAAGUGGGAGUUCUUAAGUAAUAUGAUUAAUUGAACUUAAAUUUAUCAUGAACUUACUACCUGAUAGUAUUUUGCUUAUCUAUGUUUGUUGUAGAUAGAUGGCUCGUGCUGUUGUUCCGUUGAAUUUUAAUGCGUUCCUUGAGAAAGCAAAGUUGAAAGAUGAUGGUAGCAAUUACAUGGACUGGGUCCGUAACCUGAGGAUUAUCCUCAUUGCUGAUAGAAGAAUUACGUCCUGGAAGCACCGCUGGGUGCCAGGCCUGAUGCUGAUGCAACUGACGACGUUAAGAACGUCUGGCAGAGCAAAGCUGAUGAAUACUCAAUAGUUCAGUGUGCCAUGCUUUACGCCUUAGAACCGGGUCUUCAACGACGUUUUGAACAUCAUGGAGCAUAUGAGAUGUUCCAGGAGUUGAAGUUAAUAUUUCAAGCAAAUACCCGGAUUGAGAGAUAUGAAGUCUCCAAUAAGUUCUAUAGCUGCAAGAUGGAGGAGAAUAGUUCUGUCAGUGAGCACAUACUCAAAAUUUCUGGGUAUAAUAAUCACUUAAUUCAACUAGGAGUUAAUCUUCCUGAUGAUAGUGUCAUUGACAGGAUUCUCCAAUCACUGCCACGAAGCUACAAGAGCUUCGUGAUGAACUAUAAUAUGCAAGGGAUGAACAAGACAAUUCCCGAGCUCUUCGCAAUGCUAAAAGCUGCGGAAGUAGAAAUCAAGAAGGAGCAUCAAGUGUUGAUGGUUAACAAGACCACUAGUUUCAAGAAAAAGGGCAAAGGGAAGAAGAAGGGGAACUUCAAGAAGAACAGCAAGCAAGUUGAUGCUCAAGAGAAGAAACCCAAGUCUGGACCUAAGCCUAAAACUGAGUGCUUCAACUGCAAGCAGACUGGACACUGGAAGCGAAACUGCCCCAAGUAUUUGGCGGAUAAGAAGGAUGGCAAGGUGAACAAGGGUAUAUGUGAUAUACAUGUUAUUGAUGUGUACCUUACUAGAGCUCGCAGUAGCACCUGGGUAUUUGAUACUGGUUCUAUUGCUAACAUUUGCAACUCGAAACAGGGACUACAGAAUAAGCGAGCACUGGCCAAGGAUGAGGUGACGAUGCGCGUGGGAAACGGUUCCAAAGUCGAUGUGAUCGCGGUCGGCACGCUACCUCUACAUCUACCUUCGGGAUUAGUUUUAGACCUGAAUAAUUUUUAUUUGGUGCCAGCGUUGAGCAUGAACAUUAUUUCUGGAUAUUGUUUGAUGCGAGACGAUUAUUCAUUUAAAUCAGAGAAUAAUGGUUGUUCUAUUUAUAUGAGUAAUAUCUUUUAUGGUCAUGCACCCUUGAAGAUUGGUCUAUUUUUAUUGAAUCUCGAUAGUAGUGAUACACAUAUUCAUAAUGUCGAAGCCAAAGAUGCAGAGUUAAUAAUGAUAGUGCAACUUAUUUGUGGCACUGCCGUUUAGGUCAUAUCGGUGUAAAGCGCAUGAAGAAACUCCAUACUGAUGGAAUUUUGGAAUCACUUCAUUAUGAAUCACUUGGUACUUGCGAACCGUGCCUCAUGGGCAAGAUGACUAAAACACCGUUCUCCGGUACUACGGAGCGAGCAACAGAUUUGUUGGAAAUCAUACAUACAGAUGUAUGCGGUCCGAUGAAUGUUGAAGCUCGUGGCGGAUAUCGUUAUUUUCUCACCUUCACAGAUGAUUUAAGCAGAUAUGGGUAUAUCUACUUAAUGAAACACAAGUCUGAAACAUUUGAAAACUUCAAAGAAUUUCAGAGUGAAGUGGAAAAUCAUCGUAACAAGAAAAUAAAAUUCCUACGAUCUGAUCGUGGAGGAGAAUAUUUGAGUUACGAGUUUGGUUUACAUUUGAAACAAUGCGGAAUAGUUUCGCAGCUCACGCCACCCGGAACACCACAACGAAAUGGUGUGUCCGAACAUCAUAAUCGUACUUUAGAUAUGGUGCGAUCUAUGAUGUCUCUUACUGAUUUACCGCUAUCGUUCUGGGGUUAUGCUUUAGAGACGGCCGCAUUCACGUUAAAUAGGGCACCAUCAAAAUCCGUUGAGAUGACACCUUAUGAACUGUGGUUUGGCAAGAAACCAAAGUUGUCGUUUCUUAAUGUUUGGGGCUGCGAUGCUUAUGUGAAGAAACUUCAACCAGAUAAGCUUGAACCUAAAUCGAAGAAAUGUGUCUUCAUAGGAUACCCAAAAGAAAUAGUUGGGUAUACCUUCGAUCACAGAUCCGAAGGCAAGACAUUCAUUGGUAAGAAUGGAUCCUUUCUAGAGAAGGAGUUUCUCUCGAAAGAAGUGAGUGGGAGGAAAGUAGAACUUGAUGAGGUAACUGUACCUGCUCCCUUAUUGGAAAGUAGUUCAUCACAUGAAUCGGUUCCUGUGACACCUACACCAAUUAGUGAGGAAGCUAAUGAUAUUGAUCAUGAAACUUCAGAUCAAGUUUCUACUGAACUUCGAAUGUCUACCAGAGUAAGAUCCGCACCAGAGUGGUACGGUUAUCCCAUUCUGGAAGUCAUGUUUCUUGACCAUGACGAACCUACGAACUAUGAGGAAGCGAUGAUGAGCCCAGAUUCCGCAAAAUGGCUAGAGGCCAUGAAACCUAAGAUGGGAUCCAUGUAUGAGAACAAAGUAUGGACUUUGGUUGACUUGCCCAAUGAUCGGCAGGCCAUUGAGAACAAGUGGAUCUUUAACAAGAAGACCGACGCUGAUGGUAAUGUAACUGUCUAUAAAGCUCGACUUGUCGCAAAAGGUUUUCGACAAGUUCAAGGGGUUGACUACGAUGAGACUUUCUCACUCGUAGCGAUGCUUAAGUUUGUCCGAAUCAUGUUAGCCAUUGCUGCAUUUCAUGAUUAUGAAAUCUGGCAAAUGGAUGUCAAAACUGCAUUCUUGAAUGGAUUUCUGGAAGAAGAGUUGUAUAUGAUGCAGCCAGAAGGUUUUGUUGAUCCAAAAGGUGCUAACAAAGUAUGCAAGCUCCAGCGAUCCAUUUAUGGAAUGGUGCAAGCAUCUCGGAGUUGGAAUAAACGCUUUGAUAGUGUGAUCAAAGCAUAUGGUUUUAUACAGACUUUUGGAGAAGCACUACAAGAAAUAUGUCAACUUGUGACCUUCUGUGAGUGACCCUGGAAGAAUUGUUCAUAGAUCUAUGACCAUUUCAGACCAGUUGGUCAAAAGCUGUUCGGGGGGCUCCAAACCCUAAACCAUUGCGACCAUUUUGGUCAGAAAGGUCGUAAUUUCCUUACACGAAAUGGUCAUAAAGCAAACAGCACUAGUCCGCUGUCUUAUUUCUAAUUGUUAACGACCAAUAUAGAUGGUCAUAGCCUUGUAAAUUGUGGUGGGUUGCGAUGACUAGGCGCCAUCUCAUCAGUUUUGCCUAUGUGUCAUGUCCAUGUGGCAGUUUUUGCCCUAGGUUGUGAAGCAACCUAUAUUUCUGCAAUUCCAAAAAUUCCCAAACAAAUCUCAUAAAUUCUUUGGGUCAUAUCUUCGUCAAAUAUGUAAAAACCUUCCUUUCCUAGUUCAAAAAUAAUUAAAAAAUAUUCAUUUUCCUAUUCUGUUCAGAAUAACAGUUUGUGAAGGAAGUACCACUUUGGCAUGUCCAAAUAGUAUCCAUUUUCUACAGUGCUUUCCUAUGCCCAAAUAACCAUCCUCCACCAGAUGCCAGCUCAAUCCAUUCAUUAUUUUGAGCCGAGCUUCAACAUUCGUAUUUAUGUCCAGUGUGGUGGUUUGCAAAGCAAGUACCACCUAGGCUCCUCCUUUUGAGCUAAAAAUUUGUGAGACGGUCUUCUUAGUAACUGAUCAUCCUCAGCCAAAACUCACGGCCAUUAGCCAUGUACAUUUCCCGUACCGCUAAUCAAACACUUGGCUGCUUAUUCAUGUUUAAGCAUCGAUCGGUCUCCUCGUGAGAAUCUUGUGUUGUGAUUUUCUUCCUAGCACCUACCUGGGGAGUUCCCAAACCACUAGACAUGCCUAGGCCGCCCAGAACACAUGGCAACGCCACGGUCACGCGGUGACCACGCGGCGGGCAUGCGAGUUUACGCGCUCUAGAGUUGGGGCCCUCGGCCACCGUCCAAACCUCGAUGUCUCUCCAUAAAACCAUGUAUUUCUCAUUAAAUAAAUACUUAUUUAACUACAAAUGAUUUUUGGAAAAAAUAAAUAGCAAACUAUGAGGCAGCUGCAGUUCAAAUUUGACCCGCUUCCACCUGAAUCAGCGGAAAUUUGUCUUUUUCACGAGAGGUGGAUCAAAACUUUUUACACCCAACCAUUUGGUCAAUUGUGCAUUAAAUAUGUCCUAGUAUUUUAGAAAAAUGAUUUGGACCAAUUUUGCAACAAUUAUUUGGUAGUUCCUUCACAAAAAAACCUCCUUUUGGGCACUCGAAAAAUGAAAAAUGGUUUUUUCGUCCAAAGAAAAUGAAAACUUCCUUAGGCAACAUUGUUUGCCAUUCCAAUAUGCACCCUUGUGCACAAUAUGAGAUCAUUUGAACAAACUAUGCCACGAAUGUGGCCAUAAGUUUGAUCAUUUGCCUUGAAAGCCAUGAAUCUUGAGAGAUGAUAGCUCAUUUCUGAGAACACUUUUUUAAAAUAAUUGCCGUAUUACAUGUUUGUUAUUUUUCCUGGGAACUUGGCCACAUAUAAUGACACAAUGUGAAGGUUUCCCAAUUUUUUGAAUUUUUUUGAAUUUUUUAUGCCUGUUUCAAAAUGCGGUCAAAACGGCGGGAAUGACCGUUGCAAGCUAGUUGUUGAAUCUUGGAAUUUUUUUGGUGUUUCUCUGAUUAAAUAGAUACUUAUGUACCUAGAAAUUAUUUUUGGAAAAAAUAAAUAGCAAACUAUGAGGCAGCUGCAGUUCAAAUUUGACCCGCUUCCAACUGAAUCGGCGGAAAUUUGUCUUUUUCACGAGAGGUGGAUCAAAACUUUUUACACCCAACCAUUUGGUCAAUUGUGCAUUAAAUAUGUCCUAGUAUUUUGUAAAAAUGAUUUGGUCUAAUUUUGCAACAAUUAUUUGGUAGUUCCUUCACAAAAAAACCUCCUUUCGGGCACUCGGAAAAUGAAAAAUGGUUUUCUCGUCCAAAGAAAAUGAAAACUUCCUUAGGAAACAUUGUUUGCCAUUAUAAUAUGCACCCUUGUGCACAAUAUGAGAUCAUUUGAACAAACUGUGCCAUGAAUGUGGCCAUAAGAUUGAUCAUUUGGCUUGAAAGCCAUUGAUCUCCACACGUGAUAGCUCGUUUCUGAGAACACUUUUUUAAAAUAAUUGCCGUAUUACAAGUUUGUUAUUUUUCCUGGGAACUUGGCCACAUAUAAUGACACAAUAUGAAGGUUUCCCAAUUUUUUGAUUUUUUUUGAAUUUUUUAUGCCCGUUUCAAAAUGCGGUCAAAACGGCGGGAAUGACCGUUCCUAGCUAGUUGUUGAAUCUUGGAAUUUUUUUGGUGUUUCUCUAAUUAAAUAGGUACUUAUGUACCUAGAAAUGAUUUUUGGAAAAAAUAAAGAGCAAACUAUGAGGCAGCUGCAGUUCAAAUUUGACCCGCUUCCACCUGAAUCGGCGGAAAUUUGUCUUUUUCACGAGAGGUGGAUCAAAACUUUUUACACCCAACCAUUUGGUCAAUUGUGCAUUAAAUAUGUCCUAGUAUUUUAGAAAAAUGAUUUGGUCCAAUUUUGCAACAAUUAUUUGGUAGUUCCUUCACAAAAAAACCUCCUUUCGGGCACUCGGAAAAUGAAAAAUGGUUUUUUCGUCCAAAGAAAAUGAAAACUUCCUUAGGAAACAUUGUUUGCCAUUCUAAUAUGCACCCUUGUGCACAAUAUGAGAUCAUUUGAACAAACUAUGCCAUGAAUGUGGCCAUAAGAUUGAUCAUUUGGCUUGAAAGCCAUUGAUCUCCACACGUGAUAUCUCGUUUCUGAGAACACUUUUUUAAAAUAAUUGCCGUAUUACAAGUUUGUUAUUUUUCCUGGGAACUUGGCCACAUAUAAUGACACAAUGCGAAGGUUUCCCAAUUUUUUGAUUUUUUUUGAAUUUUUUAUGCCCGUUUCAAAAUGUGGUCAAAACAGCGGGAAUGACCGUUCCUAGCUAGUUGUUGAAUCUUGGAAUUUUUUUGGUGUUUCUCUGAUUAAAUAGGUACUUAUGUACCUAGAAAUGAUUUUUGGAAAAAAUAAAUAGCAAACUAUGAGGCAGCUGCAGUUCAAAUUUGACCCGCUUUCAACUGAAUCGGCGGAAAUUUGUCUUUUUCACGAGAGGUGGAUCAAAACUUUUUACACCCAACCAUUUGGUCAAUUGUGCAUUAAAUAUGUCCUAGUAUUUUAGAAAAAUGAUUUGGUCCAAUUUUGCAUUUAAUAUAUUAUAGUUCCUUCAAAAAAACUCAUUUUGGACACUCGAAAAAUGAAAAAAAUGAUUUAAGAGAACUCAUUUCUCAUAACUCUUUAAAAAAAUAUUUUUCUUAUUUCAAUUUGUGAUUAUUCCUGAAAGCUAUAGUCAAAUUUGCUGACACAAUGAGAAGUUUUUUCUCUUCAUAUUUUAAGGUCAUAAUAAAAUAGCUAACAUGAUUUAGCAACUUCUUUUAGUCAAUUAUGACCAAUUUAAAUGGUCAAAAUAUCAUACCUGUAUACUACGUUCUGAUUGGUCCAAAGGCCUCUCAUGCGGAUCAUGGAUAAACCACCGUCGGAUCCUCCUGGAUCCAACGGCCCUCACCUCACCCUCUCACGGUCUCACCCACCCACUGCACACCACUCCACUCUCUCCCUGCGUAGCGAACCCUAGCGCUCUCACCCUCUCCCUCUCCCCCCCGCCGCCGCCCCCAACCUCACUCCCUCCCUCUGGAUCUCGACGCGCCACCGCCCCCACCCCACUCCUCCGGUGUUCCCCCCACACGGUCACCGCUCGGACCUCCCCAUUGCGCCUCCUCCUCCUCCCUCCGCUCGCGGUCGCCUCUCCCGAUAGAUCUGGUGCCAGGGUUCACGGCCCUAGCGAACGGGGGAGCGGAGACAUGCGGGGGGAUGGGUUGACGCGUGCCUGGUGGGCGGAGGAGAGGAUGGAGAAUCCGCGUGGCGGCCUCAACGAGCAGAUCGAGCCAUGGCGGCGGCGGAGGAAGCCAUGGCGCCGGCGCAGAUCGACGUGAGGAUGGACGUGGCGCUGCUCCACUGCCGGGCCUGUCUCCUCCCCCCUAAGCCCCCGUGUUCAAGGUAUGGCAUGCACCGACGUGGCGCUGGAUUCCCAUCUCCUCGCGGGAUCCAUCUGUCUGCGUCGGUGGCCUACAGGGAGCGGCACAUCCGCUGUCUGCGCGUCGGAUCCCGUGGAUCCGCGAGGCUGACCCCAACGGCGCUGGUGCUGGUGCUGCGACGACGUCAACGGCGCGCGCUCCUGCUAGUGGAAUGCCUGACUGGCUGCUCGCUUGCAUCAACUUGGACGCCGACGGUGCCAGGAGAGGAGGAGUCUUCUCGCUCGGGGUUGGGGGACGACGCGGUUUCAGCGACGACGAGAUGCUGCUCGCCCAUCUUCUCCUCACUGACCAAAUCCAGCGCAGCGCGGCGCAGGGGUAAGCACAGCCGCCUCCUCUGCUCUCUCACCGUUUUCGCCGCCCCUCUUCUCCCUCGACGGUGUUCUCAUGCGCCAUAGCAGCUUACUGACACUGUCAUUUUUUCUGUCUUUCUUUUGUUGGCAGCAGGGGAAGAAGGAGGAGGAGGAGUUCAGCACGGGGCCCCUCUCCAUUCUCAUGCUCAGCGUCAAGAACAACGCCCUGGUUGGUUUGGUUUGGUCGACUUCUUGCCUCUGUUGAUUGAGAUAUCAGCUUAGCAAGGGCAUAUUUUCUGCAGUAGUAGUACUUAUUGACUUACUGUCUGUCUGCAUAUCCGUGUGGACUGAACACCUGACCUUCUGGAGUGCUGGUGUUCUCCGUUGUGCGUGCACUUGUUAAAACACACCAAUCGACUUAUUCGCCUGUCAUCCCGUCGUGCAAGUGAAUACUAGUUUCCCUCUUAGUGCUACAAUGCUAAGCGCACCAUCUCAUAAAUGUGUCAGUAAUUAACCACUGUUUUGGUGCAGCCUUUCGUCAAAUGCCUUUGGUAAUAGUGUGGCACUGCAAAGUUGAAUGCACCAUUGCGUACAAUUGAGGGCUAGUCAUUUGGAGAUGAAUCCUGACCUCGAUAUCUCGAUAGGUCUGGCCGGAUAAUAAUUAACUAAUACUACUAAAUGACAGCCAUUUGGCUACAUUUAGGCGAGCUAAAGCUUUGACUAACAUCGGUCUUUCCAAUUCAGGCGAGUUAGCCUGUCAGCAACAAGAGCAGCUGCCCAUCCUCUCCCCACUGGGAAUUUAAUCUUGCUAUACUGAAGUCGAGCUCUUUGAUUAUGCAUUUUUAGUGUAGAUUCUUUCAUGCUAACUAAUUGGAACAAGUUCUAAUUAGGUCACCGAAUAGUUUGCUUGGUCCUUCAUAUCUAAAGCUUGCAUGUACUGUAGAAGCUCUACAUUAUGCUAAUACUUGCUUGUGUAACACCUUUCAUGGCAUACUUCUAAAUGGACAAGUACGUGCGACGUCCAGCGUCAAUGAUGAUGCGGACCAUAUGUUCAAGUGUUCAACUGCAGCCCCAUCCAUUGCAUCGACACAAAGGUAUGUACUCCGUCUUGCUGAACAGAUAUGGGCCUGAUGCUUGAUGUCCUUAUGCCUGAUGCAUGUAUCAUGUGACAUACACAUAAUUAACUUUGACAUAGUUGCUCUGUUACAGCAGAUGGCAAGAUGAAUAGCUAGUGUCUAUUUAAUUCCAUCAUGCACCUGAUAGUUUAAUAGGUACUAUUGAUUGAAUAUGAAUGUUAUUCCAUAUACUCAAAUGGAACUUCGAUCUGCUGUAACUUUGAAUGAUGGUUUUUAAACCUUGUCGUGUAUGUGAAACAUUCCUUGCUCGUUUGCUGCUAAGUUUGUCAUAUGUGCCAACUCAAUUCCCAAUUUUGAUCAAUAGCCAUAUUCUGGAUAAGUAGAAUGAUCUAGUUAAUAAUAAUAAUAAGUAGAAUGAUAAUAUCCUGGUGUAUCUUUACUUUUUAUUUUAAAAGUACUAUGUAUUCUAUCAGUGACAUACCUUUUGUUCUCUUUUGAAUGCUCAGAUGUUUUGCAUCAGCCUGUCAUUGCUUGCUAAGGGAGAAGCGGGACUUGGAGAAGAAAUCUUUUCAUUAAGCAGAUUACAUGUUUGGUUGUUGUGAAGUACCAGAUAGGCUAGUUCUAUUUUUUUCACGAUCCUGGAGUAUUUCAGCAGUGCCAUGCAAAUGCAGUAGCGUUUGUUUUUUGUUUGUAAAAACUUAGUUAGCCCGAAGUCAGUUAGUAGUAGCUUAGCCAGCCAGCCUCAAAUAGUAUUGCUGGAAUGAAUGGUUGUAAUAUAAUAACGUUGCACGUUGCUUUGAAAAUAUAUCAGAACUGGGUGAUGUGUUGUAAUGUCAAUGGCAUAAUAUUUUUUUUGGAUUGGAUCAAUUUUUUCGGAACUGGGCUAGGCCCAAGUUAUAUUGGACAAUUAUUUUUGAGGGAAAAACAUGAGAGGCCCAGCAAUAAAAUGGCCCAGAAAAAUACAUGAUUAAAAAGAAAAUCUGCUGUUAAAAGGGCCACGCAAAGAAAUCAAUAAGGCUGAAUUGUUGGGCCAGACCCGGGUAGCUAAUAAAAGCACAGGAAAAAAAUACAUUAAAAAGGCCGAAUUAAUGGGCUCGGCCCAUGUAGAACACCAAAUCGGAGCGGGCUGAAUCUUGUGCCACAUCAGCUUGCCACGCUGGAUGCCUACGUGGCCUGGGGAGGUUGCUAGUGACCAAAACGCCACAGUAGGAAUAUUUUGGUCGUAAACGUCUUUGACCAUUCCAGAAGAAAGGUCGCUAUAGUCAGUUUACGACGGCCAGCUUUUGACCUUCUGUUUUUGGUCACAAAAAGGUCAUAAAUGGAAAUUUGUGACCUUUCAGUGACCAAUAGUGGUGGUCAUAAGUUGAGAUAUUUCUUGUAGUGAAGCCUGUAUUUACAAGAAAGUGAGUGGGAGCUCUGUAGCAUUUCUGAUAUUAUAUGUAGAUGACAUAUUAUUAAUUGGAAAUGAUAUAAAAUUUCUGGAUAGCAUAAAGGGAUACUUGAAUAAAAGUUUUUCAAUGAAAGAUCUAGGUGAAGCUGCUUACAUAUUGGGCAUCAAGAUCUAUAGAGAUAGAUCAAGACGCUUAAUAGGACUUUCACAAAACACAUACCUUGAUAAAAUUUUGAAAAAGUUCAAAAUGGAUGAGGCAAAGAAAGGGUUCUUGCCCGUGCUUCAAGGUGUGAAGUUGAGUCAAACUCAAUGCCCGACCACAGCAGAAGAUAGAGAGAAAAUGGAAGAUGUUCCCUAUGCUUCAGCCAUAGGCUCUAUCAUGUAUGCAAUGUUGUGUACCAGACCUGACAUAUGCUUAGCAAUAAGUUUGGCAGGGACGUACCAAAGUAAUCCAGGAGUGGAUCACUGGACAGUGGUCAAGAACAUCCUGAAGUACCUGAAAAGGACUAAGGAUAUGUUUCUCGUAUAUGGAGGUGACAUAGAGCUAGUCGUAAAUGGUUACGUCGAUGCAAGCUUUGACACUGAUCUGGACAAUUCUAAAUCGCAAACCGGAUACGAGUUUUUAUUAAACGGUGGAGCUGUAAGUUGGUGCAGUUCUAAACAAAGCGUCGUGGCGGGAUCUACAUGUGAAGUUGAGUACAUAGCUGCUUCGGAAGCAGCAAAUGAAGGAGUCUGGAUGAAGGAGUUCAUUACCGAUCUAGGUGUCAUACCUAGUGCAUCGGGACCAAUGAAGAUCUUCUGUGACAAUACUGGUGCAAUUGCUUUGGCAAAGGAAUCCAGAUUUCACAAGAGGACCAAGCACAUCAAGAGACGCUUCCAUUCCAUCCGGGACCAAGUCCAAGUGGGAGACAUAGAAAUUUGCAAGAUACAUACGGAUCUGAAUGUUGCAGACCCAUUGACUAAGCCUCUCUCACGAGCAAAACAUGAUCAACACCAAGACUCCAUGGGUGUUAGAAUCAUUACUAUGUAAUCUAGAUUAUUGACUCUAGCACAAGUGGGAGACUGAAGGAAAUAUGCCCUAGAGGCAAUAAUAAAGUUAUUAUUUAUUUCCUUAUCAUGAUAAAUGUUUAUUAUUCAUGCUAGAAUUGUAUUAACCGGAAACAUGAUACAUGUGUGAAUACAUAGACAAACAUAUAGUCACUAGUAUGCCUCUACUUGACUAGCUCAUUAAUCAAAGAUGGUUAUGUUUCCUAACCAUAGACAUGUGUUGUCAUUUGAUUAAUGGGAUCACAUCAUUAGGAGAAUGAUGUGAUUGACAUGACCCAUUCCGUUAGCCUAGCACUUGAUCGUUUAGUAUGUUGCUAUUGCUUUCUUCAUGACUUAUACAUGUUCCUGUAACUAUGAGAUUAUGCAACUCCCGUUUACCGAAGGAACACUUUGGGUGCUACCAAACGUCACAACGUAACUGGGUGAUUAUAAAGGAGUACUACAGGUGUCUCCAAAGGUACAUGUUGGGUUGGCGUAUUUCGAGAUUAGGAUUUGUCACUCCGAUUGUCGGAGAGGUAUCUCUGGGCCCUCUCGGUAAUGCACACCACUAUAAGCCUUGCAAGCAAUGUGACCAAUGAGUUGGUUACGAGAUGAUGCAUUACGUAACGAGUAAAGAGACUUGCCGGUAAUGAGAUUAAACUAGGUAUUGGAUACCGACGAUCAAAUCUCGGGCAAGUAACAUACGGAUGACAAAGGGAACAACGUAUAUUGUUAUGCGGUUUGACCGAUAAAGAUCUUCAUAGAAUAUGUAGGAACCAAUAUGGGCAUCCAGGUUCCGCUAUUGGUUAUUGACCGAGAAUAGUUCUAGGUCAUGUCUACAGAGUUCCCGAACCCGUAGGGUCCGCACGCUUAACAUUACGAUGACUGUGUUAUUAUGAGUUUAUAAGUUUUGAUGUACCAAAGUUUGUUCGGAGUCCCGGAUGUGAUCACGGACAUGACGAGGAGUCUCAAAAUGGUCGAGACAUAAAGAUUGAUAUAUUGGACGACUAUAUUCGGACACCGGAAGUGUUCCGGUUGAUUUCGGAGAAAACCGGAGUGCCGGAGGGUUACCGGAACCCCUCCCGAAGAGUUAAUGGGCCACAUGGGCCUUGGUGGGAAGAGAGAGGGGCGGCCAGGAAGGGCCGCGUGCCCCCUCUCCCUCUGGUCUGAAUUGGACUAGGAGGGGGGGCGGCGCCCCCCUCUUUCCUUCCCCUCCUCUCCCCCUUCCUUCCCCUCCUAGUAGGAGUAGGAAAGGAGGAGUCCUACUCCUACUAGGAGGGGGACUCCUCCUCCUGGCGCACCCAACAAGGGCCGGCCGGCCUCCCCCCUCCCUCCUUUAUAUACGGGGGCAGGGGGCACCCCAUGACACACAAGUUGAUCUACGGAUCGUUCCUUAGCCGUGUGCGGUGCCCCCCUCCACCAUAUUCCACCUCGGUCAUAUCGUCGCGGUGUUUAGGCGAAGCCCUGCGCCGGUAGAACAUCAUCAUCGUCACCACGCCGUCGUGCUGACGGAACUCAUCCCCGAAGCUUUGCUGGAUCGGAGCCCGGGGAUCGUCAUCGAGCUGAACGUGUGCUGAACUCGGAGGUGCCGUACGUUCGGUACCUGGAUCGGUCGGAUCGUGAAGACGUACGACUACAUCAACCGCGUUGUCAUAACGCUUCCACUUACGGUCUACGAGGGACUCUCCCCUCUUGUUGCUGUGUCAUCACCAUGAUCUUGCGUGUGUGUAGGAAUUUUUUUGAAAUUACUACGUUCCCCAACAGCAGUAUCACCGCAACAUACCUUUGUAACCCUCCCUUUUUAUCUUUCAGGACAUUGCUUUAGGGAAACCUCUUCAGAAGAUCCGGAUUGUCGGACUUACAUAGGAGAGAAAACCAAGGAGGUAACAGGCUUUGCGCAUAAAAGGAAAUACCCAGGUGGAAUCUGUUCACGAUCGUUAUACCUGUUUUAUAUACCUACAUGCAUCCUGCCCUUGGAUAGGACUUGUUAAAUAGUCCUAUUUACUUCUGCUUAAACGCACCCAUUGUAAACAUACGCUUAAACCUAUUAUUCAUCAAUAGGAGAUCAUAUAUAGCGUCAGCUUUUAUUCCUAUCUGCACAUUUUUUCUAUAAAUGUUUAUUUACUAAUGCAUCCGUACAUUUCAGUACGUUUAUUUUGCCAGGGGCUUCUUAUGGAGCCCCGCAAUACGACAAGCAAAGUCCGAACACUUUCAAUAGUGCGGCACCCCGAACUUAUAACACUAUAUGCAUCAGCUCUGAAUCAUGUCUUGGGUCCACAGUUGGGUUAGCCCGGCUCCCUUGUUUUGAUACCUUACGUGGCUAAGUUAGCGCAGGGAGAACUACUGCGAUUGUAUCCCGGUUCUUCCGGACGAGCACCUCGGUAGAGAAAGCCGAAAACUGACCGGCAUGAUGUGGCGAGAGCUGGUCGCCGUUCGAGAGGUCUCAAAAUCCUUAAAGAUUUUUUCUGCUUUAGGCGAGGAAUCGGCCUCGUCCAAUUUAGGCGUAUAUAGCACCCCGGUUCGGCCUUCUGAAUUCUAGGGGCUUCGCCAAAAUUUAAAAUUAUAGACUUCUAUGGCUAAGUGAAGGUUAUAAAGCCGGAUAGUCCGAUUGCCUUGUUCGCUGCGCUAGACACCUCCUUUAGGGACCAAACAUUUGGAUAAAGAGUGUCUGGGUUUUCCACGAACACCCCAGAACUAGUUACGUGGGGGCGGAUGUCGACGACUGGCCUACUUUCAGAAUUUUAUAAACAGCCGCACAGAAGGUAAUAUUUUAAAUCAAAAAGAGCUUUAUAGCGCAAGUAACUGCGCCCUUAUAUUACAAACAUGACAGAAGUGAAUUCAUUCAAAAAUUGUGUCCUUGGUACAUUCAUCGGCCACGAGACGAGCGCCCUUCAUAACGACUUCAUAAUAUCUCUCGGGACAGCGAUGCGCCUUGCCAUCCGGCGGCCCGUCCUUCACCAGCUUCUCCCAUCUAGCUUGCCCGAAUGCACCUUCGCACGGGCAAAGGCCCGGCGGGCACCCUCAAUGCAAACGGAUCAUUUGAUCACUUCAAGCCGCGGACAGGCAUUCACCAUCCGCUUGAUCAGGCCGAAGUAGCUACUGGGCUGGGGCUCACCGGGCCACAUCUGGACUAUGAAAUCCUUCAUAGCCACUUCGGCCGCCCUGUGGAGUUCAACCAACUGCUUCAGUUGGUCACUCAAAGGCGUUGGAUGUUCGGCCCCAGCAUACUGGGACCAGAACAGCUUCUCUGUCGCGCUCCCCUCCUCGGCAUGGUAGAACUCCGUGGCAUUUGAUACGCUGCGUGACAGAUCUGCAAAUGCCCCUGGAGAGCUCCGAAUUCGGGUAAGUAAAAUAAACGCCACCUCCACAUGCUUGCUUUGCAUAAAGAAUUUCUUACCCGCCACUAUCUUUUUGGCCUCCUGGAUUUCCUGCUGUGCCUUCUCGGCUUCGGCCUUGGCGUCUUUUAUACUAGCAAAGGCCUUCGCAAGCUCGGCCUCUUUCACCUUAAGCUCAUGCUCCACGGACUCGAACUUCUUGCCGAGCUCCUGGAGCUCUUGCUGUACCUCUCCCACUCUAGCAUCUUGCUUUUCGCGCUCCUUGCGUUCCAAGGCCGCCUUGUUUUUGGCCUCGGACAACGCUUUCUUCAGAGACGCGACUUUGGUGGUGGCCCCUGUUACAAAAUCACGAUGCUUCAUCAUUAGAAUAACCAAUUUUAUCUAUCCUUCAUUAUAUGAGAUCAGGGAAUCACUCACCUUUGUUCUCUUCGAGCUGCCUCUUCGUGAGGUCGAGCUCUCCCUGCGCCUGCUCUAGGUCCCGUUUUAGUCCGGCAACCUCAGCCGUGCGGACAGCAGUGGCAAGCCACACAACCUGCUUAUUCACAUUCAAAUUUAUUAUUAGACUCCUGCGGAUUAAAAUUGGCCCUCCGUUUGGUUUGUCUUUCCGAACACCAAACAGAGUAUCAGGGGCUACUACCUAUCGGGUGGUAAUUUCACACAUUUUUAUUACUUACCUCAAAGCCUGUCAGGAGGUUGGUGCAAGCAUCGGUUAGUCCGCUCUUGGCGGAGAAAACCUUCUGAAUCACCGCACUCAUAAGAGUAAAGUGCUCUUCAUCCAUGGAAGUGCCGCGAAGCGCUUCUAGCAGACAAUCCGACACCUCGGGCGUAGCGGAAGUCCUCAGCACAGAUCGCUCACCCUCCCUAACUAGUGGCUGCCCGCCUGAGUCCGGAACCACUGGAGGUUCCAGAACAGUAUUCGGCUCAGAGCCCGGGUUAUUGCAGCUCUCAUCAACACGAUCCGCAGGGAUCUUGAACCCCGCGUGUCCGAUGUCUGGAAUUCUGCCUUGAGGCGCCUCUAGAGUCACCUCCCCCCGCUCUGGGAGACUUUGGGACAACACCUCCGUGUCAUCCGCAGGCUGAGGAGUAGUGGCCAUCGGAAGUGAGUUCAUCUUUGAAUCGCUCAAGGACCCAUCCCGAAGACGACACCUCAGGAUGGACCUUGGCCGGACUGUAUACAAGUUCAGCGUUAUAACAAGACUAUGAAGAAAAAUCACAAUAGAGUGCGGAUACUUACGAUUGUGCUAGGAGCUUCCCCCUGGGCAGCCACCCCUCCUUGCUAUCGGUGGCGAUGGUGGAGUAGUCCGAAAGGGACGCCUUUCCCUUCUUGGACGUCCCAGCCUCCCCCUCCGGGGCGGCUUUCCUCAUUUUCUCCCCCAGAGCAGGGAGGCAGAGUUUCUUCUUGUUUCCCCCUGCCUCCACGGGAGGAAUCCGCCUCGUCGUCGUCGGACGACGAGGGUAUGACGACCUUGCACCGAGAGCCUGUCCUGGCCCCCUGGUCCGCCUUCUCAGGCCCCCCAUCCUCUCCAGAUGGGGCGGCCUCUUCUUCUUCUUCUUCCCCUUCGGGGGAGGAGUGUGCCUCGUCGUCUUCGGACGAGGCCUCAGAUACAACUUUACGCCGGAGACCCUUCCUGGUCCCCGGGUCCUUCUUUUCGACCUUCUUCUCCGGUCCCUUGUAGGGCGCCGGAACUAGCAUCUCCGUCAGGAGAGCAUCGGCUGGACCUUCGGGCAGCGGAGCCGGACAAUCAAUCCGCUCCGCUGUCUCCACAUAAUCCUGAUCAAAUAUGCACAAUUACUUAAGGCUCCUCCACGAAUACAUUGAACUAAAUCCGGUGGUAGUCAGAAAACUCAGCGGACGAGUAGGCCGUGCGGCAUGAAGUCCACAGUCCUCGGACAUGGGAGGAGGUACUUUGGAGGCCUUGAACAGUGCCUUCCACGCGUCUUUGUGCUUCAUGCCAUAGAGCUUUCGAAGCGUCUGGUGUUCGAUCGGGACAAACUCCCACAGAUUAAACGCUCGCCUUUGGCACAGAAGAAUCCGGCGAACGAGCAUGACAUGGAUCACGUUGACAAGCUUGAUGUUCUUGUCCUUCAGAUUCUUGAUGCAGUUUAGGAGUCCGGUCAGCUCCGCAGGUUCGCCCCAGGCCAGGCCCUUCUUUUCCCAGGAGGUGAGCCGCAUGGGGGUUCUGGAUCGGAAUUCGGGGGCCACCUCCUAGUUGGCGUCGCGCGGCUCGGUGAUAUAGAACCACCCCGAUUGCCACCCUUUCACGGUCUCCGCGAAGGAGCCGUCAAGCUAGGUGACGUUAGGCAUCUUUCCCACCAUGUCCCCUCCGCACUCCGCUUGCUGGCCGCUCACGAUCUUCGGCUUCACGCAGAAGAUUUGUGUAACCACAGGCCAAAGUGAGGCUGGAUGCGGAGGAAGGCCUCGCAUACGAUGAUAAAGGCCGAGAUGUUGAGGACGAAGUUCGGGGCUGGAUCAUGGAAAUCUAGCCCGUAGUAGAACAUGAGCCCGCGGACGAAGGGAUGAAGCGGAAAUCCCAGUCCACGGACGAAGUGGACGAGAAACACGACCCUCUCGUGGGGUCCCCGGGUUGGAAUGACCUGCCCGUCGUCCGGUAGCCGGUGCGCUAUGUCUGCGGCCAAGUAUCCGACCGCCCGAAGAUUCACGAUAUGCUUCUCCUUCACGGUGAAACCACCCACUUGCCUCCUGCUCCGGACAUAUUCAGCUGUGCGGAGAAGACUUGGACUAGGGCGCUGGAGCUCGAGGAGGCAAGGAUGAGAAAAGGAGGAGGAAGGCGUGGAUGAAAAUGGGGAUCCUUUAUCCCUUUAUAGAGGCGAAGAAAGCGGUGCGCCUCCUCACUUGCCCGUUGAGAAUCGCUUACUUCCGAAGUGCCACGAUUGAUGGCGCGGUGGGACUACCCAUACCCGUAUUGAUGAGAAUCCCGUCAUAAGGGGACACGGUCUCUGCUUUGACAAGACGUGUCAAGGAAACUGCCUCGCAAUACGCGCUGUAGCUGGUUGGGGAAAAAUGGUUCGAAUAAUGACCCGACCGUAAUAACAUAUCACGUCGUCUAAAAAGUUGUCAGCUGAAAUAUCAUUCUCUCCACGGUGAUAUGUAAAGAUCAUUUUUGCAGAUCCGGGCACGGUCUAAGUGUUCGAUAAUUACUUUGGAUAUUCGAAGAAGGAACCCGCCUUGCAAUGCCGAAGACAAGACUGUGCGCCGGACAUUGAAGCCUGGUUCAGGGGCUACUGAGGGAGUCCUGGAUUAGGGGGUAUCCGGACAGCCGGACUAUAUACAUCAUUCGGACUAUUGGAACGUGAAGAUACAAGACUCAAGACUCCGUCCCGUGUCCGGAAGGGACUCUCCUUUGCGUGGAAGACAAGCUUGGCGAUCCGGAUAUUGUGUUUCCUUCCUUGUAACCGACUCCAUGUAAACCCUAGCCCUCUCCGGUGUCUAUAUAAACCGGAGAGGUUGGUCCUUAGAAGGCCGAUCAUAAUUACAAUCAUAAUCAUCAUAGGUUAGCUUCUAGGGUUUAGCCUCUACGAUCUCGUAGUAGAUCUACUCUUGUACUACUCAUAUCAUCAAUAUUAAUCAAGCAGGAAGUAGGGUUUUACCUCCAUUGAGAGGGCCCAAACCCGGGUAAACAUUGUGUCCCUUGCUUCCUGUUACCAUCAGCCUGAGACGCACAGAUCGGGACCCCCUACCCGAGAUCCGCCAGUUUUGACACCGACACCGAGCUCACGACCCAACCUCAUCCCAUAGAUGCAACAACAAUUGAAUCCCAUGGAAUUAUCCCAUGCGGCAGAUCCACAACCGCCACCGCACCCUUGUGGCUGCAAUUAGCAAAGGGAAACACCAGAAUAUGAACGCCUCUUCGGCAGCGAGAAGAAAUGAUCUUUAAAGAAGUGUUGCAUCUAUUUAUCUCGAACCAUGUCACUCGCAUCUCUUUCGGACACCCAGAGUGGCUUGGAGAUCUCCUCCCGUACCCACCCGCAUCACCUCCCCACGUGACGCCACGGGGCUAACCCUAGCGCUUUAGAGGCUCCUUUCCACUUAUGCCUCCUCUUCCGCUGUUGCUGUCGGCAUAGGCCGUGGUGGUAGCGGCCCUGUCGCCGAAGGAGGCUGGGUGUCUGGACACAGCGGCAACAUCCUGGUGUGGCUGGGGCAUGGCCAAAUGGGAGAUUGCACGUAGCGACCAGGGCAGAGUCCCCUGGUUGUGUGGCGGAAGCGCUGUUCUCCUAUGAUGGACGAUGUGGGAGCAGCCAUGGAUCUGGUCCCCACCUAGAUCCAUUCUCGAUUUUUCCCGUGGCCAACGAGCAUCGCAUUGAGGGGUUGGCAUGGGCAGCUGCUUCCCUACGGGCGUUCUGGCGGCUGCGUGUGCCGUCACGGCCCGGCUCAGCUCGGGUCCAACCAGUUGAGGGUUCAGAGUGACGCGAAUGUCGGUGAAAAUCGUGUUUACCACGAUUGUGGUGGGCGAUGUUGGGGUCUUGUACGGCGUCUCCUUCUCAAAGGCAUUGUCGGUUGAAAUCAUCAUCCUAGAUUUGGAUCUCCUAGAUUGGACGAUGGUCAUGCCUUCGGGGCCGUUUUUACUUUUAGGGGCAUCAUUUUGGAGAAGGUGCAGGCUGGAGGAGACAAGAGGAGGAGUGUUGUUGAAUCUACCGCAGCAGCGAUGAUGGUGGGUCUUAGUGACGGGGCACAACGGAGUAUCGUGGAUGGAUGCGUGGUGACGAACGCGCGUAGGAUGGUGACGUUGUCUGACGUCAUGGUGGUGUCGAUAACAGAAUGGCUUGGUAUGGUGAAUGUGUUAUUGGAGGUAUAAGGAAAGAGCAGGGAAAAAAGAUUGAAGGAAUCGUGUCAAUCAAUGUGGUAAAUAAUUAUCAUAAUAAAUUAAAAGCAUUUGGGAGAGCUGGGGCGCCGGCACGGGGGUCAGGGCGGCGGUCGGCCCGCAGGCAGAGCCGACUUGGUCAUUGCCGGCUUGGAUGGGCGUGAGUGGCCGACCCGCACACACCUCCGUCCUCCAUUCUCCACCCUAAGCCUACUAGUUGGGGCCUGCGGCCAAGAAAGAGGGAUUGCACAUGGUGCUGAGAGCAUGGCCGGCGGGGUCGGGGUCGCCGCCGCCAUUGGCAGCUGGUGUAGGGGAGAGGGGUCGGGGUUGCCGCCGCCAUUGACGGCUGGUGGAGGGGAGAGGGGUAGGGAUCGCCGCCGCCAUUGGAGGCUGGUGGAGGAGAGAGGGGUCGGGGUUGCGAGAACUACCCGAAGCCGCCAUAAAUCCUGCAGGUAUGAAGGCCACUGUCCAGUCUAUAUAUUGUCCAUAGUCACUUUUUUUUGCGGGAUAGUCACUUUAUAAUAUGGUGAGUUAAAUCACUAGGAGCAUGACAGGAUCUAUCAACAUAUGCAAGUGACUUUUGCCUUUUCUGCUACAUUUUGUUACAACCUAACAGGGGCCUGUGUACCGGCUCGCCCGUAAUGCAAAAAUCCUACACUUACGGAAAACCACUACGGACUGAUCUCCUGGUAAUGUGGCUAAUAUUCAUGAUCACACACAUGCCAGUACUUUUACAUCCUCUAUCUAUAAAACCCCACCCUCUGCCUUCUUCAUUCUUCACCAACCUCCCGACCUUCACACAUGCGCACACACACACACACUAGCUAACACACUAUCCCAAAACCCAAAACAUAUACCAUAGUGCGGCGAAAUCUGGAUCAGCUCUAAAGCUUCAAUAGAAAAAUCACAGCCAAUGUUGCUGGAAGCAUAUAGAUUAUUUUCCCUCUCUCUUUGCCUCCCCAAUCCUCUCCGACACUGUGCCCUCCUCGCAUCGCUCGCCACUGUUCUGUGCGCCCCGGUGGUAGAUAUAGCACAGCACACUGCGCUUGUGCUCGUCACACUUCACAGGGCGCGCUCGCCCUCAGGAGGGGAGGGGGGCUGGGUUGGAACAGCACCGCACUUCUAUCUUAUCCCAUGGCACGACAUAAAAGUGCGGUCACUUCGUACGGGUCCAGCGGGAUCAGAUGAGAUCCUGCAUUUUGAUCAAGCAUUUCUCAGGUAAGCUCUAUGUGUCUCUCUGUGUGUUCAUUAUUUUUCUGUCGUUCUAUGUGUUUGUGACGGCUUGAUCUGCUUAGAAAUCACCGUCCAAUGCACGUGGUCAGUCCAUACAUGCUCUUGCUCCGCGUUCAUCUAAUGCAUUCACAGGCAUUUUGGGCUUGAGUAUUGCUCCUGUAAUCUUCCUCAUUGGUGCCAGGUUAGCACAUACAACCCUGAAUAGAGAUUGUCACUAUCAGUGUUCAGGCUCCAUCCAUCUUCACUACCAAGUUGACAAGUCGAGGAAGAGUUAUAUGUCUACUUAACGUUGUUAACUGCAUUUACUUCAGUUUAAUAGUUGCCCCAGUAUAUGUAUGAUAGUUUAAGUUCUGUUAAUUUUCGCAUCCACUUGUACAGACAUAUGGUUAAUUGUGAACUCUAGUUUUUGAUGAUUGAGGGAUUUUUGAUCAUGUUUUUUCUGUUGGGUUGGGGGGUCGUGACUUCUCCUGCUAAGGUCGUGCUUCACUUUGCAUACUCAUUGAAAUGUGACUUUGCUUGCUUCCCAUAAUCAAAUGACAUGGGAAGGUAUGGGGUUUUGAGUUACUCGUAUCUGGAAAUCGUGUCACCUGUUGCUACACCAAUUUUCAACAUUGGUCAAGCAUAUGUGGUACCUUCAAGGACAGUAACAUGCGUGUUUGCCACAGUUGCACCUGCUUCUGUAUUAGGUUCAUUACAAAAGAACUCGUUGUAUGUACUCCCUCCGUCCGAAAAUACUUGUCGCGAAAAUGAGUAAAAAUGGAUGCAUCUAAAACUAAAAUACGACUAGAUACAUCCAUUCCUCCGACAAGUAUUUCUGGACGGAGGGAGUAGUUGGAUUGUUAAGAUAAUGCUGGUGUGAUGUAUUUUGAGACCCGCUUGCAAAUUUUAUAUAAUUAACCAUAUUAAUAAGGAGGUUCUUGACAAACUGAAUCAAUUUAUGACAAACGGUACUAGUAAUUCAGUGUGUUUCACUGAAUUUCGGCCGCCACAAUUUUUUCGUUGUUCAUUGCAGGGAAAAUAUUUUCACUGCCCAACAGUGUUGCAAGACAAAGUAACAUGAAACGGGGUCUAGACUGUUGUUACUUCAAUAUGCUGUAAAUCUGGUGCAGAACAGAUUGCCUACAAUACCGAAAGUGCAAUAUGCACAUACCAGCAAUGGCGCAGAAUUUGACUCCCUAAAGUUGUUCCAGUACAACAUUGAAGUGUUCUGAAAGGGUGCCUUCUUGCAACAUCUACACUCACCGGCGGAAACAGAUGCGAGCAGAGGUUGUAAUUUUGCUACUUUCUGCUUCUGCUGUUUGGAGGAGAGUUACUGGGGUGGUGUCCUGAUGGGAUUGAAUGCUCGUGGAGUUAUCCUAUUUUUUACAUGAAAAUAGCACCAAAGCAUACUACACGAAGACGAGGUUAAUCAUAUGUAACUCAAUGAAAGAGAAAGUCAUAUUGAUAAUGGGGAAUUACUGUCCACUGAAAUAAGAUAGAACUAGGAAAUAUUGACUUGCUAUUUCUUGAAAUACAUAUAUUAACUUAACUAUUUGUAAAAGGAGAGAAAAUUAAUAGGGAAUGUAGUGGUUGUACCCCACCACACCACACCCCUCUGCACCCCCGCAAGAAAACAUAGCACAACAUUUCAAAAAAUUCUCAAAAGUUUGCGGGAAUGAUUAUGAACAAAUGUUAUAGGUGCUUCCAAAGUUUGGAGGUCGAAUAACAUUUGACGUGCUUGCAAAUGUUUCCGAUUUUUUUUGAAAUCUUUUGCUAUAUUUUCUUAGGGGGUGUAGUGUGAUGGGGUGUAGAAAAACCACUCUCCAAUAAAUAACGUGGGCUCUGUUUUUUUUCCUUUUACUGGACAAGGAUUUCAGAUUUCCACAUACGCUAAUCUUGCGGCCUCCUUGAUGUUCCGAGAGUCCGUCAGCAACAUCAUCAGACGGUUAAUCCCAAAAACCAAGCUCCCACAGCCCAUACUCGAUCAAUUGCAGUGCAGAACGUCUAGUCCAUUGCCAUCGCUUAAUCAUCACCGAGCCCGAGAAUGCCUGACACACUCUUAAAAUCGCUGCCGCUACACCAUGGGGUCGUUCAUUCAACUCCGUGUAGGCAUUGCACACCUCAUGCUUAUUGAUGAACAGACUGAAUCUUCCGAUCAGUCCAGGACGGUCAGCUCAAACCUUUUGGUCAGUCGACGCCAGUCAGCUCCAGCUCCGAGGUCUCGAUCGAAUUAAAUGCAAGGGUCGAGGGCAAAAUUUUCCUAUAUUUUUUUUGAGAAUCAAUAAAGCAAGAUAACUCCAAUUGUGAUAUUUUGUCUACUUGUCAAUCAAAAGUGUCAUGUUUGGUAGAACAAAAGGAAAUAUGUGCUACUGGAUCAAAGUCUCAUGAAAAUUGUGCCAUUUUAUCAAAUUGCUCGACGUAUGAACUGCUCCAUUCACACCCGAGACAUGAGAAUAAGUUGACCAUGUGUAUGCGCAACUUCUAAAUUAUAAGUCAACCACAUAUCAGUUGAUGUAUUCAGUUCCGUGGCCAGGAUCAAGUCAGGCCCCGGGCAAGCCCCAGGCCGAACGAUGUCGCCUGUGUUACAAUCAACGAAGAAAUAGCUUGCCACAGCCCACGGCCUCCGGGGUCGCCUGGGACUGACAACGUCGUUGAAAAUAUUAUGUGAGGACUACUUUGUGACGUGUAGAUGCAUGGACAGAGAGAUAUUCCAAUCCACUCCACUCCACUCUCUCUAUGCCUCCCCAAUCCUCUCUGUCAGCACACCCUCCUCGCACCCAUGUGCCUCAGCGGGUGAGGUAGUGAGGCACACUGCGCUGGUGCUUGAUGCACGGGACUCACAGGUGAGAGCUCGUGCUCUGAAGGAAGGGGGGUGGUGAUGUCCUGGGUUGGACAUCGAUCCAUGCCAACAAACAACACCGCACUUCGAUGCUAUCCCAUGGCACGAGAACAGGGGGUGCUCACCACGCAUGGGAACAUCGGGUGUUCAUUAGAUAGGAUCCUACAGUUUGAUCAAGAAAAGUAGUGUAGUCAGGUUACCCCUGAUUUCAUCAACGAAAGCAAACAUGUUAAAGCAACAAUCUCUUAUAAGUUUCUAACAACAUGUAUAUAGAUAUAUUUUAAAGUAGCUCCUCUAACCAUGGCAACAUAAUUGUUAUUUCUCCUCAAGUCAGACCUCUCCUGGUGGGCGCCUUGACAAAAUGAUAAGGAGCACAAUAUGUUCACUCAAAGCUAAUCACUCAAUUCCCGAUGGCUCAUAUUGUCAAGCAAUCGCCCGUUUUCAAUGCAAUGAUUAUGCAACGAUUGGUGUAGGAUAGGAAGCUGUUGAGAGUCCAUGCGUUUUCUGCUACUCUUGAAGUCUAGAUAGAACACACUGCUUUGGUGGUUGCAUUUAUAUGGAUGAUUUAGCCAUGCAUGAUGAGUUAUCUGGCCUUUCUUUCCCAAAGUUAAUCCGUCUAUCCACCUCAACUCAACACAUAUAGAUGAUUAGUGUUUGUCUUUUUAUACUGCAAUAAUUGAUGUACAAUGUUUGCCAACUAUCAUUUUCUCAUAUCAUCCAUGUCACACUAGUACACCUACUGCCAGGUCAUCAAAAUAGCACCAGCAAGACUGCAAGAGAGUUACCAUGUAUCUUGAUAUGAAGAUCACCCUACAUGGCUAAUACUGUAGGCAAAUGCAAAUUGCUUCAAUGCACCCUCGAUCCAUCUUUAAAAGGGAGGAGCCCCAUUUCUUCCUACUUCAUUUUCACUUGUCACACCAUAUGCAAGUACUGCCGAACCACUGUCUUGUACACCUAUGCAUUUGAAUUAUGGAUUGGUUUUGGUCUUUCUGAUUGACCAAUUUGAAAUAAUAAAUAAGUUGUUGAAAAAAAAAUAGGAUGUUAUUUGUUUCCCGCCUCUCUAGCUACACGUAGGAGUAGGAGGCAUCAGCAAGCAAAGGAGUUUCAAGUGAUAAGAUGCCACACCUGCAAUGCAUGUGACCCGUACAGUCGGGAACUCAGAUACGUAGUGAUAAGGAAAUAGCUUCUUUUUCUUUUGUUUAUCUCUACAAUACCUCAUGAAGAGUUCCGAGUCUUCUUGAAUGGGCAGUUCAUGUGAUGCACAACAUUGUACUCCUAUAAUGCACUUCUUCGCCUCCCUCCGUCAUCAUCCCCUGAAUCAAAGAGGGGGCGAGAAUACAGUGUAUCACUGGUGCUAAGCAGGUGAGGAACCUCGUACCAUGAGAGUAGACGUUUUUGUGUUUGUGUGGGUGUAUGCGCCCUAUUUGUAUUCUGUAACACGAUCUACCCCUUCUUAAUGAAAUGAAGCAAUUAUUUUUCCUUGGCUUAAAAAAUGCACUUCUUAUAUUGUGUGUUAUAUUAAUCUAUUUUUUUAUGUUUACUUAGAUAUUUGUCGUGGAGUUAACCCCUUUUGUAAUAUAAUUUCCUCCACCUUUUGAAAAUAAAGCAGUGUUACAUGUAUACUUUCCCGGCUGAUGAGAUUUAGUAACAUAGUCUUUCUCUUUUUCAAAAUGGGGGACAGAAAAAAGCUAAAUGUAAGCAACACGGUAAGUUUUGUUUAAGUUAAGGAAUUCAGUUCGUGGUAAGUUUUGUUUAAGUUUAGGGUUUCAGUUGAAUUUCAGGAGACGAGACAGAGAUUAGAGGUGGGGACCAUCACUUUAAACUAUUUGCAUACCACUCUUUAGAUCUGUUAAGUAAUAAAGCACCCCUUUUCAAAAAAGCAAAUCUUACCAGUCUCGGUGACCAUCACUUCAAACUAUCUACCUACCACUCUUGUGUCGCGGUGCAGAAGUUGGCAUGGCGUUGUGGUUCUCAUCUGUGACUGACCUCGGUGAUGGCCAUGCUUGCUGAUUGGGGACCGGCAUGGUCGGAUCUGAUGUUGAGGCGAUGACGGUGGAUUGGUCAUUUCCGCUACCACUUCGUCCAAUCUGUACUGGACUUGCACCCCUAGUUAUGCAGAAGUGGAAGCACAAAAGCGGAUGUGAGCAUCAUGGCGGCGAGCAAGACUGGUCGGGCAAUAAAGGUGGUGUGAUUUGCUUUGCCCCCAGUCAUGCUGGCAGCGGCGCAUCUCAUGGGAGGCUGGUAGAUUGCUGUUGUGCACAAUGUCCAUUAGUGAAACAAUAGUGCAUCAACGAAAAUGAUGCCACCGUGUCUUCUUUUCUAGAAAGUUCACUUUUAACUGGCUACUUAUGUGUAAUGGACUAUUAGGUAUUGUGAGCGACAUUGACGAUCCACACCGCCUUCCCGGCAUUGUUUUGCCCCAAAUUUGAUGUUUAGUUAGACUAUCCAAUAUGAAGCGCAAGCGAUGAAUCCUUCUUGAAUUAUAGGGUUGACAGUAGAAAUGUGGAGACGUUGCCACAGGCUGGCCCAACCUGGAUGACAUCGAGUUUUCUCUUUCUUUUUCAAGAUCAUUUGUUCGGCAUCUUGUGCUUAUGAUGGUUUAAUAAAAAAAGUUGAGCAGCGGUUUAAUUAUUAAUAAUACGCGACCCCUCAUUUUUUUAAUAAUUGUAAUUUCUAAUUCGUGACCGACAAAGUUUUGGCUUUACAACAAGCUCACAUGCACAGCCGUGAAAUCUCCACCUUGUGGUCACUGCCAUGGACAGGCAGCGGUACUCGUGGGAGGAAAUCUGAGAUACUCCGAUCCUUUCUAUUAUCUUUGUGCCUCCCCAAUCACUUGCCGCUAUUCCAUGCGCUUCAGUGGAGAAGGUAGCGCUAGCGCCCUCGGCACACGGGAUUAACCGAGGAGAGCUCGCGGUUUGAAGGAAGAGGGUUGCUGGUGCCCUGGGUUGGACGUCAGUCCAUGCCGCGAGCAUCACCAUAUUCCGCCCCUAUCCCAUGGCCCGUCGCACCUCAUGCGCUCCGGGAUUCCUUGCCCAUUCCUCCUGUCUCCACUGCCCGCCUCACUGGUGUUCUGUCCGCCGGGUAGGCAGUGCUCAUGCGCAACGCGAUGAGAGGGCACUCACCUCACACGGGAUCGAUCAAGGGGGUGCUCGUUCGAUGGGAUCCUGCAGUUCGAUCAAGCAUUUCCCAAGUAAGCCCUUUGUGCCUCUCUCUCCUUGUUCUUGAUUUUUCUGUCCGUCUAUUCGUUUGUGCUAGCUUGGAAAUCGCUGUUGGCUGUACAAUGCAUGAGAUCAGUGCAUACAUGUUGUUGCCCCUGUUCAUCCUGCUAGUGCUUCAGGGAGGGGCUGCGCUGACAGGACUGUAUGUGGUUUGGGGUUACUAGUAUCUGGAAACAUGUAGUACCUUCAACGACAUUACCAAAUUGCUAAAAGGACAAUAACAUUCGGGUCUAUCACAGCUCGGCUGCACCUGCUUCUGUGUUUGCCCCCCUCUCCUUUUGAUUUGCCCUCCUUUGUGUUACAAUGAACUUUGAUUGCCAUUCCUUUUGGCGUCCAUUCAAGGGAAAAUAUUUUCACCGCCCAAUAGAAUGUCACAAGACAAAGUCACAUGUAACAGAGUCCGGAUAGUAACUACUAUAUGCUGCAAACCUGCUGCAAAACAGAUUUCGUAAAAUUCUGAGAGAACAAUCUGCACAUAACAUCGAUCAAGCUAUAGUUUAUGAUCUCUCAAUAUGGCACAGAAUUUGAAUUCCACAACAUCAUCAAAUGUCCAAAACGUGUGCCAUCCAACGAAAAUUCAAAGUUGAAGUGUUUCAUGGUUGCAACUUUUGCAGUGUACAACGGCAAUGUGUAAACCUUUUUGACGUUGUAAGGACGAGUAAUGGUAAUCCCUCUGGUUUUUUACAUUUUUUUGAAAAGAAGGUUCAUAUUAUUAAAAAGUUCGAAUAAAACAAAGUCAUAGAUCCAUUACAGCUCGUGAACGGAGCAAAUUAAAAAGGAAAACUCAUUGCCACAACCGGCAGGAUAAUAGGAGUAGAACACUAGACACCUAUCGUAUUAUGAGACCGCUAUCCAAACCGGUUGAAUAUAGCCCGUGCUACCAUCUUCGAUUGGUUGCACCCAGUAAUCCCUCUGGGUUUUUUAUAUGGACCAACACAUCGCUAUACUAUGGUGGAUGGACUGAGAUUUCUGUUGAACAGGAAGUGAGAUUUUGUAGCAAUUCACAACAAGUUACCUACUGUGGAGCCGAGGUGGUAAUUUAGCUCCAAUCUACUUCUGCUGUUCGGACCAGAAAAAUCUUGUUGUAUCUGGGGUGUGGUAACCUGAUAGGAGGUGGACUCCUGUCCGGACUGACCACUCUGGGAGUUAUCCUCCUUUUCAGAAAAAAAACACCAAAAAUAUUACAUGCAGCAUGGUCAGAGAUGAGGUUAAUUAUGCACAACUCAAUGAAAAGGAAAACCAUAUUGACAAUGGGGAAUUACUGUCCACUAAAAUAAGACAGAACUCGGAAACAUUAUCUUGUUAUUUCUCAAAGUACAAAAAUAAAAUAUUUGUGAAAAGGAAGAAAAAUUAACUAUUUGUGAUUACCACCACCAAGGUUUUUAGUUUGGAAAAGAAAACAAUUGUGGACCUCAUCAAAAUAUGCGAAAUUUCAUUGGUAGUUUUAACCAUGACGGCACUACCGGGUCACUUGAACAACAAUAUCAAACGCAACACUUGCAAGAGCAGCACGAAGUUGCGUGACUUGCGGCCGAUGGACAGCGCCUCCCGAGAAGAGGGAUACGGCUAAUAAUCAAGGCCCGGCGCAAAUUGAUUCUACCUCCUGGAUCCAUCUUUAAAAGGGAGGAGUCCCAUUCCUUGCCCAUUUCAUUCUUCUCUUGUCACAUGCAACACCCACAAACACAACUUGUACGCCUGCACAUUUGGAAUCUCGAUUGUUUCUAGUCAUUCUGACUGACAAAUUAGAAAUGAAUAUUAAGUUGUAAGAAACUAAUACUUGGAUGACAUUUAUGUCUUGCCUCUCUACUUGUAGGAAUAGGAGGCAUUAGGAAGUUAGGGAGAUCCAAGAAACAAUAUGCCACAUCUUAACUGUCUCCCCCUUUGCAGUCCACAGCUAGGAUACGUAGUGCUAAGAAAACAGCCUCUCUUUCCUGGCACAAGAUACUCUCAUGUAGCUAAUACUUUGUCAGAGAGAUAAUGCGAAAAAGUUUAUUAAAUUGCAUUAGAUGACCAAUAUAUUUUAGCCCCAUAGUUUUGGUGUAACUUGCUUCAAUAGGACGUUAAAAAAAAUUACAUCCAGAAUGGUGGUAGUACCAAUAUGUAACAAUAGUUUCUUAUUAUUUAUACUUAGGUGUAUCUCUAGUGUGAUUUUAGUAAUAUACCCAAACUAAACCUGUCUAACUAUUGCUUUGGGUCUAGCUCAUUCCUCACUUAAUGGACACCUGGUGGUGAUUGCACAUACAUAUUUUUGGUUUGACCAAAGUGUGACUCUACUGAAAAUAACUGGCAACAUAAACAGUGACAUACUCCGGCUUGGUCUAAAUAUUGAUGGUAGUCAGUUUAUAACAGGGUGAGUUAAAUCACUAUUAAGUGGCAUUGAAGGAUCGAUCAACAUAUGUAAGUGAGCUUGUCCUUUCUGCUACAAUUUAUUGCAACAUCACUGGGUCUGUGUACCACAUGAUGGGUGACGUGGCUAACAUUACGACCACAUGCGUGACAAUACUUCUACAUCCUCUACCUUCAAAGGCCCAAUCUUUCACCCGCUGUCUCUCCAUUCUUCACUAACCUCCCCGACCCUCAUGUAUGCACUCGCUGACACACUAUCGUGAAGCCUAAACAUAUAUCACAAUGCAGUGAAAUCUGGAUCAGAUCUAAAGCUUCACUAGAAAAAUCGUAGUCAAUGUUGCUGGAAGCAUAUAGGAUUAGGAGGCAUCAGAAAAUUAGCAAGAUAUGGUGGCAAUGCUCGGAAAUCUGGGAAGGCUAGCGCGGACGCUGCAAUCAUCUGUCAUACCAGUGAGACAUUCCCGUGCCGCGGGGGCUGCGUGCCCCUCGUCUGCUGGCCGUUAGCUGCCUUUCUUGCUUUCGUAAUAUGGGUCCGAGUGAAAGAAAGAUGCAGUGGCGGCGUUGUUAUUUCUUUGGAUUAAUGACUACUUCUGGUCGGUGAGGUUCGAUCAAGCCAGGUGUAAGGGCCCAGGGCGAAAAUUAUCCUAUAAUAUAUGAUAGGUGGGCCUAGACCAAGCAAAACCUCAAUUUAUGCUAUUUUGUCUAGCUGUCCAUCAAAACCGUGUCAUUUAGUCGAACAAAAGGAAAGAUGUGUUACUCAGCUACUGUAUCUAAGCCCCUGUGACAUUUUGCUCAAAGUAUAAACCGCUCCCUUCCCACCUGAAGACAUGAGAAUAAGUUGAGCAUGUUUAUACACAAUUCGUAAGUAGGUAUGUCCACUGCAAAUCAAUUGAUGUAUUAUGUGAGGAUUACUAUCUGACUUGUAGAUGUAUGCCAGAUUGUAACUUCUAUUCGCUGCAAACCUGGCGCAGAACGGAUUCCAUGCAAUUCUUGGAAGAACAAGCUGCACAUAACAGCAAUCAGGUGUAUGUUUCUGAUGUUUCCAUAUGACUCCCUACAGUUGUUCCAGUAGAACAUCAUCAAGUGUUUAAAAAGGGUGCCAUCUUACAAAUUUUAGUGUUCCAUGGUUGCAACUUGUGCUGUAUCUUGCUUAACGUUGAGUGAUGAUGGCAUUGCGUCUACUUUUUUACUUGGACCAACACAUCGGUAAGCUUUGUUGGAUGCGAUGAGAUUUCUAUUGAACAAAAGAUCCUGUAGCAAAUCACAGCAACUUACCUACCUGGGGAGCAGAGUUUGUAAGUUUGCUCGCAUCUGCUUCAGCCGGCGAGUGUAGAUGUUUCUGCUCUACCGUUUGGAGCAGAAACAUCUUGUUGUAUGUGGGAUUCACCGUUUGGAGUAGAAACAUCUUGUUGUAUGUGGGAUUCAGGGACGGGAGUCGUCCUCAUUUUCAGAAGAAAAAAACACCAAAACAUAUUACAUGAACAUGAGGUUAGUUAUAGCAACUCAAUGAAACAGAAAACCAUAUUGACAACGGUAGUUACGGUCCAUUAAAAUAAGAUAGAACUAGUUAACAUUGCUUGUUUUCUUGUUAUUUCUCGAAGUACAGAAAUUAACUAUUUGUAAAGUACAGAACUUUUUUUAUAUAAAUAAAGCGGCCUGUCCGAUUUCUAUAUUAGAAACCACAUUGUCUGUUACAAACUAGUACUAGAGAGGACCUGACUGACGGAACAAGAAGGUACAGAACUAGGAAACCAUAGACAAGGGCUUCAUCUUUUCAAGCAGCUAGCUAUCUUGAGGCUUCAUGGCCGGGAACAGGAGGACCUCCUUUAUGUUCUGGGAAUCUGUCAGCAACAUGGUGAGGCGAUCAAUCCCAAGACCCCAGCCUCCGGUUGGCGGCAGCCCGUACUCAAGGGCUGUGCACAACGUUUCGUCCAUGGCCAUCGCUUCAUCGUCACCGUGCUGACGGUCCCUGAGCUGCUCCUCAAACCGCUGCCUCUGCACAACGGGGUCAUUGAGCUCCGUGUAGGCGUUGCACACCUCAUGCUUGUUGAUGAAGAGCUCAAACCUUUCGGUCAGUCCAGGCCGGGCCUCGUCCCUGUGUGACUUUGCGAGUGGGCUCAUGAUCUCAGGAUGGUUGAUGAUGAACGUGGGGUUCACGCACGUAUCCUCCAAGAAGUGCCCAACCAGCUUAUCCAGCAGCCGUGCCGUCGUGUGUGGAAGCGGGCACGUAAUGUCGUACCGGGCACAAGCCUCCAUCAAGUAUUCGUUGGUAUCGUCGCUCGACAGAUCCUCCUCCGCUAUGUUGAGAUUGGCCAUGUCCUCCAGUCCCUUGAUCAUGUCGAUUCGCGCAAACGGAGGCGUGAAAUCGAUCUCGAUAGGCGGCUUGUCGGUCCCGUUAGCGUGGUACUGUACCUUGUAGCCGCCCGUGAGCUCCUUCACCAUGCCGCCCAGCAUCUCCUCCGUGAGCUCCAUGAGGUCGUUGUAAUCCGUAUAUGCCAUGUAGAACUCGCACGUCGUGAACUCCGGGUUGUGCGUCGUGUCGAUGCCUUCGUUCCUGAACUGCCUCCCGAUCUCAUACACGCGGUCCAGCCCCCCGACGACGAGCUGCUUCAGGUAGAGCUCCGGCGCGAUGCGCAUGUACAACUUCAUGUUGAGGUCAUUGUGGUGCGUGACGAACGGCCUCGCCGCGGCGCCACCGGCCACCAUGUUCAUCAUCGGGGUGUCCACCUCCAGGAACCCACGCUCGUCAAGGAAGCUGCGGAUGAAGGAGACGACGCGGGCUCGCGCCGUGAAGACAGACCUCACCUCAUGGUUCACCAUAAGAUCAAGGUAUCGUCGGCGGUACCGUGUCUCCUGGUCCUUGAGGGCGUAGCUCUCCAUGUUCCUGGGCAUGCCGGCAGCCCACGGCAGCGGCGGCACAAGCCGGUGCCUAUUCGGCUGCCGCGGCAGCAUGUGCAGGCAGGGCGAGAGGACAACGAACCGGGCAGGGAAUAUGCUGAGCUCGCCCCUACUGCUCUUCCCGGGGAACCCAGACACGCCAACGACGUCGCCGGCCUUCACGCCGGAGUGGAAAGCGGAGAACUCCUCGGGCGUCUCCAGCUCCGAGGUCCCGACGUCCGCCAUGAUCUGGACCUUGGCGCUGUCGCGGUGGAGGUCGUAGAAGAGGAGGCUGGAGGACGACGUCCUCUUGCUCAUGAUCCUCCCGGCCAGGGACUCGGUGACAUCGACCAGCUUCUCCCCGUCGGCAAGGCCCCUGUACCUGUGGACGUAGUCGGCGACGGAGAUGGUGGGCUGGAAGGCGUGCGGGUAGGGGUUCACGCCGGCGGCCUUCUGCGCGGCGAGGGCGCUGAGCCUGUUCUGAUAGUACUGGGUGGGAUCGACGCCAUCGUCCGCCAUCGAUCUCAGAGUUCAAAGCAGCAGCCGAAGGCGUGCGUCGGCUAAAACUCGCUCGCGGUAUAGUCCUAUGGAAAAUUAGAUCGGAGAUUUUGUUGACCUUGCACCUCCUUCGUUUUCGUUUCUGUUUAUAUACAUGGGACAGGUGGACACUACGUACACUUUUUUCCUUUUUUAGGGUGACACUACGUAAGCUUAGCGUGCACACUACAUAAACGAUCCCCGAGACUCCACCCCAAGGGAAAUUCAGGGGAACAGGCACGUACCAGACGCCGAGGUUUUUUUUUUUGAGGGAAAAAAAAAGACCUCGGCGGCUGGUACCAGCCGCCGAGGUCGAUUAGCGCCUAACUCCGUGGUCAUUUAGUAUUAUGCAAAUAUUUGUCAUUGCAAAUUUGAUACGUAACAUUUACUUUUGCGAAUUAGUAGCCAGAGUUAUAAAAGAUCUUGGUAAGAAAUCAUGUAUUUAUGAAGAGGGUAGUAUAGAAGCUUAGAAGAAGAUAGUCAGGAUCAUGAGUUGGGAUCGGAUUGAUCCUCUAUGAUAAAAUUGCAAAUCGUUGGCUCAUAACUAGUAGGAUCGUGACCACGUGACAUAUGUGGGAAGGAAACCAAACUAUUCAAAAAGAGCAGGAUCGUGAAAAUAUGGAUAUCUAAUCAAUUUAGAUCAUAACAUCGUAAAAAAUCACAAUAAAAUCAUGAUUCUCACUACCUUGCCAAAAACAACCUCCUUAUAUAUUUUCCCAGAAUAAAGUAAUUUGCACAUAUUUGGGGGCAGUCAAGAUUUAUAUUAACUGUGCAUAUAUUCUUUUUUUGCGGGCAGUCAAUAUGCCAUAAAUGGAUCCUUGGUUUUUCCUUCAAGGCAAUCAAUUUACGAAUAUAUGCACAAUUAAUAAUUAAUGCCAUUAGUAGAUGAGCUGUAUGUUUUGGGUGUAAAUAUACUAUAUAAAUAUUCCUCGCAAAAAAAUACUAUAAAUAUAUUUUUUACUAUACAUAUGAGCUGUAUGUUUUGGGUGUAUAUCAACAUACACAUUUAUAGGAUACAGACCGAUGAUUUCAAUUAAUGUAUUUAAAUGUUAACAUAUAUGUAAAUAAAUCGAAAACUUGUAGCAUACACCUAUGUCCAUUAUAAAAAGCCAUCUAAGACCCUAAUCACAGAGCAGGAACCCAGGCAUAUCUGAAAAGAUUGGCUUAACCUCCCAGUAAACACGCUUUCUCAAUCUCAAUCUCUCUCUCAGGUUGCCACCAUCAAGACAGGAUGAGGUCGUUCUACAAGAUGCUACUACUUUCGCUUGCCCUUGUUGCGCUGCUAUCCUCAGGUAUGUAUGUUUGGAGCAUGUUUUGUGAUCAAUUUUGUACGGCGACCUUUCCACUAUCGUUUUCUCAUAAUAAUUCUCUGCAAUCUUUAUAUGCUGGAACGAACAUAUAGAUCUGAUGAUCCAGGCAACGGCUAAUGGUGGCGGCUCGCUAAUCCCUGAAGACUGCCGGCAGACCCCUGUCAUCCCUGGGCCGUGUAACCCCAAGGCUUGUCAACGCAACUGUCAAACCAACGUCGGCCCCGGUGCAGUUGGCGAUUGUGAUGCCGGUGGAUGCCGGUGCACAUACUGUACUCCAUCUCAGCGAAAUUAAGCAGUGAUUGUUGCUUAAUUUUUCUCUGUUUCCAUAAUAUGUAAAAUCUUGGGUUCUUUUUUCUGUCUAGCUUCCUGUCAAAUACUCCUACUUGGAAACUCGAAUCGGAAUGUCAGAAAUUUCAUCGAUUCGAGGGGCGGUUGCCUGAUUAGCAUGUUUGCUUGUGAUUACCACAUCUGAAAAUUAAGGUGUGGUCCUCUAGCCUCCCCUCUCCCUUUGUAGAGGUGUGCUGCUCUAGUCUCCUUGAUUUAUCUUCCUUUGACAGCGUAGUAAAUUGAUGGAGCUCGUGAAAUUGUGAAUGGUGUGCAAGUUAUAACGCACAUAUAUAGCUAGUGUUCGUCCUUUCGAGCUGACAAUUUGUUUAGUAAUUCGUGUUAGUAAUGAAGAAAUAGAAGCCAUUUUCAUGCACGGUAGGCAGCAAGAACUGCGUCGUCAUUGAUCAAACGUAAGCAAGUGGGUUUUGUCCUUCGGCUACAAUGAAUUCGCACAUCUUCAAUCUUUAAAGAUCAUCCCUUUCCCCGCUGGUUCUCCACUUGUCUCUCGGAUCCUAACACAUGCACUAUCCCAAAACCCAAAAAUCAUACAGCGAUGCAGUCAAAUCUUUAUCUGUUCUAAAUGUUCAACAAAAAAUGGUAGUCAAUGUCGUCCACAACGCAAUAGGAGUAGGAGGGAUCAGAAAGUUAUGAAGAUAAGCUUGCCCUGCUCGGAAUUUCAAGAAGGCUAGACAGGAUGAUUUCCGGAUAUGCGAUCCCAAUGAAGCAUUGUGUUUCUCAUCUAGUUUUGCCACUGAGCCACGCCAGUUCUUGGGCAAGUACUGUGCUCGACACCAGCCCAGCCGUUCUCCAGGAAUCAUUGGGGCUUGCUACAUCCAGUGCAGUCGUGGUUUGCGCACGGGACACAUUGCUGAUGUGAUGGGGACCGCAAUCGACCCGGAUCUACGUUGAUGGCUGUGCAUCCUAAGCGCUUACUGGGCACCAGCGAUGCGCAGUUACACAUGGACAUGGCCAUAGCAAACAAACAAGGUGCGGGCACGCAGACCGACAGGAACCGAUGGGGUCGUGAGACUCUGGCAGGCGCGGACCACACUGAGGGCUCGUGCAUGGAUUCUUGGGUUUCGAUCAAAAAUAUCCAUCUGUAUAAUUUCGUUAAGGAUAAAUGAAGGAAAUAAAAAUGAAAAAAAAUUAGGGUCAGUCAUAAUGCAUACAACCAUCUUUAUUAAUUAUUCAACAGAGUGUGGCAAAAUGAAUACAAGGAUCAACCCAAGCCACCUUCUAGACGAACAAAGUCACCACACCUACAGGUAUACAUAUGUGCUCUGUACGCAUAACACACACUAUCUAAUCCGGUGGCCUAAAGCCCGGCCGGUCUAGGUGUCCCAUAACGUGCACCGCAUGCGCGCGCUCUAGGAUCUGCCGCCACCAUCUUCCGCCAUCCCAUCUUACUAUGAGUGAUACUAGUUUCUUUACACAUGUAGUUUAGCCGACAGGACUAGACCCGCGCAUCGCUCGUAGUAGCGGCUUCGGAGAACCCUAGUCCCACCAGCCACCGACCCUCUCCUCCAGCACCUCUCCCUCGCCGCCGCCAAGGGUCUCUGUCGGGCGAAGCCCGGGCAGUGCUGGCGGCGGCGGGGCCUUCCAUGGGCGCGGCUCCUCGCAGGGGCGCGGCUCCUCGCAGGGGCGCGUCUCCGAUCUGGCGGUGGCGGCACUGCUCGGUGAUGGGUGUGGUGGGGUGCUUCACCUGGUGGUGUGCCCCGGCUUGCAGCGAUGGCUUCGGCUCUCGGUCCCUUUGAUCUUUUCUGGGUUGGUUGGUGGAACUCGACCGAAAGCUGUGUUGGAAAUAUGCCCUAGAGGCAAUAAUAAAAGUGUUAUUAUUAUAUUUCCUUGUUCAUGAUAAUUGUCUUUUAUUCAUGCUAUAACUGUAUUAUCCGGAAAUCGUAAUACACGAGUGAAUACAUAGUUCGUUUGCUAGAGCUUUGCCAAUGUCAAGUAUCUCUUCCUUUGACCAUGAUAGCGUGUAACUCCUGGAUACCGUAGGAGUGCUUUGGGUGUAUCAAACAUCACAACGUAACUGGGUGACUAUAAAGGUGCACUACAGGUAUCUCCGAAAGAAUCUAUUGUUUUAUGCGGAUCGAGACUGGGAUUUGUCACUCCGUGUAAACGGAGAGGUAUCUCUGGGCCCACUCGGUAGGACAUCAUCAUAUGCGCAAUGUGACCAAGGAGUUGAUCACGGGAUGAUGUGUUACGGAACGAGUAAAGUGACUUGCCGGUAACGAGAUUGAACAAGGUAUUGGAUACCGACGAUCGAGUCUCGGGCAAGUAACAUACCGAUAGACAAAGGGAAUUGAAUACGGGAUUGAUUAAGUCCUUGACAUCGUGGUUUAUCCGAUGAGAUCAUCGUGGAGCAUGUGGGAGACAUCAUGGGUAUCCAGAUCCCGCUGUUGGUUAUUGACCAGAGAACGUCUCGGUCAUGUCUGCAUGUCUCCCGAACCCGUAGGGUCUACACACUUAAGGUUCGAUGACGCUAGGGUUAUAAAGGAAGUUUGUAUGUGGUUACCGAAUGUUGUUCGGAGUCCCGGAUGAGAUCCCGGACAUCAUGAGGAGUUCCGGAAUGGUCCGGAGGUAAAGAUUUAUAUAUGCGAAGUCCUAUUUUGGCCACCGGAAAAUGUUCGGGAUUUUUCGGUAUUGUACCGGGAAGGUUCUAGAAGGUUCCGGAGUGGGGACCACCUGCAUGGGGGGACCCACAUGAACGUGGGUAGUGGGGGCAAGGCCCCACACCCCUGGUCAAGGCGCACCAAGAUCCCCCCUUAGAAGGAAUAAGAUCAUAUCCCGAAGGGAUAAGAUCAAGAUCCCUAAAAAGGGGGGAUAACAAUCGGUGAGGAAGGAAAUGAUGGGAUUUCUUUCCUCCCACCUUGGCCAACGCCCCAAUGGACUUGGAGGGCAAGAAACCAGCCCCUCCACCCCUAUAUAUAGUGGGGAGGCGCAUGGGAGCUGAAGACGAAGUUCUGGCGCAGCCCUCCUCCUCUCCCAAGUCGUCCUCCUCUCCCGUGGUGCUUGGCGAAGCCCUGCUGGAUUGCCACGCUCCUCCAUCACCACCACGCCGUUGUGCUGCUGUUGGAUGGAGUAUUCCUCAACCUCUCCCUCUCUCCUUGCUGGAUCAAGGCGUGGGAGACGUCACCGGGCUGUACGUGUGUUGAACGCGGAGGUGCCGUGCGUUCGGCACUUGAUCAUCGAUGAUUUGAAUCACGACGAGUACGACUCCUUCAACCCCGUUCUCUUGAACGCUUCCGCUUAGCGAUCUACAAGGGUAUGUAGAUGCACUCUCCUUCUACUCGUAGCUGGUUUCUCCAUAGAUAGAUCUUGGUGACACGUAGGAAAAUUUUGAAUUUCUGCUACGUUCCCCAAUAGUGGUAUCAGAGCCAGGUUUAUUGCGUAGAUUCUUUGCACGAGUAGAACACAAAGUAGUUCUGGGCAUUGAUUUUGUUCAAUAUGCUUACCGUUACUAGUCCAAUCUUGUUUCGACGGUAUUGUGGGAUGAAGCGGCCUGAACCGACCUUACACGUACUCUUACGUGAGACAGGUUCCACCGAUUGACAUGCACUUGGUGCAUAAGGUGGCUAGCGGGUGCCAGUCUCUCCCACUUUAGUCGGAACGGAUUCGAUGAAAAGGGUCCUUAUGAAGGGUAAAUAGCAAUUGGCAUAUCACGCUGUGGUCUUGCGUAGGUAAGAAACAUUCUUGCUAGAAACCCAUAGCAGCCACGUAAAAUAUGCAACAACAAUUAGAGGACGUCUAACAUGUUUUUGCAGGGUAUGCUAUGUGAUGUGAUAUGGCCAAGUAGAAUGUGAUGAAUGAUAUGUGAUGUAUGAGAUUGAUCAUGUUCUUGUAAUAGGAUUCACGACUUGCAUGUCGAUGAGUAUGACAACCGGCAUGAGCCAUAGGAGUUGUCUUAAUUUAUUGUAUGACCUGCGUGUCAUUGAACAACGCCAUGUAACUUACUUUACUUUAUUUCUAAACACGUUAGCCAUAGAAGUAGAAGUAGUCGUUAGCGUGACAACUUCAUGAAGACACGAUGAUGGAGAUCAGGAUGAUGGAGAUCAUCGUGUCAAGCCGGUGACAAGAUGAUCAUGGAGCCCCGAAGAUGAAGAUCAAUGGAGCUAUAUGAUAUUGGCCAUAUCAUGUCACAACUAUAUAAUUGCAUGUGAUGUUUAUUAUGAUUAUGCAUCUUGUUUACUUAGGACGACGGUAGUAAAUAAGAUGAUUCCUUACAAAAUUUCAAGAAGUGUUCUCCCCUAACUGUGCACCGUUGCUACAGUUCGUCGCUUCUAAGCACCACGUGAUGAUCGGGUGUGAUGGAUUCUUACGUUCACAUACAACGGGUGUAAGACAGAUUUACACAGCGAAAACACUUAGGGUGACAUGGCCUCGGAACACGGAGACCGAAAGGUCGAGCAUGAGUCGUAUAGCAGAUACGAUCAACAUGAAGAUGUUCACCGAUGAUGACUAGUCCGCCUCACGUGAUGAUCGGACACGGCCUAGUUGACUCGGAUCAUGUGAUCACUUAGAUGACCAGAGGGAUGUCUAUCUAAGUGGGAGUUCAUAAGAUGAACUUAAUUAUCUUGAACAUAGUCAAAAGACCUUUUUGCAAAUUAUGUCGUAAGCUCGCGCUUUAGUUCCACUGUUUAGAUAUGUUCCUAGAGAAAAUAUAGUUGAAAGUUGACAGUAGCGAUUAUGCGGACAGUAGAACGCUUAUGUCCUUAAUGCACUGCUCAGUGUGCUAAACCCCAAACGUCGUUUGUGGAUGUUUCGAAUAUCGAACAUACACGUUUUGAUAACUACGUGAUAGUUUAGUUAAAUGGUUUAAGUGGAGGCACCAAAGACAUUUUCGAAACGUCGCGGAACAUAUGAGAUGUUUCGAGGGCUGAAAUUGGGAUUUCAGGCUCGUGCCCACGUCAAGAGGUAUGAGACCUCCGGCGAUUUUCUUAGCCUGCAAACUAAGGGAGAAAAGCUCAAUCGUUGAGCUUGUGCUCAGAUUGUCUGAGUGCAACAAUCACUUGAAUCAAGUGGGAGUUAAUCUUCCAGAUGAGAUAGUGAUGUUUCCCCAAAGUCAUUGCCACCAAGCUGCUAGAGCUUCGUGAUGAACUAUAACAUAUCAGGGAUAGAUAUGAUGAUCCUUGAGGUAUUCGCGAUGUUUGACACCGCGAAAGUAGAAAUCAAGAAGGAGCAUCAAUUGUUGAUGGUUGGUGAAACCACUAGUUUCAAGAAGGGCAAGUGCAAGAAGGGAUACUUCAUGAAACGGCAAAUCAGCUGCUGCACCAGUGAAGAAACCCGAGGUUGAACCCAAACCCGAGACUAAGUGCUUCUGUGAUGAGGGGAAUAGCCGCUGGAGCAGAAUUACCCUAGAUACUUGGUAGAUAAGAAGGCUGGCAAGGUCGAUAGAAGUAUAUUGGAUAUACAUUAUGUUAAUGUGUACUUUACUAGUACUCCUAGUAGCACCAGGGUAUUAGAUACCGGUUCGGUUGCUAAGUGUUAGUAACUCGAAAUAAAAGCUACGGAAUAAACGAAGAAUAGCUAAAGGUGAGCUGACGAUAUAUGUCGGAAGUGUUUCCAAGUUUGAUGUGAUCAAACAUCGCACGCUCCCUCUACCAUCAAGAUUAGUAUUAAACCUGAAUGGUUUAUUGAAUCUCGAUCGUAGUGAUACACAUUUUCAUGCCAAAAGAUAUAAGAUAGUAAUGAUAGUACCACUUACUUGUGGCACUGCCAUGUAAGUCAUAAUGGCAUAAAAUGCAUGAAGAAGCUCCAUGUUGAUGGAUCUUUGGACUCACUCGUUUUUGAAAAGUUUGAGACAUGCGAACCAUGUCUAUUGGUGUAUAUGCAUGAAGAAACUCCAUGCAAAUGGACCGUUUGGACUCACUUGAUUUUGAAUCACUUGAGAUAUGCAAAUCAUACCACAUGGGCAAGAUGACUGAAAAGCCUCGUUUUCAGUAAGAUGGAACAAGAUAGCAACUUGUUGGAAGUAACACAUUUUGAUGUGUCCAAUCCAAUGAGUGCUGAGGCAUGCAGUGAAUAUCGUUAUGAUCUUACUUCACAUAUGAUUCGAGUAGAUGUUGAGAAUAUUUACUUGAUGAAACACAAGUCUGAAUUAUUGAAUGGUUCAAGUAAUUUCAGAGUGAAGUAGAAGAUCAUUGUGACAAGAGGAUAAAAUGUCUAUGAUAUGAUCAUAGAGAUGAAUAUCUGAGUUACGAGUUUUGGCACACAAUUAAGACAUUGUGGAAAUUGUUUCGCAAUUAAUACCGCCUGGAACACCAUAGUGUGAUGGUGUGUCCGAACAUCAUAGUUGCACCCUAUUGGAUAUGGUGCCUACCAUGAUGUCUCUUAUCGAAUUACCACUAUUGUCCAUGGGUUAGGCAUUAGAGACAACCACAUUCACUUUAAAUAGGGCACCACGUAAUUCCGUUGAGAUGACACCGUAUGAAUUAUGGUUUAGAGAAACCUAAGUUGUCGUUUCUUAAAGGUUUGGGGCUGCAACGCUUAUGUGAAAAAGUUUCAGGAUUGAUAAGCUCGAACCCAAAGCGGAUAAAAUGCAUCUUCAUAGGACACCCAAAACAGUUGGGUAUACCUCCUGUCUCAGAUCCGAAAGCAAUAAGGGAUUGUUUCUAGAAUCAGGUACUUUCUCGAGGAAAAGUUUCUCUCGAAAGAAUUGAGUGGGAGGAUGGUGGAGACUUGAUGAGGUUAUUGAACCGUCUCUUCAACUAGUGUGUGGCAGGGCAUAGGAAGUUGUUCCUGUGGCACCUACACCAAUUGAAGUGGAAGCUUAUGAUAUUGAUCAUGAAACUUCGGAUCAAGUCACUACCAAACCUCGUGGGAUGACAAGGAUGCGUACUACUUCAGAGUGGUACGUAAUCCUGUCUUGAAGGUCAUGUUGCUAGACAACAAUGAACCUACGAGCUAUGGAGAAGCGAUGGUGGGCCCGAAUUCCGACAAAUGGUUAGAAGCCAUGAAACCCGAGAUAGUAUCCAUAUAUCAGAACAAAGCAUGGACUUUGAUGGACUUGCCCGAUGAUCGGCAAUCCAUUGAGAUAAAUGGAUCUUUUAAGAAGAAGACGGACGUGGAUGGUAAUGUCACCAUCUAUGAAGCUCGACUUGUGGCGAAGUGUUUUCCGACAAGUUCAAGGAGUUGACUACGAUGAGAUUUUCUCACUCGUAGCGAUGCUUAAAGUCCGUCGGAAUCAUGUUAGCAUUAGCUACAUUUAUGAAAUCUGGCAGAUGGAUGUCAAGACAAGUUUCCUUACCAGUUUUCGUAAGGAAAGGUUGUAUGCAAUACAAUCAGAAAAGUUUUGUCGAUCCUAAGGAUGCUAAAAGGUAUGCUAGCUCCAGCGAUCCUUCUAAGGACUGGAGUAAGCAUCUCGGAGUUGGAAUGUACGCUUUGAUGAGAUGAUCAAAGAUUUUGGAUUUAUACAAAGUUUAUGAGAAACUUGUAUUUCCAAAGAAGUGAGUGGGAGCACUAUAGAAUUUCUGAUGAGUAUAUGUUGUUGACAUAUUGAUGAUCAGAGAUGAUGUAGAAUUUCUAGAAAGCAUAUAGGGUUAUUUGAAAGGUGUUUUUCAAUAGAAAACCUGGAUUAAGCUACUUGAACAUUGAGCAUCAAGAUCUAUAAGGAUAGAUCAAAAUGCUUAAUAAUACUUUCAAAUGAGCACAUACCUUGACAUGAUCUUGAAGGUGUUCAAGAUGGAUCAGUCAAAGAAGAAGUUCUUGCCUGAGUUGUAAGGUACAAAGUUAAGACUUAAAUCUCGACCUCGGCAGAAAAGAGAGAAAGGACGAAGGUCAUCCCCUAUGCUUAAGACAUAGGCUCUAUAGUAUGCUAUGCUGUGUACCGCACCUGAAGUGUGCCUUGCCAUGAGUCAGUCAAGGGGUACAAGAGUGAUCCAAAAAUGGAUCAUAGGACAGCGGUCAAAGUUAUCCUUAGUAACUAGCGGACUAAGGAAUUUUUCUCGGUUAUGGAGGUGGUAAAAGAGUUCAUCGUAAAGGGUUACGUCGAUACAAGCUAAACACCUAUCCGGAUAGCUCUGAGUAGAGAGACCGGAUACAUAUAAUGGAGCAACAAUUUAGAAUAGCUCCAAGUAGAACAGUUAUUUGGAAUAGCCCCAAAUAGAGCGUGGUAGCUGCAUCUAGGAGAUGACAUAGAGAUUUGUAAAGCACACACGGAUCUGAAAGGUUCAGACCCGUUGACUAAAACCUCUCUCACAAGCAACAUGAUCAAACAUAAAACUCAUUGAGUGUUAAUCACAUAGUGAUGUGAACUAGACUACUGACUCUAGUAAACUUUUGGGUAUUAGUCACAUGGCGAUGUGACCUGUGAGUGUUAAUCACAUGGCGAUGUGAACUAGAUUAUUGACUCUAGUGCAAGUGGGAGACUGUUGGAAAUAUGCCCUAGAGGCAAUAAUAAAAGUGUUAUUAUUAUAUUUCCUUGUUCAUGAUAAUUGUCUUUUAUUCAUGCUAUAACUGUAUUAUCCGGAAAUCAUAAUACACGUGUGAAUACAUAGACCACAAUAUGUCCCUAGUGAGCCUCUAGUUGACUAGCUCGUUGUGAUCAACAGAUAGUCAUGGUUUCCUGGCUAUGGACAUUGGAUGUCGUUGAUAACGGGAUCACAUCAUUAGGAGAAUGAUGUGAUGGACAAGACCCAAUCCUGAGCAUAGCACAAAGAUCGUGUAGUUCGUUUGCUAGAGCUUUGCCAAUGUCAAGUAUCUCUUCCUUUGACCAUGAGAGCGUGUAACUCCUGGAUACCGUAGGAGUGCUUUGGGUGUAUCAAACGUCACAACGUAACUGAAUGACUAUAAAGGUGCACUACAGGUAUCUCCGAAAGUAUCUAUUGUUUUAUGCGGAUCGAGACUGGGAUUUGUCACUCCGUGUAAAUGGAGAGGUAUCUCUGGGCCCACUCGGUAGGACAUCAUCAUAUGCGCAAUGUGACCAAGGAGCUGAUCACGGGAUGAUGUGUUACGGAACGAGUAAAGUGACUUGCCGGUAACGAGAUUGAACAAGGUAUUGGAUACCGACGAUCGAGUCUCGGGCAAGUAACAUACCGAUAGACAAAGGGAAUUGAAUACGGGAUUGAUUAAGUCCUUGACAUCGUGGUUCAUCCGAUGAGAUCAUCGUGGAGCAUGUGGGAGCCAUCAUGGGUAUCCAGAUCCCGCUGUUGGUUAUUGACCAGAGAACGUCUCGGUCAUGUCUGCAUGUCUCCCGAACCCGUAGGGUCUACACACUUAAGGUUCGAUGACGCUAGGGUUACAAAGGAAGUUUGUAUCUGGUUACCGAAUGUUGUUCGGAGUCCCGGAUGAGAUCCCGGAUGUCACGAGGAGUUCCGGAAUGGUCCGGAGGUAAAGAUUUAUAUAAGGGGAGUCCUAUUUUGGCCACCGGAAAAUGUUCGGGAUUUUUCGGUAUUGUACCGGGAAGGUUCUAGAAGGUUCCGGAGUGGGGCCCACCUGCAUGGGGGGACUGAAGGAAAUAUGCCCUAGAGGCAAUAAUAAAGUUAUUAUUUAUUUCCUUAUAAUCAUGAUAAAUGUUUAUUAUUCAUGCUAGAAUUGUAUUUACCGGAAACAUAAUACAUGUGUGAAAACAUAGACAAACAUAGUGUCACUAGUAUGCCUCUACUUGACUAGCUCAUUAAUCAAAGAUGGUUAUGUUUCCUAACCAUGAACAAAGAGUUGUUAUUUGAUUAACGAGGUCACAUCAUUAGUAGAAUGAUCUGAUUGACAUGACCCAUUCCAUUAGCUUAGCACCCGAUCGUUUAGUAUGUUGCUAUUGCUUUCUUCAUGACUUAUACAUGUUCCUAUGACUAUGAGAUUAUGCAACUCCCGUUUACCGGAGGAACACUUUGGGUACUACCAAACGUCACAACGUAACUGGGUGAUUAUAAAGGAGUACUACAGGUGUUUCCAAUGGUCGAUGUUGGGUUGGCGUAUUUCGAGAUUAGGAUUUGUCACUCCGAUUGUCGGAGAGGUAUCUCUGGGCCCUCUCGGUAAUACACAUCACAUAAGCCUUGCAAGCAUUACAACUAAUAUGUUAGUUGUGAGAUGAUGUAUUACGGAACGAGUAAAGAGACUUGCCGGUAACGAGAUUGAACUAGGUAUUGGAUACCGACGAUCGAAUCUCGGGCAAGUAACAUACCAAUGACAAAAGGAACAACGUAUGUUGUUAUGCGGUCUGACCGAUAAAGAUCUUCGUAGAAUAUGUAGGAGCCAAUAUGGGCAUCCAGGUCCCGCUAUUGGUUAUUGACCAGAGACAUGUCUCGGUCAUGUCUACAUUGUUCUCGAACCCGUAGGGUCCGCACGCUUAAGGUUACGAUGACAGUUAUAUUAUGAGUUUAUGCAUUUUGAUGUACCGAAGGUUGUUCGGAGUCCCGGAUGUGAUCACGGACAUGACGAGGAGUCUCGAAAUGGUCAAGACAUAAAGAUUGAUAUAUUGGAAGCCUAUGUUUGGACAUCGGAAGUGUUCCGGGUGAAAUCGGGAUUUUACCGGGUUACCGGGAGGUUACCGGAACCCCCCGGGAACCACAUGGGCCUUCAUGGGCCUUAGUGGAAAGGAGAAAGGGGCAGCCCAAGGGGGCUGCGCGCCUCCCCCCUUCCCCUAGUCCUAUUAGGACUAGGAGAGGUGGCCGGCCACCCCUCUCCCUCUUUCCCCCUUGGGAAUCCUAGUUGGAAUAGGAUUGGAGGGGAGUCCUACUCCCGGUAGGAGUAGGACUCCUCCUGCGCCUCCUCCUCCUGGCCGGCGCACCCUCCCCCCUUGGCUCCUUUAUAUACUGAGGCAGGGGCACCUCUAAACACACAAGUUGACACAAGUUGAUCCACGUGAUCGAUUCCUUAGCCGUGUGCGGUGCCCCCUGCCACCAUAUUCCUCGAUAAUACUGUAGCGGAGUUUAGGCGAAGCCCUGCUGCUGUAGUUCAUCAAGAUCGUCACCACGCCGUCGUGCUGACGGAACUCUUCCCCGACACUUUGCUGGAUCGGAGUCCGGGGAUCGUCAUCGAGCUGAACGUGUGCUCGAACUCGGAGGUGCCGUAGUUUCGGUGCUUGAUCGGUUGGAUCGUGAAGACGUACGACUACUUCCUCUACGUCGUGUCAUCGCUUCCGCAGUCGGUCUGCGUAGGGUACGUAUACAAUACUCUUCCCCUCGUUGCUAUGCAUCACAUGAUCCUAUGUGCGCGUAGGAAAAUUUUUGAAAUUACUACGAAACCCAACAGUGGCAUCCGAGCCUAGGUUAAUGAUGUUGAUGUUAUAUGCACGAGUAGAACACAAGUGAGUUGUGGACGAUACAAGUCAUACUGCCUACCAGCAUGUCAUAUUUUGGUUCGGCGGUAUUGUUGGACGAGACGACCCGGACCAACCUUACGCGUACGCUUACGCGAGACCGGUUCCCUCGACGUGCUUUGCACAGAGAUGGCUUGCGGGCGACUGCCUCUCCAACUUUAGUUGAACCAAGUAUGGCUACGCCCGGUCCUUGCGAAGGUUAAAACGGAGUCUAUUUGACAAACUAUCGUUGUGGUUUUGAUGCGUAGGUGAGAUUGGUUCUUACUUAAGCCCGUAGCAGCCACGUAAAACAUGCAACAACAAAGUAGAGGACGUCUAACUUGUUUUUGCAGGGCAUGUUGUGAUGUGAUAUGGUCAAAGCAUGAUGCUGAAUUUUAUUGUAUGAGAUGAUCAUGUUUUGUAACCGAGUUAUCGGCAACUGGCAGGAGCCAUAUGGUUGUCGCUUUAUUGUAUGCAAUGCAAUCGCGAUGUAAUGCUUUACUUUAUUACUAAACGGUAGUGAUAGUCGUGGAAGCAUAAGAUUGGCGAGACGACAACGAUGCUACGAUGGAGAUCAAGGUGUCGCGCCGGUGAUGAUGGUGAUCAUGACGGUGCUUCAGAGAUGGAGAUCACAAGCACGAGAUGAUGAUGGCCAUAUCAUAUCACUUAUAUUGAUUGCAUGUGAUGUUUAUCUUUUUAUGCAUCUUAUCUUGCUUUGAUUGACGGUAGCAUUAUAAGAUGAUCUCUCACUAAAUUAUCAAGAAGUGUUCUCCCUGAGUAUGCACCGUUGCCAAAGUUCAUCGUGCCCAGACACCACGUGAUGAUCGGGUGUGAUAAGCUCUACGUCCAUCUACAACGGGUGCAAGCCAGUUUUGCACACGCAGAAUACUCAGGUUAAACUUGACGAGCCUAGCAUAUGCAGAUAUGGCCUCGGAACACGGAGACUGAAAGGUCGAGCGUGAAUCAUAUAGUAGAUAUGAUCAACAUAACGAUGUUCACCAUUGAAAACUACUCCAUCUCACGUGAUGAUCAGUUAUGGUUUAGUUGAUUUGGAUCACGUGAUCACUUAGAGGAUUAGAGAGAUGUCUAUCUAAGUGGGAGUUCUUUUGUAAUAUAAUUAAUUGAACUUAAAAUUUAUCAUGAACUUAGUCCCUGAUAGUAUCUUGCUUGUUUAUGUUGAUUGUAGAUAGAUGGCUCGUGCUGUUGUUCCGUUAAAUUUUAAUGCGUUCCUUGAGAAAGCAAAGUUGAAAGAUGAUGGUAGCAAUUACACGGACUGGGUCCGUAACUUGAGGAUUAUCCUCAUUGCUGCACAGAAGAAUUACGUCCUGGAAGCACCGCUGGGUGCCAGGCCUGCUGCUGGAGCAACGCCAGAUGUUAUGAACGUCUGGCAGAGCAAAGCUGAUGACUACUCGAUAGUUCAGUGUGCCAUGCUUUACGGCUUAGAAUCGGGACUUCAACGACGUUUUGAACGUCAUGGAGCAUAUGAGAUGUUCCAGGAGUUGAAGUUAAUAUUUCAAGCAAAUGCCCGGAUUGAGAGAUAUGAAGUCUCCAAUAAGUUCUAUAGCUGCAAGAUGGAAGAGAACAGUUCUGCCAGUGAGCAUAUACUCAAAAUGUCUGGGUAUAAUAAUCACUUGAUUCAAUUGGGAGUUAAUCUUCCGGAUGAUUGCGUCAUUGACAGAAUUCUCCAAUCACUGCCACCAAGCUACAAGAGCUUCGUGAUGAACUAUAAUAUGCAAGGGAUGAACAAGACUAUUCCCGAGCUCUUCGCAAUGCUGAAAGCUGCGGAGGUAGAAAUCAAGAAGGAGCAUCAAGUGUUGAUGGUUAACAAGACCACUAGUUUCAAGAAAAAGGGCAAAGGGAAGAAAAAGGGGAACUUCAAAAAGAACGGCAAGCAAGUUGCUGCUCAAGAGAAGAAACCCAAGUCUAGACCUAAGCCUGAAACUGAGUGCUUCUACUGCAAGCAGACUGGUCACUGGAAGCGGAACUGCCCCAAGUAUUUGGCGGAUAAGAAGGAUGGCAAGGUGAACAAAGGUAUAUGUGAUAUACAUGUUAUUGAUGUGUACCUUACUAGAGCUUGCAGUAGCACCUGGGUAUUUGAUACUGGUUCUGUUGCUAAUAUUUGCAACUCGAAACAGGGACUACAGAAUAAGCGGGCACUAGCAAAGGACGAGGUGACGAUGCGCGUGGGAAACGGUUCCAAAGUCGAUGUGAUCGCAGUCGGCACGCUACCUCUACAUCUACCUUCGGGAUUAAUAUUAGACCUAAAUAAUUGUUAUUUGGUGCCAGCGUUGAGCAUGAACAUUAUAUCUGGAUCUUGUUUAAUGCGAGACGGUUAUUCAUUUAAAUCAGAGAAUAAUGGUUGUUCUAUUUAUAUGAGUAAUAUCUUUUAUGGUCAUGCACCCUUGAAGAGUGGUCUAUUCUUACUAAAUCUCGAUAGUAGUAAUACACAUAUUCAUAAUGUUGAAGCCAAAAGAUGCAGAGUUGAUAAUGAAAGUGCAACUUAUUUGUGGCACUGUCGUUUAGGUCAUAUCGGUAUAAAGCGCAUGAAGAAACUCCAUACGGAUGGACUUUUGGAACCACUUGAUUAUGAAUCACUUGGUACUUGCGAACCGUGCCUCUUGGGCAAGAUGACUAAAACACCGUUCUCCGGUACUAUGGAGAGAGCAACAGAUUUGUUGGAAAUCAUACAUACCGAUGUAUGUGGCCCGAUGAAUAUUGAGGCUCGUGGCGGAUAUCAUUAUUUUCUCACCUUCACAGAUGAUUUAAGCAGAUAUGGGUAUAUUUACUUAAUGAAACAUAAGUCUGAAACAUUUGAAAAGUUCAAAGAAUUUCAGAGUGAAGUUGAAAAUCAUCGUAACAAGAAAAUUAAGUUUCUACGAUCUGAUCGUGGAGGAGAAUAUUUGAGUUACGAGUUUGGUGUACAUUUGAAAAAUUGUGGAAUAGUUUCGCAACUCACGCCACCCGGAACACCACAGCGUAAUGGUGUGUCCGAACGUCGUAAUCGUACUUUACUAGAUAUGGUGCGAUCUAUGAUGUCUCUUACUGAUUUACCGCUAUCAUUUUGGGGAUAUGCUUUAGAGACGGCCGCAUUCACGUUAAAUAGGGCACCAUCAAAAUCCGUUGAGACGACGCCUUAUGAACUGUGGUUUGGCAAGAAACCAAAGUUGUCGUUUCUUAAAGUUUGGGGCUGCGAUGCUUAUGUGAAAAAACUUCAACCUGAUAAGCUCGAACCCAAAUCGGAGAAAUGUGUCUUCAUAGGAUACCCAAAGGAAACUGUUGGGUACACCUUCUAUCACAGAUCCGAAGGCAAAACAUUCGUUGCUAAGAAUGGAUCAUUCCUAGAGAAGGAGUUUCUCUCGAAAGAAGUGAGUGGGAGGAAAGUAGAACUUGACGAGGUAACUGUACCUGCUCCCUUACUGGAGAGUAGCUCAUCACAGAAAACUGUUUCAGUGACACCUACACCGGUUAGUGAGGAAGCCAAUGAUAAUGAUCAUGAAACUUCAGAUCAAGAUACUACUGAACCACGUAGAUCAACCAGAGUAAGAUCCGCGCCAGAGUGGUACGGAAAUCCUGUUCUGGAAGUCAUGCUACUAGAUCAUGAUGAACCUACGAACUAUGAAGAAGCGAUGGUGAGCCCAGAUUCCGCAAAGUGGCUUGAAGCCAUGAAAUCUGAGAUGGAUUCCAUGUAUGAGAACAAAGUAUGGACUUUGGUUGACUUGCCCGAUGAUCGGCAAGCAAUUGAGAAUAAAUGGAUCUUUAAGAAGAAGACUGACGCUGAUGGUAAUGUUACUGUCUACAAAGCUCGACUUGUCGCAAAAGGUUUUCGACAAGUUCAAGGAAUUGACUACGAUGAGACCUUCUCACCCGUAGCGAUGCUUAAGUCCGUCUGAAUCAUGUUAGCAAUUGCCGCAUUUUAUGAUUAUGAAAUUUGGCAAAUGGAUGUCAAAACUGCAUUCCUGAAUGGAUUCCUGGAAGAAGAGUUGUAUAUGAUGCAACCAGAAGGUUUUGUCGAUCCAAAGGGAGCUAACAAAGUGUGCAAGCUCUAGCGAUCCAUUUAUGGACUGGUGCAAGCCUCUCGGAGUUGGAAUAAACGUUUUGAUAGUGUGAUCAAAGCAUUUGGUUUUAUACAGACUUUCGGAGAAGCCUGUAUUUACAAGAAAGUGAGUGGGAGCUCUGUAGCAUUUCUGAUAUUAUAUGUGGAUGACAUAUUACUGAUUGGAAAUGAUAUAGAAUUUCUGGAUAGCAUAAAGGGAUACUUGAAUAAAAGUUUUUCAAUGAAAGACCUCGGUGAAGCAGCUUACAUAUUAGGCAUUAAGAUCUAUAGAGAUAGAUCAAGACGCUUAAUUGGACUUUCACAAAGCACAUACCUUGACAAAAUUUUGAAGAAGUUCAAAAUGGAUCAAGCAAAGAAAGGGUUCUUGCCUGUGUUACAAGGUGUGAAAUUGAGUAAGACUCAAUGCCCGACCACUGCAGAAGAUAGAGAGAAUAUGAAAGAUGUUCCCUAUGCAUCAGCCAUAGGCUCUAUCAUGUAUGCAAUGCUGUGUACCAGACCUGAUGUGUGCCUUGCUAUAAGUUUAGCAGGGAGGUACCAAAGUAAUCCAGGAAUGGAUCACUGGACAGCGGUCAAGAACAUCCUGAAAUACCUGAAAAGGACUAAGGAUAUGUUUCUCGUAUAUGGAAGUGACAAAGAGCUCAUCGUAAAAGGUUACGUUGAUGCAAGCUUUGACACUGAUCCGGACGAUUCUAAAUUGCAAACCGGAUACGUGUUUACAUUAAACGGUGGAGCUGUCAGUUGGUGCAGUUCUAAACAAAGCGUCGUAGCGGGAUCUACAUGUGAAGCGGAAUACAUAGCUGCUUCGGAAGCAGCAAAUGAAGGAGUCUGGAUGAAGGAGUUCAUAUCCGAUCUAGGUGUCAUACCUAGUGCAUCGGGUCCAAUGAAAAUCUUUUGUGACAAUACUGGUGCAAUUGCCUUGGCAAAGGAAUCCAGAUUUCACAAAAGGACCAAACACAUCAAGAGACGCUUCAACUCCAUCCGGGAUCUAGUCCAGGUGGGAGACAUAGAGAUUUGCAAGAUACAUACGGAUCUGAAUAUUGCAGACCCGUUGACUAAGCCUCUUCCACGAGCAAAACAUGAUCAGCACCAAAGCUCCAUGGGUGUUAGAUUCAUUACAGUGUAAUCUAGAUUUUUGACUCUAGUGCAAGUGGGAGACUGAAGGAAAUAUGCCCUAGAGGCAAUAAUAAAGUUAUUAUUUAUUUCCUUAUAAUCAUGAUAAAUGUUUAUUAUUCAUGCUAGAAUUGUAUUUUCCGGAAACAUAAUACAUGUGUGAAUACAUAGACAAACAGAGUGUCACUAGUAUGCCUCUACUUGACUAGCUCGUUAAUCAAAGAUGGUUAUGUUUCCUAACCAUGAACAAUGAGUUGUUAUUUGAUUAACGAGGUCACAUCAUUAGUAGAAUGAUCUGAUUGACAUGACCCAUUCCAUUAGCUUAGCACCUGAUCGUUUAGUAUGUUGCUAUUGCUUUCUUCAUGACUUAUACAUGUUCCUACGACUAUGAGAUUAUGCAACUCCCGUUUACCGGAGGAACACUUUGGGUACUACCAAACGUCACAACGUAAAUGGGUGAUUAUAAAGGAGUACUACAGGUGUCUCCAAUGGUCGAUGUUGGGUUGGCAUAUUUCGAGAUUAGGAUUUGUCACUCCGAUUGUCGGAGAGGUAUCUCUGGGCCCUCUCGGUAAUACACAUCACAUAAGCCUUGCAAGCAUUACAACUAAUAUGUUAGUUGUGAGAUGAUGUAUUACGGAACGAGUAAAGAGACUUGCCAUUAACGAGAUUGAACUAGGUAUUGGAUACCGACGAUCGAAUCUCGGGCAAGUAACAUACCGAUGACAAAGGGAACAACGUAUGUUGUUAUGCGGUCUGACCGAUAAAGAUCUUCGUAGAAUAUGUAGGAGCCAAUAUGGGCAUCCAGGUCCCGCUAUUGGUUAUUGACCAGAGACAUGUCUCGGUCAUGUCUACAUUGUUCUCGAACCCGUAGGGUCCGCACGCUUAAGGUUACGAUGACAGUUAUAUUAUGAGUUUAUGCAUUUUGAUGUACCGAAGGUUGUUCGGAGUCCCGGAUGUGAUCACGGACAUGACGAGGAGUCUCGAAAUGGUCAAGACAUAAAGAUUGAUAUAUUGGAAGCCUAUGUUUGGACAUCGGAAGUGUUCCGGGUGAAAUCGGGAUUUUACCGGGUUACCGGGAGGUUACCGGAACCCCCCGGGAACCACAUGGGCCUUCAUGGGCCUUAGUGGAAAGGAGAAAGGGGCAGCCCAAGGGGGCUGCGCGCCUCCCCCCUUCCCCUAGUCCUAUUAGGACUAGGAGAGGUGGCCGGCCACCCCUCUCCCUCUUUCCCCCUUGGGAAUCCUAGUUGGAAUAGGAUUGGAGGGGAGUCCUACUCCCGGUAGGAGUAGGACUCCUCCUGCGCCUCCUCCUCCUGGCCGGCGCACCCUCCCCCCUUGGCUCCUUUAUAUACUGAGGCAGGGGCACCUCUAAACACACAAGUUGACACAAGUUGAUCCACGUGAUCGAUUCCUUAGCCGUGUGCGGUGCCCCCUGCCACCAUAUUCCUCGAUAAUACUGUAGCGGAGUUUAGGCGAAGCCCUGCUGCUGUAGUUCAUCAAGAUCGUCACCACGCCGUCGUGCUGACGGAACUCUUCCCCGACACUUUGCUGGAUCGGAGUCCGGGGAUCGUCAUCGAGCUGAACGUGUGCUCGAACUCGGAGGUGCCGUAGUUUCGGUGCUUGAUCGGUUGGAUCGUGAAGACGUACGACUACUUCCUCUACGUCGUGUCAUCGCUUCCGCAGUCGGUCUGCGUAGGGUACGUAGACAAUACUCUUCCCCUCGUUGCUAUGCAUCACAUGAUCCUGUGUGCGCGUAGGAAAAUUUUUGAAAUUACUACGAAACCCAACAGGGACCCACAUGAACGUGGGUAGUGGGGGCAAGGCCCCACACCCCUGGUCAAGGCGCACCAAGAUCCCCCCUUAGAAGGAAUAAGAUCAUAUCCCGAAGGGAUAAGAUCAAGAUCCCUAAAAAGGGGGGAUAACAAUCGGUGAGGAAGGAAAUGAUGGGAUUUCUUUCCUCCCACCUUGGCCAACGCCCCAAUGGACUUGGAGGGCAAGAAACCAGCCCCUCCACCCCUAUAUAUAGUGGGGAGACGCAUGGGAGCUGAAGACGAAGUUCUGGCGCAGCCCUCCCCCUCUCCCAAGUCGUCCUCCUCUCCCGUGGUGCUUGGCGAAGCCCUGCUGGAUUGCCACGCUCCUCCAUCACCACCACGCCGUUGUGCUGCUGUUGGAUGGAGUCUUCCUCAACCUCUCCCUCUCUCCUUGCUGGAUCAAGGCGUGGGAGACGUCACCGGGCUGUACGUGUGUUGAACGCGGAGGUGCCGUGCGUUCGGCACUUGAUCAUCGAUGAUUUGAAUCACGACGAGUACGACUCCUUCAACCCCGUUCUCUUGAACGCUUCCGCUUAGCGAUCUACAAGGGUAUGUAGAUGCACUCUCCUUCUACUCGUAGCUGGUUUCUCCAUAGAUAGAUCUUGGUGACACGUAGGAAAAUUUUGAAUUUCUACUACGUUCCCCAACAAGCUGUGGCCGGCCAUGUGCCUCGUCAGUUGAUGCGGCAUGGGACUCUAGUCGGCAGGCUUCAGGCCAUGAAUGUUGACAGGCAGGCGGCGGCGGACUCAUCGGGGCGGCGUUGGGGGACUGCUGCCGUGAAAAUAAUGGUGGUUGUCCUUGUGCUCUUUUCGCAUCAUGGAAACGUCCUACAUGCAUGAUGGGUCUUCCUCGCAACAUGCCAGCAGACCCCUGUCAUCCCUUGCCAUACCCUGUCAUCCUUCGGUCGUGUAACCCCAAGGUUUGUCUCCGCAACUGCCAAACCAACGUCCGCCCUGGUGCGGUUGGCGAUGGUGAUGCCGGUGGAUGCUAGUGCACACAUUGUACUGCAUCUCAGCGAAAUUAAGCAGUGAUUGUUGCUUAAUUUCCCCCCUAUCCAUAAUAAGUGAAAACUUAUUUUGUUUUUGUCUGGUUACCUUUCAAAUACACGGAAACUCAAAACAGGAAUGUUAGAAAUUUCAUCGACUUGAGGGGCCGUUGCCUUAUUAGGGCAUCUUCAAGGCUGACCCGUAAAGCACCCGCAACCGUCUGAACCACGCUGUGGGGAUCGCGGAAGCCAUCCAACACGAGCCUGUAUCGGCCUAUGGGGCAGUCCGGACGCAAUUUCUCCCGUAAAAUGGAGAAAAAACUGGGGGAUGUUUGCGGGAGUCCGGACCAAUCCCAAGCGCGUUUCUGACCGCCCUAGCCUACCAAAUCCCCUUCCCCUUCCGCACGCUCCCUCCCGGCGCUAGCUGCCCGCAUUCAUGCUGCUGUAGAGCACGCCAUUCCGCAUUAAAGAUGUCUCAGGGCGGAUGUGACCUCUCACUGCCUCCGCCAUUGAAGCGGUGCACCGGCCGAGUGCACCGCCGGCUACACGCCUGGCUAAACAUGCCUCUUCGCCGCGUUCACAAGCCUCCAUUAAACCCGCAUGGAAGCCGACAAAUCUACUCCAGCCACACAUCUGCUCAUGAGCGAGCCGACAUUAAACGCAAUGCCGGGCAAGAAUCGCAACCCUCCGCCGCUCCCAUCUCCUUCUACACCAAUUUCUCCACUCUCCCGAUGGCUUUCGAAGAGCAGUUCUCCGGCAUACAAGCUGGCUGGGUGGCCCGCCGACAACGCCGGAUACAAGUGAGGCAGCUCGCUGGUCCACCUCCCGUGUUGACCCUAUGGAGCAAGUUGUCACCCCAAACCGUCGUGUGGUUCAGCAACUCGCCGCUCGAGGCCAACUUGAUGAGGAGCGGCGAGUUGCUCCACGCCGGCAUGGGCAUCGGUGCAUCCAGUGCCUGCGACCGUGCCAUUCCGCCGUCGAUGCGCGCGUAGCCACGCCAUGCACGUAGAGAAAGAAGCCGGAAGCGUGGACGUGGACGAGGUGGCUGCCAGCAUGUCUGCGCCCGCCGGCUUGUACAACCUGUGACCUGUCCGGUUCUUCUUUAUAUUAGACCAUCCUGGGCACCCGCCUGAGCUUCACGGAAGCACCAUUUCCCUCCGACAGCACCCUCUUCGGCACUCCUAUGAGCGGUGCAGCCGGACAUAGGGAAGAUAAAGGAGAAAAUAUGCCUCCGGGACUCCGGACAGUCUGGUGAGCGGGUUGCCAGACAUAUUGAAGCCAAAGUGAUCCGUCUCGGCCGGCCGUAGACUAGUGUAGUAUAUCUGUAUUGUGGGAGUAGAGCUCCGUGCGACCGUAAGUGCACAUAGUUUUACCUUUUUAGUUAAAAUAUGUCCAAAUUGUAAUCAUUUUCAUACUGUUUGUAUGAAAUUUGUCAUGUCUGUAUGAAAUCCGGCCGUGUUUGCAUGAAUUUCAUCAGUUUGCUGAAAAGAGUUUGAAAAGUAUGCGACUAGCGUUGGCGUCCUCCGCAUCUGUGUCCGUGGACUGUUACCUCCCUGUCCUCGGACGUAUGCCGGAGAGAAUCUGUGGGUUGCCAUUGGAGAUGCGCUUAGCAUGUUUGCUUGUGAUUACCACAUCUCAAAAUAAAGGUGUUGUUGGAGUUGUGUCGAAUAUAGUGUACAGGAUAGGUUACAUCGAUGUGUCUACCCCGCUAUAUAUGAGAGGCCUAGGAUACAAGUUUCUUACUAGGACACAACUCCAUAUCCUAUCUAAAUACAAUACAACUACAAGUCCAACUGUAACCUAUUUUGUACACUAUAUUCGACACAACUCCAACAAACUCCACCUUGGCAAAUAUACUCCACCACCCUGGAUUUGUCCAUGCGUCAAACUUCCAUGUGCAUUGGACUUGAGCUUAUCCCAUGAGUAUUGCUGCUACUCCAAAGACUCCAUGUGACUCCACCUGCAACUUGUAGUCCCUUCUUUUCUUGAACACAGUCAACACUCGAGCAAAAUUAAGUAACUUGUUGCUCUAGUUUGUGCUCCCAACUUCCAGAGUAUCCGUCCAACGCCAUCACACACUGAUCACUGACCUGCGUGAAAGUGAACAACUCACAUAUUGGAUAUCACACAUAAGAGUUACCUGAACUCAACAUCACCGCUCCUUUCUUGACCGCCUGCCUGAAACAUGAAGAAAUUUCACCGUUGCUUGUAGUCAUCCCGAGUCAAAUUCGAAGUUGUCUCACCACAUGUAUGACCACCAGAGCCCUGGCCUGUCUCCAUGUCCCGUGCAUACCGCACGCCUCGCCGCUAUUAUCGUAUCGAGCCUCCGCUGUCCCGGUCGAGUCUCAAGGGUCGUGAAACCACACCACUCAACCCCCCACUGCAGAGUACCAUCGAUCAUCACCGACCGAUGACGAGUUUCAUGCUUCCAUCAGACCACUGGGCUCCAGUUUGAACUACGUGUCCCUCGCUUUUUCCUACUGAAUAGGCUUCGACUCUCUGAGCUCUUACGUCGUAGCCCCUCAAUCAACACUGAGUGAAGUCUUCCAGACUCCAGCUCCAUCUUCAACAUGACUCCAUGGUAGAUGAUCCGUCCACUCCCGCGCCCCAUCGACUCCAAUCUCUCAUGUGCACCAUCUUGAAUCAACCCUGCGCCAUAGUCUUGUCGAAGCCACACAAGCACUCAGGCCCAUGCCGCGUGUUUCCACACCCAGAAGUCGGUCACCAUCAGCAUCACACACCUUUGUCAUCGUCGCCGAUUCCAGCACCGUCUUCUAUACCAACCGACUUGCGUUGAUCCGUGAGACUGCCUAGUAUGACCAAGCCAAACUCGUUCGACUGUAUGACACGCUCGAGACUCCCAAAUCAUCUUCCGCGAAUUCUCAUCCAUCACAUGAUACUUCUAUCUUAGCUGACAUGACUUCCCGCAAUGCCUUCAAGCAUCCUUGUUGUGCCAACAAAUCUUUUACCCUGUCUGCCAUAACCCAAGGUUUUCAGUUCCGUGAAAUUCUUCACCUCAAACCUGAUGUCCGGUGACGUUAUGAUUCUUCGUACUACUGACGCUGCCAAAAAUUAUCCGAACUUUCCUCUCCCGUGAUGCCCAAGUAUACAAGCAAACAUUUUUUGUUAAUAAAAAUAAACUGAAGCCUUUUCCUUUAAUUAAGUUAAAUCUUUUCAGUUAAGGAGUACUCCUCCAGUAGUAUUGGUCAUUCAGGAGUAGUUAUAUCUGUCAUUCAGGAGUACUGUUAAUUAGGGAGGAGUAAAAUUAACUUGUGGUUGCAGUAUAAGGCUAGCUAGAUGAGUAGUAUCGGUAUACGGUUAGGAUUAGGUUGUUUAUUUAGUGAGAUGAGGAUUAAACCUUUCCUAAUCCAUCUGCCAAUCAUGACCAAAUUUUGAAUUGUACACACCCACAAAGCAUGUCAACAAAGCAAAAUACAAUGGCAGAAUCAUACAGAUUUAUGCAAGGUAACCUGACACAAAAGUCAGUACUCUACAAUGGUGACACUCAUACUGAUGUACCAUUUGUAAAAAUCGAAUGCAAAGCUUGGUCUGAAUCUUUUUGCAGAUAGCUUAAGGUUGAUGUUUCUAAUCCUGUACAUUGUACUUUGGAAUCACCUUCUGCAUUGAAUUUUGAGGCCUGAAAUUGAUGUUUAAGACGUGUUAGAAAUUAAGGACAGCUGCAUGCUAAAUCUUAUCACAGAGGUACAGAAAAAAGCAGAUCAACAGAUUAUGUUCCGUUUCUUCAUAUCGAAGUAUCUGUCGCCUAGAAAAACUCAUCCUUUAAUAGUUGAGAUAGUAGAGAUAUUAGAAGAUCACUGAUGGCUUCACUCAGCUUGGGUUCUUCAUUAAUUAUCAGAUACAUAGUUCCUUAUCCAUGUAUUUCUAAGAAGAGAUUCUAUGCAAUUGAAGUUUAAUUCAGUUUUUAUAUUGCUAUAUAUGAUAUUAGAUCCCGCAGGUUAUUACCAUAUUAAAAAACAUAUGCAUUAGAAAGAAAUACGACACCUUAGUAUUUUUGUUCUUUUUUAGCAAGUCACUGUACAAACAUCUUCCUCCUGCAUCUGUUUGAAAUUUCACGCUAUCUCUUGUUAUUUCCAGCUUAAACAGGUAUAGGACGGGCAGAUGUCGCGAAAGGAAUACUCAUGGUUUCUGAAGACUGACUAUGCUCCCCUGAGUACUACACAACAACAAACUCAAGUUAGUGUGCAUUAAGAUCUACAAUAGUUAUGUGGUUGUAAUGCAGAAAUGAACAUACUUUACUUUGACUUGCUAUAAUUUGAUCCGGCGACUUCAUGUGCUAAGGACUUUCUUGUACACUAUGUUCUUCAUGGUCGUUAAUAAGGGCUCAGAUCUUGUUCGCUUCUAUGAAUUCUUGCUUUCUUCCUUACCCUUGCCCUUACCCUUGCCAUUGUCCUUGAUGGCGAGAAUCUUAAUGUUCCUCUUCGCUGUGGCUCUAGAAGGCGUUGUUGCGGAAGAUGUCGACUUACUCGUAGGUGUUUAUUAUAUAUUUUGUAAUUGUUCGGUCCUGAUUGCACUUAUUAUGUAUCAUGUUCAAUAUUAAAUAAAAAUGACUAUAUGCAUCAUGAAUAUAGAGGCUGAAGGUAAACCUUCUUUUCCAAAAAAGUGCAUCCGGCUGGUUGGUGUACAACACUCAAAGAAGAAUAAAAUUGGAAGAGGAAAACAAACAAAGGGGAUGCGUGGAGGUGAUAAAUUUACUUCGAGGAGACCGCCUCUGCCAUAUUGCACUGGGACCGCACUUAUAACUCGCGUGUCACAUGUUACCUAGCACAACAGCUACUGCCAGGUCAGCGAGGCAGCAAGCUGCUUAAGAACCUGUACGUGUAAAUGGAUUGAUUAUGCUUCCUCGUCGCGUCUUUAAAAGUGAGGCGAUCCCUUUCCCUUCCCAUUUCUCCAGUCCCCACUCUUCUCACUCUCACGCACACGCACUGCUCCAAUAAUACACAUUUCAGCUGGAAAUGCACACCACAUGGAAACCUUUUUGAUCCAUCAAUUCCAAAAUAUUUGUUAGGUUAACGUAUAUUCCCUGGUCAUCACGUCUAGGAGUAGGAUGCAUCGGUAGAUCUGAAACCUCGUUUGGCAACUACCAUAACUUGCACCGGUUGCUGCUCGCCGACGAUGUGUCUCCGUCUUUAGCCAACGAUCGUGUCACUGUUUGCCACAUAUAUCGUCUGCUUCCAGGUCGACGGUGUGGAACCGCGACACGGAACCACGACAACAGAAUUUGUGCUACACGCUAAGACGAGAAAAAUGAGAGCUGGUAGAGAGUGUGUCACGGGCUCGUGAGCCAACCACAGGCCGUAGACACAAAAACUAUCAGAGCUCACGUGAGCAAGCUUGGGGAGAAAGAACAGCAAGCAAGCGCGUCGCUGCCAUGUGCAAAGGGGAAGCACCACGGUAAGAACGUAUUUCUGAUUUUUCACUGAUGACAAGGAGAGGGGCUGGAGUUUGCAUGUCUGCAAUAAUUUGUCGAGGCAGUCUCAGCUGAGGUAAGGUGGCGUGGGAGGCCGACUCUAUGUUUUGGAAAGCUCUAAAGGAAACUCAACAACAUUCGUGAUCCAAUAAAUUGGUUCUUCUGGUUCUUUUGUUCCUUUUCGCUGUAACCAAACAAAUUCUUUGCAAAUACAUGGAAUUAUAAUUUUAGAAAUUGAAACCCUAAGAUGAAUGAAAGUAAACACAUUUUAACACCUAAAAUUGUGAAAUAAAGUAAAUACAUGACUCAAGUUGCUCGGUACUCACAUCAAGGGCUUGGGUCGGUCACUCUGCUUCCUCUGCUACGGUUCCACUGAUCCAUGGCCCCGAUGGGUAUCGUCAUGAGUGGACUACACAGGGUAAUGCACAUGGAGAAUCCGAUUGUCUUCCACUACAUAUGAGCAUGGGCCUCCUUCACAUAGAGGUCGUAGAGAAGCUAUCUUCCACCAUGAUCAUCAUACUAGGGAUAACCAUCCUUAUUUUCGCACGCCUAAAACAUCUUUUCCAAAAUUUUGGAAAGAACGAUGCCAAAAAUAUUUCCGCAUGUUCCAUAUUCGCUAUUAUUACAAAGCACCAUAUGCCACACUUCAUUUCACUGGCGAUACAGCCCUCUGGUUACAGUCAUAGGAAGCUCAGCUUGAUAUUCAUAGUUGGGUCACCCUAUGUGUUGUUGUCCACCAGAAAUUUGACAAAGAUCAAUAUAUAAGACCACCAGAAAUUUGGUAAAGAACAUACUCCCUCCAUUUUUAUAUACAAGACCACAAACUCAGAUUACAGAUACCAAGGUAAAAUCUAAUGCAAGUUUCUUUUCGUUUCGUUUACUAGAAUCAUUAAUACGCAACAUGCAUUCAAGGAAAGUGAGUGGAGGAAGUAGCUAGUGUCAUUAUGAUUGCAAGCAUGCAAGUACUAGUAAACAGGUUGCUAGUACGAGCAAAUAUCAUUAAUUCUUUCAUAGAUUAGUGUUGGUGGCCUUGUAUAGAUGCAAAAUGUAUAUUUUAUAUUGGCCUUGUAUAAGUAAAUGGAGGGAGUACUUCCACAUGAAACAUGUAAUCUCCACUUAUGUACAAAAAUAAUUCGCCAGACACUUGCCACAAAUUGCCACACAUUUAACAGUAGCUAGGCAACAAAGUCCAAAAUUAAAAUCCACGAAAGAGAGCGUAUAUGAUAUCCUAAACAAGAUGUCUGUCUGUUGCUCGUGGCACACCGACCACAUUUUUGGCUCGAAUUUGAGCACCUAACCACAAGACACGAUAGAACCACCCAAGUGCUUCGCACUAGAAGGCACCGCAAGGAACUAUCAAGGUUUAGCUUUUCCGACUGACAAAACAUAUCAAUAAUGUGUUAACUAGCGCAAUACGACUAUCGCCCAAUUAAUGUAGCACAACAGAUAUUUUUAUGCUUCAGAAAUGGGUGAAUUAAGUCCGCCACAUCUGGAGGUAAAGAUGAAGUAGAGAAUCGAGAUGUAAGAAAUAUGGGGGGAGGAGGGCGCAGUCCAGGAAGCAAAAUCCGGCCCAGAUCGUCGAACCUCGUCCUGUACUCCUCGCUGCUCUUGCUUGGUCAGAUUGCGUGUUCAAGCGCCAUGCCAUGUAUCAGUAGGUCACAAGAUUGGGUGUGUGCGAGCCGUAAUUUUAUUUAAUUGGCAUGAUGCAAGAUGAGAAAAACAGAAGGGAUUAUUAGGAUGAGGCUUCUGUACGUAGGUCAGCCAAAUUAAUUUGAUGGGGUUAGCAGAAUUUGUCCUUUUGAAUUAUACUACUCAAUUGUUUUGCCAUAUCAGUGAUACAUCGAAGAGUCGGUGUCUCGAGGUGAUCAAUCUUUAGUUUUUGCAACACCUCUAGCUAACUUUUUUCAAAUCACCAGAUUCCGAAUCUCGUUAUUUGUAUAGUACUGCAUGAUCAAGCAUAAUUGUGUUUGCCAAUGCUAUGACAAGCAUAAUUCUAUUUGCCAAUGAUAUGAGCUGCUAACUCGUUUUUAAGUUUUUACUGCGAAUGUUGUUUUGGUUGAUAUAUGAAGCUCAUCGUAUCGUUUGCUAACAUGUGUGUGGACCAAUGAGCCAUGAUUUAUAGUCCUAGAACCGCAAAUGCGGACACUGCAAUACGAUGAUGUGGCCGGUAUUUAUGAUCUGCUUGCGAACUUCUACCGUCUCGGUCUUUAGAAGGUGAUCCUCCUUCUUUGCUCUCAUUUCACACAUGUCCUCACACACUUUAUAUCUGACAGGUGUUCAUCAUCUAGAUAGGUUUUCUAAUCCCCAAAAUUCUAGUGUGAGGUUUUAAAAGUGAAUACUGGGACACAAUUUCAUCUCGCUCUCAGUCGAUAGGACUAGGAGGCAUGCGGAACUUGUUAAAAUCGAGUUUGACCGACAGUUGUGCAAGUUCUGCUGAAUGAUCAAUUUCCAAUAGGUGUAUAAGCUUACCAAAACAACCUCGAGCUAAUAGCCCUGCAUAAUGUCACCAUCUUUUUCUGGGUGAGACUACUUGUGUCCAGUUCCAUUUCAAAAAAACCAUGUCUGGUGAGUGGUGAUGAAGCGAUGUCGGAAAAGCAUAGGGGAAGACGAGAGAAAGUCCAAGAGCGCAAGAGGCACCAGCGUGAUCACCAUGUGAGUUCGCUAAUUUCCUUGUGCCAAUUGGCCAAGUGUGUGUAAUUUUCAUAUCACACACGGAGAGUUUAUCCCGUGACAGGGCGGAGCCAGCGUACGAGCGUUGGGUUCUGCUGAACCCAACGACUUUUCCUUGGCCAAGGUACAGGUAUACUCAUAGUAUGUGCAUCAACCCAAUAAAAACUAAGGGCUGAACCAAUCAACUUGGAAUGCAAAAGCUCUUAAAAUGAAUUCCCUCCGUGCCAGCUUGACAUGCCUGCUCGUGGCUUCCUGCCUAUUCUAUUUCUCUACGCGCGUAUAGGGCAGCCGCCAGCCACAACCUUUUGCGUUUCCGUUCGCUUCCUCCACUCUGCGAUCUAGUCAUCUCGUUCGUCUCAACCCGAGGAGCGACGACAGCGAUGCGCCGACAAGGGAAGGUCGGCAGCGGCAAGCCCCCCUAGACCAAAUUCGAGGUACCGACUUGCAUAAUCUGUUCGUCAAAUCCCUCACAUCUCCUCUGUGUUGUGUAUGCCCUAGCUGGUUGCGCAUAGAUUUCUAAUAACUUGUUUGGUCAAUCCAUGUAAUCUGAUUGAUCUAGGCUAUCAAAUUGUAUUUCUAAAAGAAACCGAUCAUCAGAUUUAGAUAAUGAUGCUAGCACUUUAAGGUCACCCAUUAGAAUUAGUCAAAGUGUAUCAAAUGUCACUUUAAGGUCACCCAUCAGAUUUAGAACUAUCUUACACUGGAAAAGUCAAUGCGCGUAUGAAGGAGCUAAGUCAGCUAAGGGCAUUUUCCACGGUUGUAAGACAGUUGUUGGUAGACUUUUUCAGAUAGGAUUUUUGAUGAUUUGUCAUACAAUAAAUGAGGAAAGAGAGUAAGGUUGUAAGUAGGAGUUGAACCAACAAUCCUUGCACAAUCUCCAAUGUAGAAUGAGAGAGCACCUUAUUUAUUGUCUCACAUUCUAUUGGGCAAACUAGAUAUAACCUAUCAGAGGCGGAGCCAGGAUUUCUCGACGCCUAGGGCUAAAACUAAACAGCUAUAAAUAACGCCAAAUACCAUCACCUAAAAAAAUCCUAAAAACACUAAAUUAUCACACCUACCAAUGCAUGUUAGGAGUACACCGCAAAUUCAAAGUCAGCUCAAGGAAAAAUAAAUAUGAAUUCAUUAUUACCAUGAGAGCAAUUUCAAUAAACAUGUGCAUCAUCGCAAACGUUGGUACUAAAUUAGUGAGGACUGGCUUCAUUUGAGGCCAUCAUUUCUUCACCAAGAAUAGUAGAAGGGCCACGAGAUGUGAACAUAAAAUUGUGUGUUUACUCAAGAACCAGAUAUAUACCAAGUCAAUUGCUCAUAUGAAAUUGUGUAAAAAAUACAUAUUAUACCAUUAUCACAAAGUGCACGAGGUAGAAGCCCCAUGAGUUUCCUUAUUUUUUUGUAAGCACUGUAUAAUCUUAAUUGUCCAGGUCCUCUUCAUCUUUGAUCUAUUUGACAUUUUUCCAAUGUCAGCAUGGAGCCUUUGGAAAGAGUGUAAUAAUCACGAUUUCAGAAAAGUGAAGCCUACUGUAGAGGCCUGAAAAAAGAGAUUCAAGGUGGACUUUUCCAACCUUAGAUAUAGGGUGCAUCCCUCGAAAGUGCAAUUUAUUAUUGCACUCUUAGAUUCCAUCCAAAUAGUUGCUCGCUUGUAACUUAGNNNNNNNNNNNNNNNNNNNNNNNNNNNNNNNNNNNNNNNNNNNNNNNNNNNNNNNNNNNNNNNNNNNNNNNNNNNNNNNNNNNNNNNNNNNNNNNNNNNNNNNNNNNNNNNNNNNNNNNNNNNNNNNNNNNNNNNNNNNNNNNNNNNNNNNNNNNNNNNNNNNNNNNNNNNNNNNNNNNNNNNNNNNNNNNNNNNNNNNNNNNNNNNNNNNNNNNNNNNNNNNNNNNNNNNNNNNNNNNNNNNNNNNNNNNNNNNNNNNNNNNNNNNNNNNNNNNNNNNNNNNNNNNNNNNNNNNNNNNNNNNNNNNNNUUAUGUACCACCCAGAUGUAAUUGUACUCCAUAUUACAAAGUAAUACAUAUGCAGUAGGAGCCUUUCGUACUGUCUUCACAGUCAAAAAAAGAAGAAACGAGGAAAAAAUAUUGCUAGAUGAUACAACAAACUUAAAAUUACCUCUCCAGCCGGUUGUGAAAAUCAUGUGAUUGGUUGAUGGAACACAGGACGCAUAGAUGGGGAUUCUCCAAUGAUGUGAUGCGAAAGAUAUGAGCUCGAAGAGCCGGCAGCCUGGGCGCGCAUCAGGUGUAGUCGAGUAGUACAAAAGAGUCGGCGGCGCAGUUUUUCUAUGGAUCGAUCUGGCAAGACGAGAUCGUGCGUCCUCGCUUGGAGCGAUUUGGGCGAGGGGGGCAGCGAUUGUUUGGAGAGAUCGUGUCAACUGGGCUUCUCGGGAUGGAGAGAACUCUGUUGAAAUUGGAUGCUUGGAUCGUUUAUGGGCUGGGACCAGGGGCUGCUGGGUUUGCUUGCCUGGGGCUGGGCCUCUACAACUCUAUUAACACGGAUUUUUUUUGCUAGAUAUAUAACCUACUAGAUGGCCACGCCUGGGGCAACAGCCCCAGGUCUGAUUCCGCCCCUGCAACCUGUUGUAGUAGUUGUAUGUUUUUUUUGCAGGAAGGAGUAGUUGUAUGUUAAUGACAUGGCAUAUUUUACCAACAAGCUAAUAAACAAACUGUUGCAGAUGCCCUAACUGCAAUUGUUAGCUAUCACGCUGAUCCAGGUGACAAUGACUGGCCGUAGCCAUUAUUUGAUCCAUUCACUGUUUGUCCUUUUUACACUAUACUAAGAAUUAAAUAGCAAGCAAUAGGUCAAGAAAAAAAUCGCUACAGGAAUUGCCGCGAGUCGGAACUCUCUGGUCACCGGCGCUUGCGUUGGUUGUGGUCUGUCCAGGACUCGCCACUUGCUUGGAGUUAUGGCUACCUUGGCGUUGUUGACGGUGGAGUCGGAGUCGCUGGCUCGCGGAAGAGUGAUAAUGAUGACAUUGCCUGGCAACCUAGACGGCGAUUUUCUCCUCAACGGUGUGUGCGUUCUUGUGUGGGUAGUCAGUAUGCCCGAAGUGUCUUGCAUUUGCGGGCUUGUGACGACAGUUUUCACUCGGUUUUCUGCUAAUUAGCAGGCCAAUUCUCCUCUUUCUUUUAAAUGAAUUGAGAACCUUCGAACAGACUUAAAAAAAACUCAAGACUACAAAAACUUCAUCCACUCGAUCUGGCUGUGUUCAGCCCACGAAGAAAUGGAAAAAUGGGAAGGGGAAAACAAACCAGGUGAUACUGGGACGUGAUAUUUUAUUUUGCAUCUAGGUGACGUGGCCAGAUAUGCAUUCGUCAUUUUGCAUUGAGACCGCACUAAUGACACAUGGUCCAGCACUACAGUUACACCAGGUCACCAGACAGCAAGCUGCUCAAGAAUGCUUCUAGUUGCUCGUCCGGUCUAUAAAAGAAAGGCACCUCCUCCGCCCUCUCCCUAUCCAUUUCUCCAAAGUCUCUACUCUUUUCAAGCACAUAUACUUCCCCAACAAUCUACAUCUCGUAAGCCAAUGAUCGUUAAAUCUAGACCAGUUCUCUAUCUUUGUCGCAUUUAUCAAUUUCAAAACAGCUGCAAGGUUGAUGUAUUUUCCCGGUCAUCACUUGUAGUUAUAGGAGUAGGAGGCAUCAGUAGAAUUGGAACCACGUUUCCCCAACCGCCAAAGCUUCCGUCGAUUUCAGCCCGUUGACGCCGCAUCUUCAUCAUCCUCCGGAGGCGAUCCUGAAGUUGUCCGCCACCUAUGGCGGCUCCGUUCUUCUUGAUGUGCAGUAAGCGCUACAACGAGAAAAAUGAUCAUUGAUCGAAUGCGUAUGACGGGCUAAGGACCCAUCCUUGGGCCAUAGAUGUAACAAGAAUUGAAGCCCUCGAGAUGACAUCUGGCAGCAAGGCAUAUCGUAUCUUUUGUCAUAUUUUCCCUUCAUUUUGUCUGUUGAAUUUUUCAGUGUUUGCCCUGCAUAUAAAGACUCUUUUUGGUUAGAGCAUCUACAGCCGGACAUGCCAAAUAAGACACCCUAUAGGCUUGCGGACGCAUCGGCGGGCGUCCGCGGACAGUGACCGGGCAAUCCCUAUAUCCGAGCAUCCAAAGCCGCGUAUCUCAUAUCCGGCACCCUAUAUCCAUACAAAAUCAUACAACGUACGUAAAUCACCAAACGAUCAAAAUGUACAAGAAGCGGACAUAUGAACCGGCACCAAAUGAGCAUACACAUAACAUCACCAAAAAAUCACAAAACGAGUGUAAUUCUCACGGUUCAACGAUCCAGCACAUUCUAACUAGAUACUAGGGCUAUAUUAUACAAAAGGACAGAGGGCCGAGCUUCACCACUUCCUCGCCGGUCCUUUGUCCUUGUGGUCGCCGGCGCUGCUGUAGGCGUCUGUCGCAGGGGUGGUAAUACGCGUCUACGCCAACGGCUUGACACACACGCACGCACCUAACUAACAAGAUUAGUGCUAACUAUGUCCCCCCUAAUCUUGACACUCGUUGCCGUCGCUGGAGUUGUUGCAGCUCCAGUCGUCAUCGCCGCCACCACGACCACUACCAAGCUUGACGUAGACUCCGUCUGCUUCCUUGGCGAUAAACGCCAAGCUUCGGUGACACACGCCGCAGCUUCUCUUCCCGGCACACUAAUGCCGCCGGCCGCAACUACGGCCGAUUUCCUCAAGCACCAACUCGAGCCACACCUGUUACAACGCAUACGGAGGGUUCUUAUACGCUGGGGUGCGCCAGGGCACGUGCCCCACGACCCAGUCCACGCCGAGCACUAAUCUUGUUAGUAACACCCAGAAUGGUGGUAAUACCAAUAUGUAGCACUAGUUUCUUAUCGUUUAUACUUAGAUAUAUCUCUAAUGUAAUUUUAGUAAUAUACCCAAACUAACACUGUCUAACUAUUGCUUUGGGUCUAGCUCAUUCCUCACUUAAUGGACACCUGGUGGUGAUUGCACAUACAUAUUUUUGGUUUGACCAAAUUAUAAAUCUACUGAGAAUAACUGGCAACAUAAACAGCGACAUACUCCAGCCUGGUCUACAUAUGAUUUUUUUUCGAAAGGGGGGGACUUCCCGGCCUCUGCAUCAGAACGAUGCAUACGGCCACCUUAAUAGAAAAAUAAAGAGGUUCAACAAGGUCUUACAGUCUGAAAACAAAUUAACGGCAAGCUCAUAAAGAGCCACAACGCCAAAAAUAAAAAGCCAAGAAGGCACAACCGGCUGGCAUAACAAAGAUAGGUAAACUAAUCGCCUAUCCUAUUACAUGACCGCCAUCCAAACCAGUUGAAGAUAUCCCGUGCUACCAUCUCCCACUGGAUAGAUCCAGUAACCAAAUGCUCCCUGUCCUCCGUCGGAGUGAGUAACGACCACAUACGGAUUAGCGCAGUGGCACAUAAUAUAACCUGCAAAAAUUGAAUAUUUGUUGUUUUGUUAAAAGCCAAAUCAUUUCUGCAGUUCCAAAUUGCCCACAACAAAGCACAUACUUCUACGCGAAUGUGUCUAGCUGUUUCGGACUCUAUCCCAACAAGACACGUUCCAAAUAAUGUUCCGACCGAAUUCGGAGGAGUAAUAUUAAAGGCAGUGUGCACCGUGUGCCACAAAACUCUGGCCAACGGGCAAUCAAGGAAUAGGUGUUUGAUAGUUUCGUCCCGAUCACAAAAACUACACCUAGUAGAUCCUGUUCAGUUGCGCUUUACCAAGUUAUCCUUUGUUAAUAUGACUUGUUUAUGUACAAACCACAUAAACACUUUAUUUUUCAAAGGAACUUUGACUUUCCAAACAUCUUUGUAACUCGGAAUGGCACUAGAGUUGAUGACAUCGAUAUACAUCGAGUUAACUGUGAACUCUCCAGACCUAGUAAGCUUCCAGCACAACUGAUCGGGCUGAUGAGAUAGCUGAACCUCCAUCAGUCUACUCACCAAACGAAGCCACGCUUCCCACCGGUUGCCAACAAGCAUCCUCCUAAACUGAAUAUUAAGGGGGAUGGACUACAAAAUCGUUGCAACAAAAGCAUCACGUCGUCGAACAAUACUAUACAGGGACGGAUACCGAAGCGCCAGUGACAUUUCACCAAGCCAAGUAUCCUCCUAGAAGUGUGUGGUGGUGGCAUUACCGACUAUAAACUUUGUCCUAUUAAAGAAGGCUGCUUUGACUCUCAUAAGCCCCUUCCAAAAAGGCGAGUCAGUCGGUCUCACUGUCACCUGGGACAAAGUCUUGGACUACAGAUACUUACUACAGAGAAUCUGCGCCCACAUGGCCUCAGUCUCAACUGAUAACUUAUACAGCCACAUAUUGAGAAGACAUUUGUUCUUGACUUCAAGAUUCUCAAUACCAAAGCCCCCCUAGUCGUUUGGUCGACAGAUGAUAUCCCAUUUGGCGAGUCUGUAUUUUCUCUUUAGUUCAUCACUCUGCCAGAAGAAUCGGGAUCGAUAGAAGUCCAGCCUUUUCCUAACACCAACUGGAACUUCAAAGAAAGAUAAGAGAAACAUAGGCAUACUCGUGAGCACCAAAUUAAUAAGAAUCAAUCGGCCUCCAUAUGACAUGAGUUUGCCCUUCCACAACUCAGUUUCUUCUCAAACCGAUCCUCGAUACACUUCCAUUCUCUGUUUGUCAGCUUACGAUGGUGAAUGGGUAUACCUAAGUACGAUGAAAGGUAAUGUCCCCAAUUCGCAUCCAAACAAUUGCCUAUAAGCCUCUUGUUCCUCAUUGGCUCUACCAAAACAGAAAAACUCGCUUUUAUGUAAGUUAAUCUUCAAUCUGGUCAAUUAUUCAAAUAAGCAUAACACCAGCUUCAUAUUUCUCACAUUUGCCAAGUCGUGCUCCAUAAAGAUGAUCGUAUCAUCAGCAUACUACACGAUGGACACACCUCCAUCAACUAGAUGAGGCACCAAGCCACCCACCUGACCGUCCUCCUUUGCUCUACCUAUCAGAAUUUCCAACAUAUCAACCACAAUGUUGAACAGAAUAGGAGAUAUUGGAUCACCUUGUCUCAGGCCCUUGUGUGUAUGGAAAUAAUGACCUAUGUCAUCAUUCACUUUAAUUCUAACACUCCCUUUUUGCGUGAAAGAUUCUACCUGGCGUCGCUAGGCUUCAUCAAAACCCUUCAUGCGUAAGGCCCGUUGAAGGAAAGGCCAUUUGACUUUAUCGUACGCUUGGUCGAAAUCCACCUUGAAAACAACUCCAUCUAGUUUUUUCGUGUGAAUCUCAUGGAGCGUUUCAUGAAGGACCACAAGCCCUUCUAGGAUGUUCCUAUCCAGCAUGAAAGCAGUUUGGGUAUGCUGCACCACAGAAUGCGUAAUCUACGUGAGCCUAUUAGUCCCGACCUUGGUAAAAUUUUUGAAACUAACAUUAAGAAGAUAGAUGGGCCUGAAUUGCUCAAUUCUCACAGCCUCUAUUUUCUUAGGAAGCAAGGUUAUCGUUCCAAAAUUCAGUUGAAAAAGUUGAAGCUGUCCAGAGAAUAAAUCAUGGAACAACGACACCAAAUCCCCCUUAAUAAUAUGCUAGCACUUCUUAUAGAACUCCGUCGGAAAUCCAUCCGGGCCGGGCGCCUUAUUAUUUUUCAUUUGCGAUAUGGCCUCAAACACCUCUUUCUCAGAAAAAGGAGCAGCUAAAAUAUCAUUCUCACAGCAGUAAGUUGAGAAACAUCCUCAAUCCUAGACUCAUCCAAAGAAACACAGUUAUCCUCUGGAGGCCCAAACAACUGCUUGUAAUACUCGGUAAUGUAUAAUUUUAGGUUCUCCUGUCCUAAAAUUGUUCCUUCAUCUUGUUCAAGCUGAAAGAUCCUCUUCUUUCUGUGUUUGCCAUUAGCGGUCAUGUGAAAGAAUUGAGUGUUCGCGUCCCCCUGGACUACUCUUCGGACCUUGGCCCGCAGGGCCACUUUAAUUCCUCUUCACGAAGAAGCUCUUUCAAUCUCAUCUCCGCAUCAAGCUUGGCAUGAAGCUCCGAGGCUGGCAGAACCGUGGUUUCUGCUUUUACAUCAAGGGACUGAAUAAGGGUAAGGAGACGUUCCUUUUCGAGCUUAUAAAUCCCACUAAGAUGCUUAGCCCACCCACGUAGGAAACUUCUCAAGUGCCUGAUCUUAUUCUGCCAACGCUCAAGCACAGUCCUACCUUCUGCAUCCUUAGCCCAUUCUCUGGCUACGAGAUCAAAGAAGCCGUCUCGUUCAAACCAACCAAGCUCGAACGAAAACGAGUUUUUGUUUCCCACGUGGGUGGCCUCACCAGAGUCUAGUAAUAAAGGCAUGUGGUCAGAAAUACCACGGGAAAGUGCCUAAACUGUUACAAAGGGAAACGUCUGUUCCCAGUGGAUGCUAGCCAGUACUCGAUCCAACUUUUCAAACGUCGGAUUUGGCAACUCGUUAGCCCAGGUGAACUUUCUUCCUGAAAGCUCUAUCUCUCUCACAUCCAAGCCUUCAAUGAUAGUAUCAAACAUGGAAGACCAUCUCCCGUCAAAGUUGUCAUUAUUCUUCUCCUCACGCCUUCUAAUGAUGUUGAAAUCACCCCCACCAUGAUUGGAAGCUGCUCAGAGCCGCAAAUCCUAACCAGAUCAACCAAGAACUCAGGUUUGAGUUCGGGGUGCACGGAACCAUAUACCGCCACCAGAGCCCAAUUAAACCCAUCGGACUUCGACCGCACCCUAAACUUAACUGCAAAAUCUCCCAUCACCACACUUCGGACUUCAAGCGAAUCGCAUCUAACUGCGAGUAAGAUCCCACCUGAUCUUCCUCUCGGUGGCAGACAAUGCCAGUCAAAACCAAUACCUCCCGAUAAAGUAUUGAGAAAUUGUGGCGAAAAUUAUCUCUAUCAGUUUCCGACAAUGCGAUAAAAUCCAACCUAUGCUCGAUAGACGCCUCUGCAAGAAACCUUCUUUUAGCCAAGUCUUUCAGACCUCUGCUAUUCCAAAAGAUUCCUUUCAUAUUUCGUCAUGAAAUUUUGUAGCCGUACGGAUCCUAGCACUCCUACGCACUGUGGAAGCCGGGUAGAUCUUCCGCUUCCACUUGCAUUUAGGAAUGUUCUGACUCUCCAGCCGGUCCUCACAACCAGGCUUAGAAGGUCUAACCACGACAUUCCCAGAUAUAUCAUCCUCCUCCUCAGACUAAGGGAGGGGAGGUAUAAGAUUCUCACAAAAAUUAUCGAGCACCCUAACCCCCAAUGCAUCAAAUCGGAAUCAUUCAUGGGCUUAACCGCUGCUAAGUUACGAAUCAUCUCUAAAGCCCGCUCUGCCUCUAAAUCUAGGAUAUCAUUAACGGAAUUUGAAAUUUCACUAUCAUUACUACCUAGUGAAAAUCCUAAUUGGUUUGCAUUAUUAAUAAUCUCAUCAUUAGAAAAAUGCAAACUAGAAUUAGAGGUAUUAACCGACAUACCAGUAGUGACCUCAACGUCACGAAGCUUGGCCGCCCUCAUGGCGCACCGCUGCUGUAUGUCGUCAACCUCGGGAUGAUCCUGGAGACGGCAGCUCAACCGUCGCCCCUCAGAGACCAGAUCCGAAUCCCUCCAAACGCAAUAACCUCCUCCUGAGUGACCCUGCUCGGGGUGGGGCCUCAUGCCACACCCAAAACAAGCAGCCGGUCGGCCUCCAUCGACGAACCAGUGGGACCGCCUGAAAGCGGCGGGGCGCUCGACGGUACCGCCAACGUCGGUCGCGCCCCAUGGCAGAGAGACGGCAACAUGCUGGGUGAGGGGAGUGCAUGGGCCACCUACCCGAACUCCCCACCCACCCCGGCCCUCCGGCAAGAAGGGCUCACUGGCGCCACAGGAGGGGCGGCCGCCCUAGGCGCCCCAGGUGAAGAGGGCUUUGAGGCCACCUGCCUCGAGCCCCCUCCAAAAGGCGGAGCCGCCACCUGCAGCUCCGACAUCACGAGAGGAGAAGAGGGUGCCGAGGCCACCUGCCCCGGACCCCCUCCCUAAGGUAAAACCUCCACCACCGAAACCUCGUCCACCGCGAGAGGAGAAGAGGGCGUCGAGGCCGCCUGCCCCGAGCCCCGUUCAGAAGGCGGAACCGCCAUCUGCAGCUCCGGCAACGCGAUAGAAGAAGAGGGAAUCGAGACCACCUUCCCCGGAGCCCCUCCCGAAGGUAAGACGUCCACCACCGGACCCUUGAACUGAGGAGAUUCAACGUGCUGCGCAUGAGAGGGAGUGGCUACCUGCGUAGACUCCACCUCCUCUCCCCUGACCGAGAUCGGCGAGGCCCCAAGGACGGGACUCACAACAUCCUCAAAAUCCAAAGCAGGUAACGUGUGCUCAAAAACCUCGUCAGGCUCCACCCGAUCACUCCAAAGUCUCGGAGGCGCAGAAGCCGGCUCGAAGGAUCCAAAUCUCAGAGAAGUCAUAGGCACCGAGGAGGGUGGUACCGUCCCAUCUUCGGGCGUCCGAGAAACGGACCCCGGUCCGUUGGACAACUCUCGUCCAGUAUCAUUAACCGGUGCCUCCUUACCUUCCGAGAUGUCAUCUCCCUCGUGCAUAUCAACAUCAGUCCCGUUAGCCACCUCGACGAACCGACUCUCAUCCUCAAACUCAAUCACGAGGUUAUAGAUGUGGCCUCGAUAUGUCCACUUGACCACAUCAGACACGAACUCAAUAGCCGGAACACUGACUAGCAGUCGGGCUACCCCGUGAGCUCUGGUAAAAGCCAUAUCCACUCUCUCAGUUUUCCCCACCAUAAUGCCCAAGCUAGCUCGGCUUCGAGGGAGCCCCGGAAAAACACAGCCAAACCUGACUAAGAGGCUUACCCUGAGGCUCGACCUUCGUCCACUCAUGGAACUCGAGGAUACAAUCUAUACCCGGCACUUUGCACAUCCCAAAACUCAGAAGUCUCUACAAAUUCUCAACUGAAGGGAACUCAACCCUAAACAAUUUUUCCUCGAGACUAACGAGCUCCCACUGGAAGUCACCUGGAGCUAACUCCUUUAGCCUCUACAUAAUCUGAGUCACAGAGACCUCUCCUCUGGUAACUUUGACAACCCUAGUGGUCAUACUCUGGGUCUCGUCAGGAACCUCCCUCUCAGUAGGAGACUCAAAGAACGUGAGUUCAGCACAAUACACUCCAUACAUCAUAAGAGACGGUACCUGAUCACGCAAAAUCGGACAAUUCCCCGUAUCAUGUGCUGGCUUGCCACAAGUAUCACAAAGUUCCGCCACACAUUCAGCAACAAAGUGGCCUUUCUCUCCACAAAGAUAGCAAACCAUUUUUUCCUUCUUGCGCGCCCACUUGGACGCUCUAUCCAAGUCAGCCCUGUCUGCCGCCUCGACCGAGGCCGACACAGCGGUCUCAGUCGCAGGUACCUCUGCAUUGGUGAGCACCGUCCCCAAAUCCAUGGCCUGGCCGGACAUCUCCGGCGUCUCGGUAGCCCCGGCGGUGGUUGUCUGCUCGACCACUGCAGGCGGGGGAGGCUGCCGGUGACGAAACCGACCACCUCGUCCGCCACUGUGACCACGAUAUCCACCCCGCUGCCGAUGGUCAGGGACGGACGCCCCCUCAACGAAACCACCCGGAGGACCAAGAAAGGGUCUCUCAGCUGUACCAUCACUUUGCCAAGCAUAACGGCGGCCACCGCCAGUCGAGGACGAACCACGGUGUUGGCCAUCACCAUACGCAUCGUAUCCGUCGUCGCCCCACUGUCCCUAGGGCGGUCCCAAAGCACCUCCAGUACCCACGUUCUGCACCAGGCGCACUGCCCCGCCCCGUAGCAGCAGCCACAACCGGUGUCUGCGCCGGCGGGCGAGGACCAUGGGCCGUCCCGCCCGAACCGCUGCUGGCGCCGCAGCCGGGCCCUGAGCAGGAGGCCGAGCCCCGGUGUGACCACUACCUCGCCCCGCAAUCGUCUGCGCUGCCCCGCUGACGACCGUAGGUCUAGCGCCAGGCAGAACCACUGCCCCAUGCCCAGCACCUGUCGCCGGCGGCGGCACAGCACCAGCGCGGCCAGUCCCGGUCAGGGCAUAGUGCUUCUUCCCCGGUGGCGCUCCAGCCCCUCGGCCGGCCAUGUCCACCAGGGGGGGUAUUCGCCUCGCACGGCCAAGACCACAGGAACGGAAGCCCGGCUUCCUUCGACGAAGAACCCUAGCGUUCUGCGAGGUCGAAGAAGCCGCCGAAAGAUCGGUUGAUCUACCUGCAUCAGCGCGAUCGAACUUGGAGGAAACCGGACUGUCCUGGGCCUCAUACCUAGCAGUCUCUGGCCCAUCCCAAUUCGGCCCUUGCAACAUAGAACGAUCAAGCGGCAGCUCAAAAACUGAAGCACCAUGCAACGACGUUGGGUCGGACGUGAUCGCAAGCGUGACUUCAGGCUCAGACACAUAGUUUUAAAUAGCGCGCUAAGCAUCUUAGCGGCGGACCUCUUUCAAAUGCUAUAGCGUGCUAUAGCGGAGCUAUAGCGCGCUAUUUAAAAUGUUUUUUUAUUUGUUUGGACCAAAGUCUCUUAGCGCAAGACCUUUUGUAAACGCUAUAGCGUGCUAUAGCGGAGCUAUAGCGGGCUAUUUAAAACAGUACUCAGACAUGAACUCAUUCAUGGCUUGGGAGUUUACCUGGGCCUCAUUCCCAGUGCAAAUAGAGCCCACGACCAACGCACUAGCACACACCUGAUCUUGGCCCAACAGAAUAUUCAAGCGCGCCCGUCUGGCCGCUUGAAUAUCGUUGGCCACCCUAGCCAUCCGCGGCGGCCUCGCCGGCUGGCCCUUCUUGCCGUUCUUCUUCUUCGUAACAAGUGUCCAUGAAUCCGGAAUGAAAUCAGAAAGAGUAACAUGUGCGCGGUUUACCUUCGGGAUCGGUCCAAUCCACGGUUUCAUGUGUAUCUCUGGCUUCUUCUGAACCCCUCUCUUCCGGUGAGGAUCAUUGACAGGUGAACAUCCCGGCGGCGGCAUCGUCAUCGCACACCCCGGUCUUUCCGUGAUCAUCUGACUCAUGUCGGCCCCAUCUUCUUCCUCCAUCCCCCCAUGACCAGCCCCUUGAUCCUCCUCGUCGUCGCUAUCUACAAGAACCCAAAAUCAUCCUCCAAGACGAUGAUCCGAUCUCCCAGCUUUGGGCGUAUCCGUCAAGUCGAUCAGAUCCGCAACCUCCUUCUGAUCAUCCUGCAUAGGACUAUCGGCACGCACGUCAUAAAAAUCGAUGUGUAAACAAGAUCCUACCAUAAUCCGCGCAUGACUGAGGGCGUCCGCGCGUGACUGAGGGCGUCCGUUGCGGCGACGGCCUCCAGCUAUCGUUCAGUUAUAUCAGAUGAUUGCCCUCAGUGAAACAUUCUCGUGCCACGGGGGCUGCGUGCACCUCGUCUGCUGGCCGUUAGCUGCCUUUCUUGCUUUCGUAAUAUGUGUCUGAGUGAAAGAAAGAUGCAGUGGCGGCGUUGUUAUUUCUUUGGAUUAAUGACUACUUCUGGUCGGUAAGGUUCGAUCGAGCCAGAUGUAAGGGCCCACCUGAAAGAUGUGUUAUUGUAUCAAAGCCCCUGGCAUUUUGCUUAAAGUAUAAACAGCUCCCUUCCCACCUGAAGACAUGAGAAUAAGUUCAGCAUGUUUAUACACAAUUCGUAAGUAGAUAUGUCCACUGCAAAUCAAUUGAUGUAUUAUGUGAGGACUACUAUGUCACUUGUUGAUGUUUGCAAAACUAUAACUUCUAUACGCUGCAAACCUGGCACAAAACAGAUUCCAUGCAAUUCUUGGAAGAACAAGCUGCACAUAACAGCAAUUCUUGGAAGAACAAUCUGAUGUUUCCAUUUGACUCCCUACGGUUGUUCCAGUACAACAACAUCAAGUGUUUAAAAAUGGUGCCAUCUUACAAAUUUUAAAGUGUUCCAAGGUUGCAACUUGUGCUAUCUCUUGCUUUAAUGAUGAUUGUGGCGACGAGUAAACCUUUUUGUCUGCAUUGUAGGGUUGAGUAAUGAUGGCAUUGCGUCUAGUUUUUUACUUGGACCAACACAUCGCUAAGUUUUGUUGGAUAGAAUGAGAUUUCUAUUGAACAAGAAGAUUCUGUAGCAAAUCACAGCAACUUACCUACCUGGGGAGCAGAGUUUGUAAGUUUGCUUGCAUCUGAUUCGGCCGGCUAGUGUAGAUGUUUCUGCUCUGCCAUUUGGAGCAGAAACAUCUUGUCCUCUUUUUCAGCAGAAAAAAGCACCAAAACAUAUAUUACAUGAACAUGAGGUUAGUUAUAGCAAUUCAAUAAAACAGAAAACCAUAUUGACAAUGGGAGUUACUAUCAAUUAAAAUAAGAUAGAACUAGUUAAAAUUUGCUUAUUAUUUCUCGAAGUACAAAAAUUAACUAUUUGUAAAGUGCAGGACUAGGAAAACAUAUUGACAAUGGGGAAUUACUGUCCAUAACUUGGAAUCCAUUUUGUUUCUUUCAUUGGACAAGGGGUUCAUCUUUUCAAGCAGCUAGUUAUCUCGAGGCUUCAUGGCCGGGAACAGCAGGACCUCCUUGAUGUUCUGGGAAUCCGUGAGCAACAUGGUCAGGCAAUUAAUCCCCAGACCCAAGCCCCCGGUCGGCGGCAGCCCGUACUCAAGGACACUGCAGAGCGUCUCGUCCAUGGCCAUCGCUUCAUCGUCAUCGUGCCUCCAAUCCCUUAGCUGCUCCUCAAACCGCUGCCUCUGCAGGACGGGAUCGUUCAGCUCCGUGUAGGCGUUCCACACCUCGUGCUUGUUGAUGAAAAGCUCAAACCUUUUGGUCAGUACAGGCCGGGCCUCGUCCCUGUGGGACUUUGCGAGUAGGCUCAUGAUCUCCGGAUGGUUGACGAUGAACGUCGGGUUCACGCAUGUCUCCUCCAAAAAGUGCCCAACCAGCUUGUCGAGUAGCCGCGCCAUCGUGUGUGUAAGCAGGGCACGUAAAGUCGUGCCUGGCACAAGCCUCCAUCAAGUACCUGUUGGCUUUGUCGGUCGAAAGAUCCUCCGGUAUGUUCAGAUCGGUCAUCUCCUCGAGUCUGGACCAUGUUGAUCCGCGCGAACGGAGGCGUGAAACAAUCUCGAUGGGCGGCUUGCCGGCAGGUCGGCACGGUACUACAGCUUGUAGCCGCCCGUCAGUUCCUUGACCAUGCCGCCCAGCAUCUUGUCCGUGGACUCCAUCAGUCGUUGUAAUCCGCAUAGGUCAUUUAGAACUCACAGGUGGUGAACUCAGGGUUGUGCGGCACUGAAAAAAAUAGCGCGCUAUAACGCCGCUAAUAGCACGCUAUAGCAUAUAGAAAAUUGUCGCGCCAAAUAAAUCAAUAUACAAUGCCUCGCUAAUAGCACGCUAUAGCAUGCUAAUAGCAUAUUUCGAGGGGCCACGCUAUUUUCUGUAGCGCCUUAUUUUUCGUGUUGACUCCUUCCUUCCUGAACUGCCUCCUGGUCUCGUACACGUGGUCCCGCGCGCCUACCGACGACGAGCUGCUUCAGGUUGCGUGAAACGAUGAUUGCUACCCAAGGGAAACAAACAGCCGCAGAGAGGUAGCGCUUUCCUCGUGGCCCGUAUAGGUCUAGGACGUCCAUGUUCUGUUGAACUGCAUCUAUGGUUUCAGGGUGAUCAGCUGCAUAAGACGUGUGUUUGGUUUCAUGCAAUAGGGUGUUCUGUUCACCCCCAUUGAGUUUUGUCAUUUCUACUAAAAUUAAUUACAAUGUCGCUGUGUUUACAUACUGCAUGACGGGCGACGUCGCUAAUAUUGAAGACCGUCGACAUGCCAGUACUUCUACAGCCCCUGUCUCUCUAUAUAAAUAUAUCCUUUCCCUUGUUGCUUCUCCGUUCUUCUGUAACCUCCCCAAGCCUCACACACAUACUCAGAAACACACUAUCCCAAAACCCAAAACAAUCUGGAAAUUUUUUAGUCAAUGUUGCUGGAAGCAUAUAGAAGCGUCUUUUUUCUUGAACAUGCCACGCUAGGAGUAGGAGGCAUUGGGAAGUGCUCAGAAUUUUAGAAAGGCUAGGGCGAGAGCACGUCGAACCGUGCAGGGCCCAUGUUGCUCUUCCCGGAGAACCAGCGCACACCAACGCCGUUGCCGAGCUUCACGACGGAGUGGAAGGCACAUAACUCCUCGGGCGACUGCAGCUCCGAGGUUCCGGCGUUGCCCUGUUUAUGCGCUUGUUUGGACUCGAUCGUACUAAACCUAGCGUGCACACUUAAUUAGGGCCGAUGGACAUUACAUAGGCUCUAGCUACGUGUGUAUUACUUGGGAAAACUAUAGCUGCACCCCGGAUGCUAGCUGGAGACCUUGUUGGCUGCUUCCGAUGUGAGAAGCAAGCAAGCAGAUGCGAAAGAUGGAGCUAGCCUCGCCAGGUAAUGAAGUGUCAAAGCUUCGGAGCUGCUUUUGAAGGUUCCGAUCGAGGAAAACAAUUUACGCGUCAUGAAGCGCACACGGGGGUUGGAGUAGUAUUACGAGGAGACAGGCCCGACGAAUUCAUCGAAGUUAAAGGCACUGCUUGUUUGCACGAGAUGAGGAAGGGAGACCACACAGGACGACGGGAUCAGGGGCUCGGCGUCUACAGGCGGCGGGAUCCGGCCUGCGGCGGCGCGAGAUGGCGGAAUCAGGCGUGCAACCAUGCAACAAGGCGGGAUCUGACGUGCGGCGGCUUGACGAGGGCGUCGACAUCGCUUGGUCGAGGAUGGCGGUGACGGAGCUUGGCCUCAAGGAUGGUGGCAGCGACCCUUUGGACGUGGACAGCGGCUGCGCUUGGUGGACGACGAACGAGGAUGGCGACGCUUGAAGAGGACGGUGGCAAUGCCUAGUCUAUGCGGCGGCUUUGGUAGAAUGUUAGAAGAAGAAAAGGAAACAAGCGAGCCUGCACGCGAGCUAUGCUUGAAACAUGUGUUUCCCUCCGCCUGGCUGAGAGGCCUAGUUUUGCAUCCAUCGGGCCAGGCUGGAAGACCCAUCCAGUGUACCAAACAACCAAUUUUUGCAUGGUGGAUGUGAGCCACAUGCCAUGCAAUGAACCAAAUACUAGAGCUGGACCAAAACCUCAUAGCUCGCGAGCUUAAUAAGCGCUCGAUAGUUUAACUUAUUAAGCUCGUGGCUGGCUUCUUAUUGAACAGAGCCAAUCAUCGAUUUUAGCUUGUUAAGAGCAUCUCCAACAGGCUCCCAAAAACUGGGCCGCGCGCUAAAAUCCGGAUUUUUUGAGCGCCGAACAGCUUCAGCAGAAACUGUAAAACAGUAUGAGCGCCGGACAGCUUCAGCAGAAACCCUUUGAUUGAAGUGCUCGUCAGCGCAGCUCCUGGGAGCUGACUUUUGGGCAGGAGCUCGCGUCCCACAUGAUUUGUCCAUCUAACAGGCUGGUAGUGGAGGAGAAGGACAGGACGAUCGGAUCCACCAUGCUUGGAGGUGAAGAACGGGGCAGUGGCGCACAUGCGACUCUGUACAGAGGGAGAUUCGUCGUGGAGGAGGCGAGGAACUGGUUUGGCGUAGAAGAGGAUACGAGGCCGGAGCUCACCUCAUGCUGCCUGGGUGCAGAAGAGGAGAGGAGGCAAGAGCGAGAUGGCGGUGGCUGAACCAUAGCUAUCUGGUAGAGGAGAGAAGGCCGACUCACUGGUAGAUACUACGUAUGUUGAGAUCCGCAUUAUCCUCGAGUCCUUGGAUCAUGUUGAUCCACGUGAACGAAGGUGUGAAACCGAUCUCAAUCGGCGGGUUGUCGACGCCGUUGGCGUGGUACUGCACGUUGUAGUAGCCCGUCAGCUCCUUCACCAUGCGGCCCAACAUCUCAUCCACCAGCUCCAUCAGGUCGUUGUAAUCCGCAUAGGCCAUUUAGAACUCGGAGAUGGUGAACUCAAGGUUGUGCCUCGUGGCGNNNNNNNNNNNNNNNNNNNNNNNNNNNNNNNNNNNNNNNNNNNNNNNNNNNNNNNNNNNNNNNNNNNNNNNNNNNNNNNNNNNNNNNNNNNNNNNNNNNNNNNNNNNNNNNNNNNNNNNNNNNNNNNNNNNNNNNNNNNNNNNNNNNNNNNNNNNNNNNNNNNNNNNNNNNNNNNNNNNNNNNNNNNNNNNNNNNNNNNNNNNNNNNNNNNNNNNNNNNNNNNNNNNNNNNNNNNNNNNNNNNNNNNNNNNNNNNNNNNNNNNNNNNNNNNNNNNNNNNNNNNNNNNNNNNNNNNNNNNNNNNNNNAAAAACACAAGGAUGGUCGAUGCCGGUUCGUAACGAGGGAAACGAUGGUCAUUUCAGGUGGGCAUAGAGCGCGUGUAGACCAGUCGUAGAGCCCUGUAUGAGCCCGCGCCGGCCCGUGUACUAUUGUACGCCGCGCGUGUACGUAUAUUAUACGCUGGCGGUUGCGUUUCCCAGCAGUCGUGCGCGCGGACGUGUGCGUGGAUAGUUUCCAAAAAAAGGCCCCUAGUAUAAGAGGAGGGGAACGGGCACCGGCCGGAUCGCCCACCCCAUUUCCCCCAAAUCGCCUCCCUCUCCCUCCUCUCUCCUCUGCCUCAUCGUCUCCCCCACCGGCCAUCCCACCUGCUCGCUCACCACCACCGCCUCGCUCUCUUCUCCUGCUUGCUUCUGGCUCGGAUGGAGCAAGGCCGUGGCGAAGCCGCCGUCGCGGACGGAGAUCUGUAGAAGACGGGCACGGAGACCGUGGCAGAUGCCGUGCAGAACCUCGUCGGCGGUGCGGGUGCAGGAGGUGUUGCAUCCCCACGCGCUGCAUCGGUCGCUGCGGCGGCGGAUCUGGAGGAGAAGAAGGUGGCCGUGGCGGACUCAGCCGUGUCGGAGCUUGGCGUGACAGCGUCGAGCGGCCCUUCUAAUGGACCUGCGGAGGCCGGCGGCGAGCACGUGGACCUGCAGGUAAUCCUUGCUAGCAGUCCCCUCCGUUGGUAGUUAUCCCCAUUAAUCAGUAGAUUUAGGUGUGAGGGUUUUUUGUUGUUGCUAGUUGCUGCAUCCCCUUAUGAUAAUUAGGGUUCUUAGAUGUUUGAUUGAUUUAUAGUGAAGGUUUUGGAUUCUGUGAUUGAAUCAUCCAGUAGAUCAAGUAGUUAGGGUUUUUAAUGAGAUGUUUAGUUGAGGAUUUUUUGUAUUGGAUUCAAUUAGAGCCACUGAUUUGUAGAAUCUGUGAUUGAAUCACAUCCAGUAGAUGUAGUAGUUAGGGUUUUUAAUUAGAUGUUUAGUUAGUUUUUUUAUUGGAUUCAUUUAUAGCCUCUGAUAUGUAGAAUGUGUGACUGAAUCACAUCCAGUAGAUGUAGUAGUUAGUGUUUUUUAAUUAGAUGUUUAGUUGGAGAUUUUUUGUAUUGGAUUCAAUUAGAGCCACUGAUAUGUAGAAUUUGUGAUUGAAUCACAUCCAGUAGAUGUAGUAGUUAUGGUUUUUUAAUUAGUUGAUUAGUUAAGGUUUAUUUGUAUUGGAUUCAUUUAUAGACAGUUAUAUAUAGAUUCUGUGAUUGAAUGAUGUAGUAGAUGUACUAGUUAGUGUUUCUUAAUUAGAUGUUUAUUUAGGUUUUUUUGUAUUGGAUUCAUUUAUAGGCAGAGAUAAAUGUAAUUAAAUGGUGCGACCGAAUGAUGCAGUAGGAGUAAGAGUUAUGAUACUUUUAUUAGAUGUAUGAGUUAGUGUUAUUUGUACGGGAUUCAUUUAUAUCCAAUGAUAUAUGUAAGUAAACUUUGUGAUUCAAUGAUCCAGUGGAUUACUUUUAUUAGAUGUAUGAGUUAGUGUUAUUUGUAUUGGAUUCAUUUAUAUCCAAUGAUAUAUGUAAGUAAACUUUGUGAUUCAAUGAUCUAGUGGAUCUAGGAGUUAGUGUUUUUUAAUUAGAUGCUGGAGUUAGGGUAUUUUAAUUAGAUGUAGGAGUUAGGCUUCACCAUUUCACUCAUUCUAGCAUAUGAGUGCUAAUUCAGAACUUGUUUGUAAUGACAUUAUUUGAACUGCAAUUCAAUUCCUUGUAAAUGAUUUGCCUAGUUGACAAUAUAGCAGAAGGAGGAUCUUGUUGGCAAGAGGAGGAAGUGGGACUCAUCUGGGUACUACCCAUAUGACAGGGAUGAAGAUGAGCCGUACGAGGUAAGGCCUAGUUGAAAUGUUAUUUGUGCAUUGAGUUAGUGUUAGAUGUUUAUAGUAUUUGAAUGCAUAAUGUAUUAAUGUCAGUUAUUAAUGUGCGCAGUGUGAAUCUGGAGAUGAUGUGGUCGAGGGGAACGUCGAGUCCUUUGAAGAGAAGGUGGUGCAGAAGAUCAGGGCCCAAGGAUCUGGUACGUACUACAACUGGAGGACGGACAAGUACUGCUGCCCCUACUGCAUUAGGCCCAAGCCCAUGUCUGGGUUGCUGGAGCAUCUGAUGGAACAUUGUUGGGCUACAUCCGUCAGCAGUGAUGAGUACAAGAUCAGGGCUCAGCAUUCUGCCCUCCACAAGGUCCUGAGAAACUCUAACAUGUAGUUGCCCUAGACCCUGGUUGUCAUAUGAUGGAGGAAGCCUCAGUUCUUUUGGUGAAAUUUAUGUGGUAGCCUGAUGGUGGAAACUUGAAGUGGUAAAGUAGUAUUAACUUUAUCUAAGUGUAGUACUGUGAUGUGUGCUCCGAAGUUAUCUAAUGCUAGUGGUCCUAACUUGGAUGUGUACUCUCCUGUAGCAACAGGCCACGUACCAGGUGGUCCAGCCCAUCAACGGUGACCCGUUCAUCGGCAGCCUUGAGACCCCCGUCACCUCCAGCCCCCUCGUCGCGUGGUACCUCUCCAACCUCCCCGCGUACCGCACUGCCAUCAGUCCGCUCCUCCGUGGCAUCGAGGUCGGCCUGGCCCACGGCUAC
This 105089-nucleotide long non-coding RNA is filed under the name Triticum aestivum (bread wheat). Its description in RNAcentral is "long non-coding RNA (TAES_LNC026688)". The stretch from base 909 to 1043 matches the Rfam family "MIR1120/MIR1122 microRNA precursor family". The record is from RNAcentral. Lineage: Eukaryota; Viridiplantae; Streptophyta; Magnoliopsida; Poales; Poaceae.